GCGGCUCUGUUCUUCCUGCACCUAUUUAUCGUCCUCUUCUACAUCAGUGCUGCACGGGCACUGUGGAGGAUGAACCGCAGGCCAGCAAUUGGCAUGGUGGCAGCGUAGCGCAGCAUCACCUACUCUACUCAGGUAAUUAACAGGCAUUAUGCCACACAUCAACAUCCCCCUUCCUCAAAGUAUCGUAUCGGAAUGUUUUGUGGCUUUGUAUCAACAAAUUGGUAGAAGAUUGUGCAAGUAACUAAUGUUCAGGUCCAAACUAAUUUUCAGUUGGUUCUGCUUGUUUGCUAAUAUGAACUGAAAGUGUAGUUGUUCUCAUCACCAACCAUCAAUGUUAUUCUUGAACUAAAUUAUCAGUUGUUGCACCCUGUUGCAAUUUUUCAUCUGUCUUUUGUAUGGAUAAAGCGGUGUUUCCACCGAUGGUAGAGGCCGAUAGAAUAGCCAUGUUUUCUUAUUAUUAUUAGUCCUCUAAUCCUUGCUUUAAUUAGUUUUUUGCUUUGUCUCAACUUGAAAUGUCAUCUAGCUAGACAUGAAAAAGGAUUCACACAGCCACAAAGAACAAAGAGUGCAAGAAUAGAAUCACCUCAAAGGACGGAUAAAAGUAGAUGAUAUAUUUUCAUGUUUGUAAACCUAAUUUGUCAUCUUGGAACAGCCGUUUGAAUGAUAAUGACGUGUGAUUUAUUUCUACCGUUUAGUUGUCGCCACAAACUGCUCACCAUUUGGUCUUGAUCAAGGUUUUGGUUACCGAUGAGGCAUUUUUACCGAGGGGGACUGAUAAACGCGGUUACCACGGUUUCCCAGAAAUACGGAGAAUAUUUCGAAAGAAUUUUAUAGUUGAAUUUUGAAUUCAAAUAAGUGAAUGAACGAACAUUUGAAUCAGAGACCUUUCAAAACAGGAACUAGGUUGCUACCAACACGCUAGAACCAACUCUCAUGGCAUUAAUUAGAUCCUACGUGCUUUACUAUAAAUAGAGUGUUUAAAUUCAAAAAUUUCAAAAAAACUGUUUUUUUUUUGCUUGGUUCGGGGAUUUACCGAGGGGCACGGAAAUACGUGGUAACCAUGGGAAAUCUUGAAAUUUCGACUGGUAACCAAAACCUUGGUCUUGAUAAAAUUACAUCAUUUAUUGACCAGGUGCGCAGAGGCAGGGUUUCGAUCCGGCUGCAGCAAGAAGAUGAUGGAGGGCACUGGUUAUACUACUAGUGCAGGACUGCUUCUGUUUCCAGCUAGUAGCUAGUACCUACCUAUAUGUUGCUGUUGUGAAAAAUAAGAGAUGGACAUGUCGUCGUGUGAUGAGUAGUUAUCUAUCUGCUAGUAGUAUAACUAGUACUAGCUAGUAAGCUUGAUUCGAUGCUCGGUGAGAGCUGCCACUAUGGUAGUUAAUUUGGUUAUUUACCAUACCUUUGGCUGUGGGCACAUAUGAUUUGACGUACGCUCUGAUGAAGGGUUUCUAUUCUAUGUGUACCAUAUAUCAUUUUUGCUGCCCUCUGCUUUAUACAAUUAACUUGCUUGUGUCCGUUGGGUUAAUGGGUGCGGAAUCUGUCUAGGAUAUAUAGCAGCUAGCUAUCUAGGACGGGGGAAAGCAGCCAAGCAAUUUCCUCCGAUCCUGCAGGUGAAGUGGUGUCGCUGCAGGUUUCACGUUCCCUUUGCUUUCGCGCUUCCGGAAAUAUAAUGGGCCUGGAGCGUGAGUGAGUGGUUGUACGUACCUAUGUUGCUCUUGUGAAGAAAUAAGACUAUAAGAGAUGGACAUGUCGUGUGAUGUGUAGUUAUCUAUCUAGUGGUAUAACUAUAGUACUCCUUGUAAGCUUGAUUCGAUGCUAGGUCAGAGCUGUCACUAUGGUAGUUUGGUUAAUCUGAAGUCUGAACCGGACCUCUAGCAUAUGUGCUUUACCUUACCUGUGGCUGUGAGCAUAUAUAAUUUAACUUAGGCUCUGAUGAAGGGUUUCCAUUCUAUGUAACCUAUCUCAUUUCACUGCCCUCUUGCUUUAUAAUUAGUUUGCUGGAUGGAUUUGUAAUUUUGUAUCCGUUGGGAAGCAGCUAGCUAGGACGGGGGGAAGCGUCCAAGCAAGUUCCUCCUGCAGGUUUCACGUUCCCUUGUUGCUUUCGCGCUUCCGGAAAUGGGCCUGAAGUGGCCAGAGAGAGAGGACGAUGGAUAGGUUAGUGAUGCGUGUGGUAUGGCGCUAACUGGCUAUGCUAGCCAUGGAUGGCACAUGGCAGUGGGUUCACCAUGGUCAUCGAUGCUAGUGGAGUACGUAGUGCUAGCGAUGCUCAACAGCCAAAUCAGAAUUGGCUAUGCUAUGCACGCUACUUAACUUCCUAUAAUCAGUUCCUCUCACCUAACUGAGGCACACGCGCUCUCACUCCGGAGUAAAGAUGGACCGUUGGAAGGAGAAACGGGCACCAACCACCGCUCCACUUCACUCAGCUCACCUGUGCGUGAGCAGAAAAAAAUUCCUUUCUCGGCCUGUUAUUGAUGGUUGCAUGUGAAUGUCUACUCUUUCAGCAUUUUUUUCUUUUUUUUCAAAAAAGGUUUUACCCCAGCCUCUGCAUCAGAAAGAUGCAACAGUUCAUAUUAUUAAUAAAAAUAUCCAGCAACAAGUCUCCAAGUCUCGAAGUAAAAACAAAAACAAACGCUCAUAAGAGCUAAACAGAAAGCCACAACCGGCUGGCAAAUAAAAUAGGAGCACUACAUGCCUAUCCUAUUACAUGACCGCCAUCCAAACCGGUUGAAAAUAUCCCGAGCUACCAUCUCCCAUCGGGUAGACGCAGUAACCAAACGCUCCCUGGCCUCCGUCGGAGUGAGUAGCGACCACAUACGGAUCAACGCUGUGGCCCUGAAGAUAACCUGCAAAAAGUGAAUGUUUGUUGAUCUGUUAAAAACCAAAUCAUUUCUGCAGUUCCAGACUGCCCAAAAAAAAGCACAAACGCCAACACGAAUGUGCCUCGCUGUAUCGGAGUCAACCCCAUCAAGUCACGUUCCAAAUAACAUGUUGAUGAAAGUAGGCGGAUUAAUAUUAAAGGCAAUAUGAAUCGACCGCCAUAUGAUCUUAGCCAGCGGACAAUCAAGAAAAGGUGUUUGAUAGUUUCGUUAUGGUCACAAAAAGUACAUCUAGCAGAACCCACCCAAUUUUGUUUGGCCAGAUUAUCCUUAGUCAGAAUAACUUGUUUAUGCACGAACCACAUAAACACUUUGAUUCGCAAGGGUAUCUUUACUUUCCAAACGUGCUUCAAGGAAGGAAUGACGCUAGAGUUUAUGACAUCCAGAUACAUGAAUUUGACCGAGAACACACCGUUCUUAGUUUCCAAUAUAACUGAUCUGGCUGCUGAGACAGCUGGACAUCCAUCAAACGUCUUACAAGAUGAAGCCAGGUCUCCCAACGAUUUCCAACUAGCGUCCUUCGAAAACUAAUAUUGAGAGGAGUGGAUUGUAGAACUGUUGCAACGUAAACUUCUCUUCGUUGAACAACGUUGUACAGAGUAGGAUAUUGAAGUGCAAGGGGAGUCUCCCCAAGCCACGUAUCCUCCCAGAACCUCGUAUUAGCUCCAUUUCCGACUAAGAACCUUGUCCUGUUGAAAAAGAGUGGCUUGACUCUCAUCAAGCCUUUCCAAAAAGGUGAGUCAAUCGGCCUCACUGUCACCUGGGCCAAGGUUUUAGAUUGAAGAUACUUAUUUCGAUAAAUUUGAGCCCAAGCAGCCUCCGUCUCGGACGAAAGUUUAAACAACCACUUGCUAAGGAGACAUCUGUUUUUGACUUCCAGAUUCUCAAUGCCUAGACCCCCUUGGUCCUUCGGCCUAUAGAUUAUAUUCCAUUUAGCAAGCCUAUACUUUCGUUUAAGCUCAUCACUUUGCCAAAAGAAACGAGAUUGAUAGAAGUCAAGCCUCUUCUUGACACCCACCGGGACCUCCAAAAAGGAUAAGAGAAACAUGGGCAUACUGGUGAGGACCGAAUUAAUCAAAAUUAAUCGCCCUCCAUAUGACAUUAGCUUCCCUUUCCAACAGCUCAGUUUCUUCUCAAAAAGAUCCUCGAUGCAUUUUCACUCUUUAUUAGUCAGCUUACGAUGAUGAAUGGGUAUACCUAAAUACGUGAAUGGUAACGUACCCAAUUCACAUCCGAACAAUUGUUUAUACGCUUCCUGGUCAUCAUUAGCUCUUCCAAAACAGAACAGCUCGCUCUUGUGGAAGUUAAUUUUGAGCCCAGACAAUUGUUCAAAUAAGCAUAACACAAGCUUCAUGUUUCUCGCUUUCGCCUAGUCAUGCUUCAUAAAGAUGAUAGUAUCAUCAGCAUACUGAAGGAUGGAGAUACCGCCAUCAACUAGAUGCGGAACAAGGCCACCUACCUGCCCCGCAUCCUUAGCCCAUCCUAUUAAAAUAGUGAGCAUAUCAAUCACUAUGUUAAAUAAGAUCGGUGUCAUGGGAUCUCCUUACCUUAACCCUUUGUGCGUCUGGAAAUAGUGACCUAUAUCGUCAUUCACUUUAAUCCCUAUACUCCCUUUUUGCGUAAAGGAUUCAAUCUGGUUUCUCCAGGCCGUGUCAAAUCCUUUCAUACGCAAAGCCUGUUGAAGGAAAGGCCAUUUAACUUUAUCGUAUGCUUUUUUAAAAUCCACUUUAAAAACAACGCCAUCUAGUUUUUUUGAGUGAAUUUUAUGGAGCAUUUCAUGCAAGACGACCACCCCUUCAAGGAUAUUUCUAUCUGGCAUGAAAGCGGUCUGGAACGGUUGCACAACUAAAUGCGCAAUCUGCGUAAGUCUGUUCGUCCCAACCUUGGUGAAGAUUUUGAAACUAACAUUAAGCAGACAUAUAGGCAUGAACUGCUCAAUGCGAACGGCCUCUGUCUUCUAAGGAAGAAGAGUUAUCGUUCCAAAAUUCAGCUUAAACAAGUGAAGCUGUCCAUUAAAAAACUCAUGAAACAUCGGCAAUAGGUCUCCCUUAAUGAAGUGCCAAACACUUUUUAUAAAAAUCCGUCGGGAACCCAUCCGGUCCUGGAGCCUUAUUAUUUUCCAUUUGUGUGAUGGCCUCAAACAUCUCUUUCUCCGUAAAGGGGACAGUCAAAAUCUCAUUCUCUUCAGUCUCAAGUUGAGGAACAUCCUCAACCCUUGACUCAUCUAAAGACAAAAAAUUCUCUUUCGGAGGUCCAAACAACUGCUUAUAAUAGUUGGUAAUGUAAACUUUUAGGUUUUCUUGACCAACUAUUGUUCCUUCGUCUUGUUCUAAUUGGAAAAUUCUCUUCUUACGAUGCUUCCCAUUAGCAAUCAUAUGAAAGAAUUGAGUGUUAUCCUCGCCUUGGACAAUUUUUGCGAACCUUAGCUUGCAACGCCCACUUCAAUUCCUCCUCGCGGAGAAGCUCUUUCAGCCGCAACUCAGCCUCCAUCUUAGUUUCCAGCUCACUGGUACCUAAGACAGAAGAUUCAGCUUUUACUUCAAGGGUCUGAAUAAGUAGAAGUGGUCGCUCCUUCUCCGCCUUAUAAAUGCCAUGCGUAUGCUUAGCCCAUCCACGAAGGAACCUUCGAAGAUGACGAAUCCUACAUUGCCAUCGCUCAAUGGGUGACCUUCCUCCUGAGUCUUUAGCCCACUCUCUAGCUAACAACUCGAGGAAACCUUCUCUUUCAAACCAUGCAAGUUCAAACGAGAAAAUAUUCUUGUUACCCACAUGAGUUUGAGCCCCCGAGUCAAAAAGUAGCGGCAUGUGAUCCGAGAUACCUCGUGUCAACGCCUGCACUGUUACCAGGGGAAACUUCUGCUCCCAUUCGACACUAGCUAAAACACGGUCAAGAUUCUCGAAAGUCGGUACCGGUAACGAGUUAGCCCAAGUGAAUUUCCUACCCGAGAGCUCUAUCUCUCUGAGAUCCAAGCUUUCAAUGAUAGUAUUGAACAUAAACGACCAUCUGCCGUCAAAAUUCCCAUUAUUCUUUUCCUCCCUUCUUCGAAUAAUGUUGAAAUCACCCCCACUAAAACAGGGAGCUGCUCAUUACCGCAUACGCGGACGAUAUCUGCCAAGAAAUCUGGCUUGAGUUCUGGUUGCGCGGCUCUGUAAACCGCGACCAAAGCCCAAUCAAAGCCAUCGGCUUUAGUUCUUACCCGAAAUUUUACCGCAAACUCUCCCAAGACUACAUUCUGAACUUCCAAAGUUUCACACUUAACCCCAAGUAAAACCCCACCGGAUCUUCCUCGAGGUGGGAGGCAAUGCCAGUCGAAAUCUACCCCCCAGAUAAAGUGCUAAGAAAUUGUGUAGUGAAGUUGCCUCUUCCAAUCUCGGACAAAGCAAUAAAAUCCAAAUGAUGUUCAAGAGAAGCAUCCGCUAGAAACCUUCUUUUAGCCAAGUCUUUAAGACCUCUGCUAUUCCAGAAAAUGCCUCUCAUAUUUCAUCAUGAAAUAUUUUGGAGGUACGAAUCCUAGCACUUCUACGCACAGCCGACACAGGAUAAACCUUGUGUUUCCAAGUUCGUUUCGGCUUAAUGCGAUCAUCAGAUCGGUCACCACACUCGGGCUCUGCCGCAAUCACCAAAGACUCAUCUACAUGGUUAGAGGUCUCAGGAUAGGCAUACCCCUCCUCCUCCUCUAUCUCUUGUAACGCAGGGUCAAGAUCGGCACACAAACCAUCAAGAACCCUAACCCCAAGCGCAUCAAUCUCCGACUCGUUCAUAGGCUUAACGGCAGCUAUGUGACGAAUCAUUUCUAACGCUUGUUCCGCUUCCAAAUCAAGAAUGUCAUUAACAGACCUAGCUCUAUAUCAUUAUUACCAAGUGAUACUCCUAGUUGGUUUGCAUUGUGAACAAUCUCAUCAUUGGUAAAAUGCAUAAUUGAAUUCGAUUUAUUAACAGACAUACCAGUGGAGAUCUCGGCGUCACGCAGCUUGGCCGCCCUCAUAGCAGACCUCAGCUACAUGUCAUCAACGUCCGGCUGCUCCUGCAACCUCCCGCUGAUCCGCCUCCCCUCAGAGACAGGAUCCGGGAUCCGACCAAAGGCGAUGACCUCCUCGCGUGAAGCUCUGCUAGGGGAAAGGCCUCCUGCCCGUCCCCCAACAGAGGUGACCUAGGCCGGGACCACCGGUGCAGCACCACAAGAUGAUGACAACUCCCGCGGCCUGUCCACGGGAGUCCCACCGAAAGCCGAGACCAGCCUAGGGCGAUCUGGGGAUUGUGGCAACAAAACGGUCAUGCCCCCGACCCGCCCUCCGAGGCCAAGCGCGACCUGGCCAGUGGGGAAACGGUGGCCUCCUGCACGCCCACCCCUCCGCAAGCAGCUAGCCUCAAGGGAGGGAACGCCGAGUUUGCCCUCACGGCGACGGCAACUCGGAGCCCCGGGCCUCCUGCCCGUUACCUCCAACCGAGACCACCGUCGCAGCCACCUCCAUCAUCGACGAAACCACCUACACGCAUGCACCUCCAAGGUCCGCCCGAGCCUCCAAGAUGCCCAAAGCCACAGGGCCAGCCUUGGGCCCCUCCGAAGCAGGUGAAAACUCGGUGAACGAGGGCCGGGCCACCUGCUCGCGACCGACCGCUGAACCAUCCAGACCGUCCGUCACCUUCAACCUAAGCAACGACGAUGAAGGGGGAGUAAAGGAGAACUCCUGCCCACCGGAUCCUCCCAGUCCGUCCAUCCCUACCAACAAUUCAGACCCCACAAACACCAGCGGGGAGUGCUCCGACGGAUCGUCCAAAUCCACUCGGUCGCUCCAAAGACGAGGAGGCGCUGAGAAAGCUCCUAAAGAUCCAAGCUGCAGCAUAUUAGUCAGAACAGACCCAGAUGCCUUCUCCUUAGCAGUCUCUCCUGCCUGAGUAGAAUCCAUAGGCCCUGUAGCCUUGUCCCCAUCAUUGUGUGUACUACCAUCCUAGUUCCCAGAAGCACCUCCUCCCUCAGAAGUGUCCAUAUGAUGCACCUCCUCAAACUCCUUGAACAAAUCAGGGUCCUCAUACUCAACAUCCAGCAUACACGCGACUCCCUCGCGAGUCCAUCUUACCACAUCUGGCAAGAACUCAAUGUUAGCCACACUAACCAGCAAAUGUGCCACACCAUGAGCACGCGUGAAAGGCAUAUCUACCUGCUCCGUCUUGCCGAGCAUAGAUCCCAGGCUCCAAGUGACCAGGAAGCUAUCCAAGGGCUCAGAAGGUGCCCCCGAAAAACGAACCCAAAUCUGAGUCAGCGGUUGACCCUGAGGCUCCUUCUUUUUCCACUCAUCAAACUGCAACACAAAACUUGUACCAGUAACCCGACUCAUGCCAAACUUCAGAAUUCUCAUCUGAUCCUCCUUGGACGGAAACUCCACUUUGUAAGUAUGAUCAGAUAACUUCAACAAAGACCACUGGAACUUACCCGGUGCCAACUCCCGCAACUGCUGAAUAAUCUGGGCUUCCGUGAGAGGGCCAUGAACCACCUUAACCACGCCUGGGAAGGAAGUUUGAACCAUGGGAGCCACCGGAGCCACACUUGGCGACUCGAAAAACAUCAACUCAGCGUAACAGAUCCCAUAAAUGCUAACCGUAGGCUUGGGCCCCAGAAGAAGUGGACAUUCCGCCGCCGUAUGUUUUGGUUUCCGACAUAAAUCACAUAACUCAGCAGAGCAAUCAACCAUAAAGUGACCCAGUUCUCCGCAUCGAAAACAUGUCAACUUCUUCCUCUUAGUCGCCCACUUGGACGAUUUAUCUCCCUCGGACUUCUCCAUACCUUUGUCUGACAUAGCAUCACCCGAUUGGGAGUGCUCUGGCACCGUUACAUCAGCAAGGGCUCGAAUAGUCUCCACGGCAACCUGUGGCAGAACCGCACCAUCUGUGAUCCCCUCCUCAAUGCUCGAUGCCGAACCCGUAGCAACAGGCACAUGGCGAGGUGGAGGGGGACACUGGUAGCCACCACGACCACCACGAAAACAGCCACGGAAGGAGCGGUUAUUGGGUCCAGCCGCCCCUUCCACAAAAUUGUCGGGCGGCCCCUGAAAACCAGCCCAAGCAUAGCCACGACCUCCUCCGGUCGACGAAGAACCUCGAUGAAGCCCUUCACCAUAGGCAUUGAAACCGUCAUCACCCCACUGACCAUGCUGGGGAUAGCGGCCGUCUCCCGCGAAACCGCCCGAGCCGCGGCCACCCGCUCCCUGAAUAGAGUCUCCAUGCCCGUCGGCCAUCUGCUUGGGCCAAGGGCGCUGCGGCGGCGGGGGGCAGCCCUGUGCUGCGGUUGCGGAGUCUGGGAAGCCGACCUGGGCUGCGGUUGCGCAUGCCUAGCCGGCGGCGGCGCCACGGCCGGCCCCGCACCCAGCGCCGGGGUAGCUCCAGCCGCCCUUGACCCCGCCAUAUGAACGGGCUUCGGCGGUGGGUGACCCUUCGGCGGCAUUGCGAUCCCGUGUACCACCGGCGCCGCGACCAGUCCGGAUUGUCUGCUCGCGCGCCCAACAGCAGCUGGGAAACCCUGCUUACCACGACAACGAACCCUAACCUCCGCGCCGCAACGACCUAAGGAAGACGAACAUGCAUGAUUCACGCGCAUCGAUACAAAGCCAUGCACGUCGGCCCUCGCUGGCAAAAUGCCUGGGCCUGGUUUUGCCUGGGCCACCAGCCCUGCUAAUCCUAGCUCUAACGCAGCCCGCUCACCCUGACCAGACUGCCUGGCGCAUGCCCAAAAGUGCACGGCAACGCUUCGGCCCGCUUAGCUUCAGGCCCAACCUGGCCCAGAAGCAGGUUCAAACGCGUUACCCUGGCCGCCCGGAUCUCAUCCGCUGCGACGGCCAUCGGGGCCGGCGUCCGAGCCGCCAACCUUGCCAUUCUCUUCUUCUUUCUGGUCACUCUAGUCCACGAAUCCGGCAAUAAGAAAUUUGACAACGUAAUUGUCUGAAGACAUACCUUGGGUAAAGGGCCUUUCCAUGGCCGGAUCGCGGAUGCCGCCAUCCUCCGGUGAACUAUCCGGCGAACCACCUCCACCUUGUCCUUAGCAUGAACUCCUUACCUAGCCGGAUCGUCGAACGGAACGACAUCAUCAACAAUCGUAGCGAUUUCCCCCACCGAAUAUCCGGGAUUGAAGGCUUUGCAGAUCACAUCCGAUGGCGUCGGCGAGUACAACUCCGGCGAGUCUCCGGCGGUGGCCCCAUUGUUGUCAUCUUCAUCGUCUGAUCCCGCUAGCGCCCAAAACCUGCCGCCAACCUGACCUAGGCCGGGGACUACGAUGGCCGCCGGCCGACGCACCGCGGUCACGGUGCGAGUCGCUCCCAUCGCUGCUCGCUGCCCAUCUACUCUUUCAGCAUGUUUUCCUUUUUCUUCUUUUACUUUCUUGAUUUGCACUUACAUUCUGUGAUGUCAUUUCAUUGUUUGCCGUUUCUUUCAGCUUGGUGAAGGCUCGCCAGACAUAACAUUUAUAAUUCAAACGACCACCUCUCUUAGGGUUCGCAAGACACGCGGCUAUCCCUCUGCUGGAAAGAUCAUGACUGGCCAGGGAAAUUACAUUAUAAUGGCUGGGAGGAGCACGUGGGUGAAGUCGGUUAUCACAUCGCAGGCCAUCCACCACCUCACUUCGCUUGUGGUGCCCAAAGGAAUGAUGGCGUCCAUCGUCAAGCUGCAGCGGGCUUUUCUUUGGGGAGGCACGGAUAAGGUUUUUAGGGGCAAAUGUAAGAUAAGAUGGGAGAAAGUUUGUAUGCCCAAGGACAUGGGCAGCCUAGGCAUCCUGGACAUGGGAAAAUUCGCGCGUGCCUUAUGGCUCAUAUGGCCUUGGUUGGUUUGAAAGGACGCGGAAAGAGCUUGGGUUGAUUUGGGGCAGCCACGCGAUGAAGAGGACAUGACGCUGUUUUAUGAGUGCACUUCCAUUACUGUUGGCAACGGGCAAAGGGCCUCUUCCUGGCACUCCCCUUGGCUUGGGGGUCGCAAGCCAAAAGACAUCGCUCCCUCCAUUUUUGCAAUUUCCAAACACAAGAAUGACAGCAUCCAUAGGGUUUUGGAUCUCAACAAGUGGAUUGCCAACAUCAACACAAAUUCUGGGCUCACAAUUCAGCACAUCCUUGAAUACUAUGAGCUUUGGGUUGGAUUACGAGAGAUCCUCCUUGAUGAGGGGGUGGAUGAUGAGAUUGUUUGGAAGCUUUCGCCUUUCGGUGAGUACACGACAUCGUCGGCUUACAAAGCUCAACUCUAUGACUCCACUGCAUCGAAAAUGAAGUCUGCAGUGUGGAACAAUUGGGCGCCGCCAAAGCACAAAUUCUUUGCUUGGCUUAUCAUUCAAAACCGUGUUUGGACGACAGACAGGCUUCAACGGAGAGGAUGGCCAAAUUGCGGCCUAUGCCAAUUAUGCAAGAGGGAGCCAGAGACGGCGGCACACAUCAUCUUCCGGUGUCGAUACACGGUACACAUUUGGACGAAGAUCAAGACUUGGAUGGGUGUGACCGGUGUGGACAUCACCGACUAGAGUAGCUUCGAUAGCGUCAAUGAUUGGUGGCACCACAUGGUAGGCGUCAACGGCAAUGUGCAAAAGGGCCUCGCAUCUCUCGUCAUGUUGGCUUCAUGGGAGAUUUGGAACAAGUGGAAUGCGAGAGUAUUUAGGAAGGUGUCCUCCAUACCAAAUGUAAUCACGUCUAGAAUCAAGGCGGAGGUCAGACUUUGGGGGUUGGCAGGGGCCAAACGUCCGAGUUCUCUUAUGCCUCGAGAGUAGGCUUAUCUGUUUCAGGCCGUCUACGGGCGGUCAGUCGUGUAAUUCAAAACUCUUCUUAAUUAAUGAGAUGAGGCAAAUAUUUUGCCCCCGUUUCAAAAAAACUGCAAUACAAGUUAGUAUUUAUCGUAAAAUAUCCAAUUAGAAUAAAAAGAAUUAGCAAGAUAAGCCAAGCAUUUGCAGAUCAAAGUUUUCCUUUUUACAUUUACUAUUAGCUUGAAUUUUAUUUUACAGAAAACCGGAUGAAUUUAUUCACAAAACACCACAUGUUACAUUGUUGAAAAGGUUAUUUAUCUUUACGGGAGACUAGGUCUUCAUUGUUUAUGCCUAAUUUUCCCCUUUCUUACAGAAACAAAUUGCUAGUCACGUGACGACUCUAUGCCUCUUCUUGAGAGCAAAGCUUUUGUCGGCUAUGUUGUUCUGUCUUGUCUAUGAUCCGUUUUGGCUCUCACAACAUGUGAGAAAGAUCGUGGACAAUGGUUGAUGUUUCUGUUUUAUGUUCACAAAUUUACAAUGUCAUGGGAAAGGGGCCGACCAUGAUGAAAAUAAAAGUAUCAUCNNNNNNNNNNNNNNNNNNNNNNNNNNNNNNNNNNNNNNNNNNNNNNNNNNNNNNNNNNNNNNNNNNNNNNNNNNNNNNNNNNNNNNNNNNNNNNNNNNNNNNNNNNNNNNNNNNNNNNNNNNNNNNNNNNNNNNNNNNNNNNNNNNNNNNNNNNNNNNNNNNNNNNNNNNNNNNNNNNNNNNNNNNNNNNNNNNNNNNNNNNNNNNNNNNNNNNNNNNNNNNNNNNNAUUCCAUGUAUUUCAUCCGUGCUAAAGAAACAAGACUUAUGCAUUUUUUAUUAAGACAAAAUUUGACCAAAUUUUUAGAAAAAUUUAUCAAAAGCUAAAAUAUAACUUUAUUAUAAUUUAAUAUGCAACAAGAUGUAUUUUGAUAAUAUAUAUUUAUUAUUGUAGUUGUUGGUAUUUUUUCCUAGAAACAUGAACCAUUUGACUCCACAGAAAAUUUAUACGCCUUCUUUUCAAGCGGGGAGGGACUAUUCUCUUUAAAAGGUUGGUAGAUUCAUUAAGAAACAUAGAUGGAAUUGCAAGUAAACUUUUUUUUGUAAUACUCUUUGAAUACGUGGCAAAAGUUGAUUGAUGGAGUUUAAUAAUAAAUUUAGGUUUCUUUCAGUCGAUACUCAUUCGUUGGAGUAUAUAUAGGUUUCCAUCAAUAUAUAUUUUUAAAUCGCCAAGAAUUAAAUAUAAAUCAUGCGUUCCCUUCUUCUGCCCACCACACUAUUUUUUCCAGUUGGUUCUGCUUGUUUGCUAUGACCUGGAAGUGCAGUUGCUCUCAUCAUCAACCAUCAAUGUUAUUCUUGAACUAAACUGUCAGCACCCUAUUGCAGUCUUUUCGUCUGUAUUUUUAUGGAUAAAGCGACGUUUCCAUCCAUGCUAGGGGUCGGUGGACUAGUGUUAACUUUUCUUCUUAUUAAUCCUCUAAAUUUUGCACCAUAAUUUUCCUUGUAUCACUUGAAACGUCAUCUACAAAUGAAAAAGUAUUCACAGCCACACACACACAAAAGGGUGCAAGAAUAGAAUCACCUCAAAGGACAUUAGAUGAUAUCUAGAGCAGAAUAUUACUGUAAACCUAAUUUGUCAUCUUGGAACAGCUAGCCGUUUGAAUCAUGCUGUGUGGUUUAUUUCUACCAUUUAGUACUCACCACUCACCACCAAAAUUUGCUCACCAUUGGUCUUGACACAGUUUACUGGCCAGGUGCGCAGGCAGAAUUUGGAGCCCGCAGCAGCAAGAUGAUGGAGAUCGAGUACUACUAUACCACUAGUGCAGGAGUCCUUCUGUUUCCUAGCUAUAAUACCUAUGUUGCUCUUGUGAAGAAAUAAGAGAUAGACAUGUCGUGUGAUGUGUAGUUAUCUACCUAGUAGUAUACUCCUAGCACUAGUAGAAAAGAGGGCUUUGGUCCAGGCCGGGUUAGCCCAUUAGUCCCGGUUCAAUCCAGAACCGGGACUAAUGGGGGCAUUAAUCCCGGUUCAAUCCAGAACCGGGACUAAUGGGGGCAUUAGUCCCGGUUCGUGAGCCCAGAGGGCCGGCAGGGCCAAGUGGACCAUUUGUUCCGGUUCGUCUGGACCUUUUAGUCCCGGUUGGUGCCACGAACCGGGACUAAAGGGUGCGAUGCCCAUUAGUACCGGUUCGUGGCACCAACCGGGACUAAAGGGUUAGACCUUUAGUCCCGGUUCGUGCCACGAACCGGUACUAAUGGGGUUCGAGGCAUUAGUACCGGUUUAUGGCACGAACCGGUACUAAAGGUCCCAUUUUCAAACUCUACCCCCCCUGAUCGCCUUUUCAGUUUUCAAAAAAAUAAAAGAAAAUGAUGAAAAUGUAAAAAAAAGUAAAAGAAAAUAAGUUUCCCAUGUGAUAUGUGGUCUAUUUGUUGGGAAAAUUUGCAAAUGUGAAUUUCGACUUUAUUUGCAAAAUCUCUCUAGAAUUUAGUAACAUGGGCAUAACUUUUGCAUACUAACUCGGAUGAAAAAGUUUUUUAAAUGAAAAAUCAUCUACUCGAAAAGUUACAUCCAAAUUUAACGGGGGGAACCCCGUUAAACAUUUUCAAAAUCCCCAAAAACCAAACAGAAAAAUAGUUACGGGGCUUUUAAGAUCUAGAGUGGAAAAAAUCGAAAAAAUUUCAAACUGUGUGGUCAAACUGUGGUCAAACAAUGGUAUAACUAAUUAUUCUAGAAUAUUAGUGUUACUAAAUAAUUAUUUCAGUUGUUUUGAAUUUUGGUCAAAUCUGGUCAAACUGUGGUCAAACAUAGGUCAACAAUGGUCAAACUAAUUAUUCAAGAAAAAUUAGUGUUACGAAAUAAUUAUUGUUUUUUAAAACAAUAGUUUCAAACUCAAACAGUGAAAUGUGUCACUUCAUGCUCACGCAAAACUCCUGAGGAUUAAUAGGAUUGACAUCUUACUAUUGUCAGGAAAACAACAAGUGCAGACUUGGAAACGAGGAAGAAUAGAACCCGGAAGUUAAGCGUGCUCAGGCUGGGGGAGUGGGAGGAUGGGUGACCGUUCGGAAAGUUAGAUGAUUAGGAAUGAUGAGGGGUGAUUAGAGAUUAGAGGAUAAACUGAGCAGUGACGAGGGGUGGUGCAAAAAAAAAUUAAAAAAAAUCCAAAAAAAAUUUCAAAAAAGAAAAAUCAUAAAAUUUUCUUUAGUCCCGGUUGGUGUUACCAACCGGGACUAAAGGUGGAGCUCCACAUGACCGCGACCUUUAGUCCCGGUUCCAGUUUGAACCGGAACUAAAGGGGGGAGGCAUUAGUAACGACCCUUUAGUCCCAGUUCAAGAAUCGGGACUAAAGGCCCUUAUGAACCGGGACUGAUGUCCCCUUUUCUACUAGUGUAGUAAGCUUGAUUCGAUGCUAGAUUAGAGCUGUCACUAUGGCUGUUUCGUUAGUAUGAAGUCUGAACCGGACCUUUAGCUAGCAUGGGUUAUUUGCCUUACCUGUGGCUGUGGGCAUCCUAUAUACUUAAGAAGUUUAUCCCCACUACUUUAUUUAUCUUCACAUGCAGGCUAUCCACGUCAUCAAGUAGUCCCCACAUGUAAAAUGAUUCCCCACUAGCCAAUGCAGUCUGCCAUGUCAUCACAGUCCUUGAUUUUCUCUAUAUAGUAAAGGAACCCGAGGCAACGAGCUGCAGUUCCAAAGCAUGCAGGAGCAGCAGGUUCGCCUCCUCCGCUUCCCCUCCACCUAAAUUCCAGGGUGUCGUCUCCCCUUCACUUCUCGAACCAGUUGCUUUCCAUGUGUAUAUAUAUUCACCUCAUGUCCACGCCCCUCCAGCGCCAGUUGACUGGCUUCCGUUCAAGCUUCCUGCGAUUGUAGGCACGCCUAGGCUCUUGCUCUCCUUGAAGCGUUAGCUCUAGCGUCAAAUAAGGGUCGACACAGUCCGGGCCGGUCCGGUCCUUGACCGAGCUGCUGUUUGGACCGGCCGCCGGCGGUCCGGACCGGACCGGACCGAGCAGUGCCGCGGUCCUCUUUUUAGGGACCGAACCGGCGGGUGUAAAGACCGACAGGCUCGGCGGUCCCUACGUUGGCCAGUCACUGUCAUGUGGGGUCAGCACGUCGGAAAGGUGGUGGGAGAAGUAGCAUGGUGGCCGGGGCCGAAGAAGAUGCACCUGAUGCUUGCGGUCGAUGGGCGACGCUGCGGAGGAGAUGCGCCUCAUGCUUGUGGUGGUCGGACGACGCUCGUAGGCGACAAGGAGGUGGUUGACUAAGUCAAGAAGUUGCCAAUGGCGGCCGGUGUGGAGGAGGCGCUCUUGAAGCCUCGUGAUCUCAUGGGACGCGGAGCUCCCUCCAUGGCUCUUACUUCCCCGUGUCGACGGCGUGUUGGCGACGAGAUGGAAGCUCCCCGCGUCGAUGGCGAGCACAAGGAGGAGGUUGACGGAGGCCGCGCUCCCUCCUUCAGACUACGCAAUCAGCUGCGGCGGCGGGAUAGGGGAGACGGGGAAUGGAUGACGCCCUGCUUUGUCCUUUCCUUUGCGGCUGUGCCCUAGCUAGAGUAGACUGAUGUGUUGGGCUGGGCUAGAAUUCACAGUCCGCCGAGCCGGCUCGGUCAAAACCAGGACCGGACCCAAUGUGAAACGGGCCCAUAUUUACAGACCGGACCGUCCAUUAUAUUGAGCGGGCCAAGACCGAACGGGCCAUGAGCGGGCUGAAAAGCCCGCUCGCUGCGUCCAGCCUGAGCGUCAAAUCCACUCCAUCAUUCCUGGAAGGAGAGAUCGAUGCCCCCAACCAAUAGUCAUGUAUGCACCUUCAGCUACGCUGAUGAACCCCAUGGCUAUUGCCCUCUUCCUUAUCCCCCAGAGUAUGUUUCUUCCCCGCCACACCAAUACUGAUCUCGUGGGGAGCAGAUGACUUCUUCUAUGCAGUUUCUAAUGAUAUUAUCUUCCAUAUGCAUGUGUGCAGAUCGGUGAAAAAGGGGAAACAUUACUCAGCUGGCUGCCCCCGCAGAUGUGUUCGUUGUGUUUUUUGACAUCCUGUUGUUCUUUGUACGCGAUGAUGUGAUGGAUGCGUGUGGGUGGUUUUGAUCCCUUAUCCGAUGGAUGCAUGUAUGGUGCUCAUCCUUGACCUAAUGGAUGCCUAGGUCCUGACUCCUGAUCGAUACAGUAGCUGCAAUCUCCUGCGGCUCAGCUACCUCCGCUCUGCAUUCUGUCACAAUGGAGCGACCUAAGAGCACGGCCGGCGUGGACGGGCGCGCGAGUGCGCUGGGGAGGCCAGCGAGCACGAAGGGCGGAGUAAGCUGACGAGGUCCGCAGCAAAACUACAUGGACGUACAGGGCGUUUCUUCUGGGGAGAACCCCAGCGAUUAUUUCGGGGUUGAUCUCCACGUACAACUAGCCCCAACUUUCUUUUAGGGAUUAACUAGCCUCUAAUUAAUUAUCUAACUAGGGCAUUACUCUUUUAAUUGAUGUAAGUGGAUGAAACUUCUUAGAGGGAGGGGGUGUAAGGGAGGGGGUGGAACGUAAAUAUCAAUUAAUGCGUUCUAUUCUACAAUUUUGGUCUAUCCAAGCUUUGAUAGAUUGCGUUAGGCUGGUUGUAAUGGCAAGUAUCAUAUACUAGUAUCAUGCAUAUGAUACUAGUGUAUGAUACUACAUCCGUAGUGCACAGUAUCAUAUGUUAGUAUCAUAGGUGACUUCAUUUAUUAGCAUGCAUGACACAUAGUAGCACAACAUUUAAUAUGAUACGGUAUCAUGAUAUGAUACUCAAUCCCCUUUUUCUUCAUUUAAUUCUAUGCCACCUCAUCAAAUUUGCCUAGUUGGCAUGUAUGAUACUACCUAUGAUACUCCCAUUACGAUCAGCCUUAGAUGCUAGGCAAAAUUCCUCGACUACCUAACAAAUUUCUAAGAAAACAAGAAUUAUUACUCCCUUCCCUAGAAUAUUAUCGAGGUAGCUAUGCUACUUGCUAGAGUUGGAAUCUUCCUAAUAUGUAAUUGCAACUUUACAAGUAAUCUAGGGAAGGGAUUGAAUAUACUAUUUUUCUGUUUCUUUUAGUCUUCUUUGUACAUAUUUUUGGACAAUAUAAUAGAAAUUACCGUAGAACAAUUGUUCUACUGUUUGUGCUUAAAAUAAACUUCACAGUAAUCAACGUUGAUCCGAAUUUUCAAUACUUGGACACUCUGCCCUCCAAACGGUGGGAUGAAUGGACAAUUGAAAAAUAUGUCUAUUAACUUUUUUCACUGCACAUGUUUCUAUUUUUGCAUAUGUGCUUCUACCCUAAUGAAUGAAACACAAUACACUUUACCCUAGGGUACCACCUAAUUGACCCGCAACAAAAAAGAAUGCCACUGAAUUCAUGAAACUUACAUAUAUUGCUAAAAUUGGGAAGUUGAGAAUACUAUGGAAGAACCACAUCCGUAUGAUUAUCCACAUGUAAAUGUUGAUUUUGUACGAGAAGGAAAAAUAUAUUACCGUCGAUUUUACAGAGAUCACCGAUCAUAAUUCCAAAGCAUUAUGAAAAUUAAUUUUGAAAAGGAAUGGACGCGGUCUAACUGUCUAACAUGUUUUAACAAUGUUACUACAAAGUGAUCAUGCAAAUAUUCUGAAUUAUAUGUAAUCACUUAUCCAUGUUUUAUCUUUCCAUGUUGUGAGUCUAACUACUAUUCUUUUUUUGCGGGUGAACUACUCUUCUUCACUAUAUGAACAUUGAUCCUUUUUUUAUCCUAUACAUUGCUAUGAAUUUUAGCAGCAACGCAUGGGGAACGUAUUAUAUUACACACAAUCAAACCUAAUUAAAAUAUUGCAACCGAUUCCCGCAGCAACGCGCGGAGUAUCAUCUAGUAUUAUAUGAUUUGACGUACGCUCCGAUGAAGGGUUUCCAUUCUAUGUAAUCGUAUAUCAUUUCACUGCUGAUUUGUAUCCGUUGCGUUAAUUGCUUUGCUGGGCGUGGAACUCGUCGGGUAGCAGCUGCUAGCUUAGCUAGGACAGGGGGAAGCAUCCAAGCAACUUCCUCCCGCGGAUGGUACGGUCUUGUCGCGCUUCUGGAAAUGGGCCUGGAGUGGCCAGAGAGAGAGAGCGUGAUGGUGUUGUUUCUCAGAUGUAGCACCAUUUUCUUGCCGCACACAAAAAUGAGGAAAAUUUCGAGCAUACAUUCCAUGUAUGCUAUGGCUGACUGGAUGGCAGGGGGUUCAUGAUGGUCAUGGAUGCUAGUGAAGUACGUAGGACUGUUAGUGCUAGCCAUGCUCAACAACUAUGUAAAUCAGAAUUGACAAUACUAGCUAGUUACAGUACUUCCUAAUCAGCUCCUCUCACCUAACUGAGGCACAUAUGCGGUCUCACUCCGUCCCUAGUAAAGAAGAGACGCACGAGUCCAAUUCACUCCACUCCAUGUGCGUGCUGAGCAAAAUUCCUUAAUUUCUCGGCCAGUAAUUGAAGGUUGCAGGUGCGUGUCUACACUCUUGGUCGUUGCACGCUUCAGGAAACGAGCACACAUGAUUCCAUGUGCCGCUGUGCUUAGCAUGGUUCCUUUUCGUUCUGUUGCUUUCUUGCUUUGCACUUACAUCAAUUUCUUGCCUUAUCGUUCGGCUUGGUAAAGGCUAGCUAGCCACACAUGACAUUUAUCAUAAAUAUAUACAGUGGAAUUACAAAAACAAUAGCUAUCAUUACAUCCUGUGAUGUCACUUUCUUGCCUUAUCGUUCGGCUUGGUAAAGGCUAGCUAGGUAAACAUGGUAUUUAUCAUAAAUAUAUUCAAUUAGAAUCACAAAAAAGUAGCAAGGUAGACUGUGCAUUUGCCCAGCUAGAUUUCUGUUUUUACAUUUAUCUGAAUUUAUUUUGAUGUUACAUUUACUUGAAUUUCUUGUAUAAAAAACUACUUGAGUUUAUUCAUGAAGCACCACAAUUUAUAUUUGUGAAAUAACUACUCGAAGGCCAUGCUUCCCCCGCACUUUUUCUUCUUCAAAUUUUCACAACCUAUAUACACUCUUGUUUAGAUUGAUUACUAACCUGCCGAUGUGGUUUAGGCCUAUAUGUAUAUUGUGUGGAAAGUGUGCACAUAUGUGACAAAGGAAAAUUCAAGCACAAAUUCCAUCUAUAAAUCUAUCUAUAAAUAGUUAAAUACAAUAUGCUCUCGAAUUUUUCAGGCCUCACAUUCAAUUGAGACCUCCAAUAUGAAAUCGGCUCACCUGAUUUUGACCGGGUCAACAAUUUCUCUUGGAGCUCUCUCAUUAAAUGCUUUUUGAUUUACUGUGCCCCCUAAUUUUGAAGCUUUCCCAUUCGAUUGAGGUAUUCAAUUUUUUAUUUGUUUCACGAUUUUAAUCGGGUUAAUGCAUGGUUUUUCAAAUUAAUUGGCAGCAGUCGGCCUAUAAAAACAUAUCAAUUCCAUGCACUCUCCCAUCAGCUAGAAAGAACCACAAACAUGUGCUACAAUAGCAUCAAUAUAGUACAUGCAACCAACGGUGAAGAAAAUGUCCCGACAUAAGUAUGGGUUGACUAGCAGAUAACACACUUGGUUCCGCUUGGUGAAGGCUAGCUAGACAUAACUUCUAUAAUGCAAACUACCCCCUCUCUUAGGGUUUGCGUGGGUAGCCCUAUAUUGACAAUUUGACAAACGGAAUACAAGUUAUUUAUCUUAAAAUUAUACAGUUCAAAUAAAAAACUUGGGAUUUGAGUCAACUAGUAACUAGUCAAACAUAGCUACUGUGAGCGGUGCUGGUAGGCCUACUCUUUUACAACAACUAUAGUAGAGUGGCACAUCCGCAGUGUCCUUGUUGCGUGUAAAACAUGGUUCAUAAUAUUUUGGAGGUGACGCGCGAGUCACCAUAAUGCAGCUGUUUCUUACUUUUAUUUCUUUUAUGCUUGCAUCAACUCAAUACUCAUACACUCAUUUGGAGGGAUUCUACACUUCAAUUGACAUAACAAAGUUCUUACAUAGGAGAAGAAACGUCAAUUAGUGUCUUCCUCGUACAUAAUUAGUAGUGAAGUUGUUCAAAAUUUAUCCUUUUAUAUAUGUAGCAACUUUAUAUCAUGCAUCUUGAUCCUUAGUCAAUGGUGAAACUUAAGCACGAGUACAUGCAUAUUUGACGAGUCAGCUCGAUGACUAGUUGCGACAUUGUGACGGUGGUCUGGCAUGGUUGAUGUCAGAGUGGUACUUGUAGGGGACAUGAGUAGCUGGUAGGCGCUACCACGGUCCCUAGCACAACGAAAUUGGGCUAUCUCACCUUCAUCCCAUGCCUCCUUUACAAUGAUGGUCCAAGAUGGUGCACUUUGUUUCCGCUGCUACCGCAUGUACCGCCUCGAACUCACACUAGAAGGCACACUGCCUCUCUGCCACUUCCGCUUGAGCCACCUCGAACUCGUACCAGGAGGCUUGCUUCCACUGCACCGCCAAUGCCUACCGUUGACAGUCUCCUCAAAUAUAUCACACAUCACAUAGGUGAAAGGACGAGGCAUAGGGGCGUAGCAAUCAUCACAUGCCUCCUUAAUAGAGAGAUGGCGAGGAACCUGUUGUGGUAGGGCAUUUAAGCUGCCUUGGUAGACUUAGGCAUGGUGUCGGGAGAUCUUCGGCCUGGCACCACACCAUAUAGGGGAUACCAAUCUAGCACGUACCAACUACCGAGGAUCCAACCCCUCCCACUUAGCGACGAUGGAGGGACCCUCCCGAAAGGCAUCUCGCGUGUCACGACUAUCCCACCCCUCCUCAGCCAUGAGGGCAUCCUCCUCCUAUGCGGCCUCCUUAUCCAGCAUAUGCCCCCCCUCUUCCUCCAUGAGCGGCACUCAAUCAGGCUGUAGGGGAAGCAGGAUGGUGCUGAUGUACGAAGUAGACGCGAAGAGGGAGGUGUAGCUUUGGACAGCUGCGUGAUCAGCCGGGAUGGGGAAGCAUCGGCCUUGUAAUAGCCACGGCGUUGGGCGGCUGCAAAUGGCAUGCACAACAGGAAACAUCAGUAAUAGAAAAAAUAGGCAUGAAAAGCGGCCCCCGAAAGUGGUUGUGACAUAGAGGGACAAAGCCCCCAGUAAUGCUGAACAGCAGAGGUAGUUCCACAUGAGUAACCGCAUGUAGUUAGAAAAUCGCAUGUAAUACUUAUUUAUUCCAGGUGGUUAUAGAAUGGAUCCGCCUCCGAAAAUACAUGAUGCCAAUUACAAUAUGCUAACCACCUCCAAGAGUUUGCUAACCAACUUACUGACCCUGAGUUCACUAGGAAAGAGUCCAUUCGCUAGAGGGGGUAGUGUUGUUGCCCGUUGACCGUGUUGAGUGGGCACUUUGUUCUUUUGAAAUAUGAGAGAUUCUGGAUUCCCGUGGAUAGGAUGAUUUCAAGAUUCACAAUGCACUCAGUCAGAAAGGUUUAUUCUCUUCCCUAGAAAAUGUUUAUUCUUUGAAGAGUUAGGGGAAACUUAUGUGUUGUAAAAUGUAAACCAAUCACGAUCACUAUAAAACACUACUAUUGAAUAUGUACCUUUAAGGAUCAUCUAUUUCUUUUAAAUGUACAUAUAAUGCCAAAAAAGGCUUUCGCCCAGCUUUAUAUAUAAAGCAACCAUCACAAGGCGAGACCAACAAAGUAGCAAUACAGAAGACGACACACACACCAAACACAAACUCCUAAGGUAGCACAAGAAGGGGUUCCGCUGAGGGCACCAGCUCAACGAGUCCCAAAACAAAAAUAACCAGAGGAUACAUAUAGUUCAAAGUUACAUGUAAUGUACUGGUGCGGCGCUGCAUCAUGCUAUUGCCAAAAAAUAAAACCUACCAAAAUUUCUAAUUGGGCUAUCCCAAAAUGGCACAUAUAAGAUGAGACGAUAUCUACGCAAGGAUGGGUUUUGUCUUUUUCGUUCAUCACAAUCAGUCGAGUUCUGUGGGACGGAUACUUGAAAUGUGGUUGUUUUUUUGUCAAAUACUCCAAUCAGUCACUCCACAAUGCGAGAGCAGUGAUUCAUGGCUACAGUUCAUCCUUGGUGCAAGGCACUAAACACCAACAUCAACCACAAAAAACCAUAAGCACCGUGGAGCGAUGGCAUACCGGCCAGGACAACGAACUCUAGUCCAGAGAAAAGAAAUGUGCCAUUUUGGUGCGUGAGGACCGUUCACGGGUGAGUAGACACUGUUAAGAUAGUACCCCUAACACCAGAAGCGGAGGAACGGCUUGCGCAAGGAUCAAAUGAUUGUAUAUUCAUUUCUACACCUUGUUGCCUAUAAGAGAAACUCAAGGUCUUAUAACCUCACAUGCCAGAUUACUAGUGGUGCAAUAAGAGAACCCCACAUCAUUACUUCAUUGUCUAUUUUGCUUGUAAGGUCACUAGAAAGAGAAGAAAACGAGGGAAAAGCCUCUAGGUACGGUGCAUCAAUAUAUCAAAUCUACCAUUGCAGUCAUUUUUGAAAUAUGAGAAAUUUUACUUGAAGAUUCACAGUGUACAGACUCAAGCAGUUUUAAUUAUUCUCGGAGGAGUUUUUGGGAGAAACUUUUGUGCUAUAAAUUGUAAACCGGUCAUGGGCGCUGUAAACAUUACUGAACGUAUAGCCCUAAUGACCAUUUCUUUCCUUUAGAUGUCAAUAUAAUUCAAACUCUCUGAGAGUCCAUUUCCUAAAUUUUUCCUCUGUUAUUCACGAUGCAUGGGAACCUUUUACUGCUCUGCUUUUUCACAAGCACGCUUGCCAGAGCGAGAGAGAGAGAGAGAGAGAGAGAGAGAGUUCAUUCAGCAUAAAAGGACCCCCAAAGGCUGCUGGCCGUAACACAACCCAGCCACAAGUCACACUCACACCGAGUCACCGACCACUCCACUACACAUCCGAAAUGGCGGCCGUGACGUUCGAAGAGGAGGUCUCCACGCUGGCUGCCAGCGCAGCGGCCAUCUCGCCGGCGGUUGUGAGGACGGCCGUGGGGCACUGUCACGCAGCAGCGCCGCCCGUGCCGCUGCCGAUGCCCUGUUCCAUCUCUUCGCCGGCACCAUCAGCGUCGUCUUCACGGCAACAUUCCUCUACCUUGUCGUGUUCCGGGCCUGCGUCGAGAACUGCACUGUGGCCUCGGUAGUUUGGGAGAUCUUUGUUUAUUCUGGUAUGCUCUCCCUGCUACUCAUGGUACCAGCGAUGGUGCUCUUCUUCCUGCGCGCCGCCGGCAGUGGCAGCGAGGUACUCGUCACUCACUCGUCAAACCCUCUCGCCCCGCGAAGCCAAUUUCGCUUAUGAUGUGAUUGUCAAAUGUUGUAGGUCAAGAAUGAUGUGGAGGGUCGCGUCCGUCGGUGGCCGCUAAUCUGGCACGCGUCUGUGGCGUUCUUCCACUUGGCGCUCUUGGUGGGACUCAUCGGGCUCGUUCUUCAAAUCUGUGGCGGGUCUCAAGAGGUUUCUUACCUUCUCCGCAUUGCGGCUGUGCUGUGCAAGCUCCUACUCACCGUGCUCUUCUGCAUCCGUGCUGCUGUGGCGCUGUGGAGGAUGAAUCCUCAACAGCCGGCCGCAGUUGGUGCUGCGGUAGUGUGAUGAGUGUACGGAGUAGUAAUCUAAUCUAUCUAGUAACUACUUGUAGUAGGCUUGCUUCAAUGCUAGGCCGCCAAGAAGAAGUACCGGAUCUAUCUAUCUAACACAGCUCCAUUGUUUACCCCAGUGAUGAACAGCGUCCAUUCUAUGUAAUCAUGUACUCGUAGCCACAGUGAAUUCCAGUAUAUGUUAUCAGGUCCCUUAAUUCUCUGCCUAUAUGACUUGACGUACGCUCUGAUGAAGUGAUGAAGAACUUCCAUUCUAUGUAAUCAUUUUGCAUUUCACUCUACUUGUAUUAAGUUGCUAGAUUUGUUUUUGGCUGGGUUUUGGCGCAGAGGGACGGAUCGAGCAGCUAGGAGAAAGCAGCCGAGCUGCUGCUUGCUUCUUUCUGUUCCUGGUGGGAUUCUUUCUGGCCAAUUCCACCGCGUGACCCUACCCUGUCCGUCCCCGUCCGUUUGGGAUAAAAGGUACAAAAGAAACGGCCCAGCGCGCGGGCGCAAACGGACUUUGUGUCCGCUUUGUGUCCGUUUUCGACCCAUCCCCGGCCCAAACUUGCGCUGGUUUUGGGGUGAAACGGACAGCGCGCGGACGGGCGGGAUGUGCGCCCUUGUCCUCCCCUGGCCCGCCCNNNNNNNNNNNNNNNNNNNNNNNNNNNNNNNNNNNNNNNNNNNNNNNNNNNNNNNNNNNNNNNNNNNNNNNNNNNNNNNNNNNNNNNNNNNNNNNNNNNNNNNNNNNNNNNNNNNNNNNNNNNNNNNNNNNNNNNNNNNNNNNNNNNNNNNNNNNNNNNNNNNNNNNNNNNNNNNNNNNNNNNNNNNNNNNNNNNNNNNNNNNNNNNNNNNNNNNNNNNNNNNNNNNNNNNNNNNNNNNNNNNNNNNNNNNNNNNNNNNNNNNNNNNCCCAUUUGGCGCCAUUUGCCCCAAACCCUCCCGCCUCCCUCCCGCCGCCCUCUCUCUCCUCCGUCCAUGGCCGACGCCCCGCCGAGUACCGGCGGCCUGGCCGCCGUCCCGCCCGCAAAGGUGAAGAAGAAGGCUCGAAGGAAAGCGCGGUCGGAGUACACGCCGGAGGAGAUCGCCAAGUUGGACGCGGAAUCGGCGAAGAGGAGGGAACGGAGAGCGGUAGUCAAGCUCAAUGCCGCCGCGGCCAAGAGAGCUGCCAUGCGCGAGGAGCUGGAGGCCGCGCGGCACAAGGCCGCUGCCGACGAGAAGGAGGACAUCGUCGUCAGCAAAGCUCACGUCAUCCUCAUGCUUGGCAUGGGCCGUCCUGCCGGGUUCCCUGCAGCGGACGUCGCACCGGCGAGCACCAGCUCGUCGGUUGCGCAAUGACAAGCCAUUCACUCUUACGCAUUGUUGGACGCUCAUCAACAUGUGCCCUAAGUUCAAGGACCAAUACCGUGAACUACAAUGGAAAAGAGGACUGAAGACGGCCAAGUUCGCCAGAGGUGGAGAUGGCAAGGCGUUGAAGAGGCCGAGGGGCAAGACCAACUCCAAGGUGGACGGCAUACGUGACACCUCAUCCAUGGCCUUGCAUGAGACUUUGCAUGGCAUGAUAUCCCAAAAGGAUGUGAGGGACAAGAAGAAGCGGCAAAGCAAGGACGAGCAAAUGAAGCAAUACCUAGACCUUCAAAGACAGAAGCUUGAGAUGGAGGAGGCGGCCAAGAAGAGGAAGCUCGACAUGGAGGAGGCGGCCCGGCAAAGGUAGCUCGACAUGGAGGAGGCGGCCCGGCAAAGGCAGCUGGACAUCGAGGCCGACAACGUCAAGGCCAGGCAGAGGCAGCUCGACAUCGAGGCCACCAAUGCCGCCACCAAAGCGAAGGAGGUGGCCCUUGCGAUCAUGAGCGUGGACUUGUCGAAGAUGAGCGACAAGACGAGGGCCUGGUUCGAAGCCAGGCAGAAGGAGAUGCUCGACGCCGAAGGCCUGAACUAGGUCAUCCGAUCGGCGUGGCCGUUCUUUUUGAGGCUGACAUGGGUGCCGCCCGCCCGUCGGGGGCCGCUGGCAGUGCGCCGGCGAGAAAACAUUCAUUUUGGAGGUUGGCUGUGUUGCCGGCGAGAAAAACUAUUCAUUUUGGAGGCUGGCUGUGUUGCCGGCCGCUGGUUGAUGCCGGCGAUGGACGUGUAGGCCGGCGUGAACCGGGAACGCUAGCUGAAUUAGUUUUUUAUGGAUGCGGACAGGAUGGGGCAAAUGGAUGCGGCCUCGCGCUGCGCGCACGACCACCGCAUCCCAGGACACGCCCGGACACGGCCCCAAACCCCUACUCAAACGGACCGAAUCUGGACAAAACGGACGUCCGUUUGGGAUCGCGCGGUGGAGUUCCUCACGCUUCCGGAAAUGGGCGUGGAGCGUUGCACAUGGCCUGCCGAGAAGAUAGAUAGCUACGUAGUGCUAGCUAGCUAGCAAGUUCAACAAUCAAUCAAAUCAGUAUCAGAUACAGGAAGUGCUAUAAUCAGCUCCUCUCACCUAAUAUUCAGGCACACGCGCGCUAUCGGUCACUCCGGCGUAAAGAUUGGACCGUAGGUUCAACGGAGAGGCGCCAACAAACCCAACACCUCCACACCAGUCCACUUCACUCCACUCCCCUAUCCUUGCUCAAAAAAUAUCCAUUCUCGGCGCUUUCUUCCAGGACGUUUGCUGGUGCAUGUGACGUUUCACGCAUCUGGAAACAGGCACAUGGCGCUUUCCUACGUAUUAGCAAGUACAAAUGACAAAAUUAAUUUAUGUACAUAACUACAUAAUACUAUGCAAUGUGAGUUUCGGUGUUAUAAUACUACUUAUCUUGCUAACAUGUGGCCUCUAUACCUUUUCUUUUGAGAAACUGCAUCCUUUAUUAAAGUUCAAACAUUCAUGUGUUUUUUUUUGAGAAAAGUUCAAACAUUCAUGGUGACACAGAUAAUGUUGGGCAAAAGGGAGAACCACACAUGACUCACAAAAGGAAUGGAAGAAGUUGCCUUUGCAAGGGAAUGAGCUUCCCCAUUAUAUUCCCGCUUCUCGUGGAUGAACUUGAGAGCUUGAAACGAGCCACACACAACAAUGGUUAAUUUUCCAAAGGCACUACUAGGAAAAGGGCUAUAGAUAGGAUUGAUACUAAUGGCGCAUCAUGGAAAUAGUGCGCCACUAUUAUAUACUAAUGGCGCACCUGUUGGUGAUGCGCCGUUAGUGUGGAAGACACUAAUGGCGCACCAGAAACAGGGUGCGCCAUUAGUAUUAAUUUUUUUUCCAUUUUCCAUACAUACUAAUGGCGCAUCAGGUCGAACUGCGCCAUUACUAGUUCUAACUAGUAAUGGCGCACUACCACGCGGUGCGCCAUUAGUAAGCUUCCCCCUCACUCCACCUGUUCCCCUCCUUCCCUUCCUCCCAGCCCACUCGACCUAAUUUGCCCCCUCCGCCCCAACCGUACGCCCCCGCCGCCGCCGCCCCCUCCGUCCCCUCCGUCCCCUGCCGCCGCCGCCCCGACCCCCGCCGGAAUNNNNNNNNNNNNNNNNNNNNNNNNNNNNNNNNNNNNNNNNNNNNNNNNNNNNNNNNNNNNNNNNNNNNNNNNNNNNNNNNNNNNNNNNNNNNNNNNNNNNNNNNNNNNNNNNNNNNNNNNNNNNNNNNNNNNNNNNNNNNNNNNNNNNNNNNNNNNNNNNNNNNNNNNNNNNNNNNNNNNNNNNNNNNNNNNNNNNNNNNNNNNNNNNNNNNNNNNNNNNNNNNNNNNNNNNNNNNNNNNNNNNNNNNNNNNNNNNNNNNNNUCCCUCCCCUUCCGCCGCGCCCUCCGCCUCCCCACUGUCCUAGCACCCACGGCGACGACACGAGGCCUCGCGCCCCCGCACCGCCGCAGCCCCGUCGUCUCUGCUCCGGCUUCGGGCCUCCUCCCCUCUCCAGAUGGAGCGCUGCCGGACCUCCGCCCGGCCGCCGCAGCCGCAGCCCGCUCCCGCCUCGGCUCAAACCCCAGGUGCGGCGCCGAUCCACCCGCCAACUCACUAGCCUGCUCUGGCUUCGGGCCUCCUCCCCUCUCUAGAUGGAGCGCUGACGGACCUCCGCCCGGCCGCCGCAGCCGCAGCCCGAUCCCGCCCCGGCCCCAACCCCAGGUGCGGCGCCGCUCCACCCGCCCCGACCCCGGCUGAGGGGCCUCCUCUUUGACGUCCGGGCCAAGAUCGACGCGGAGGCCGCGGCGCCUUCCCGUUCCAGAAGCAGUGCAGCGUCGGCUCCGUGGCGUGCACCGACCCGACCCUCUGCUUCAACAAUGGCAACUCUGAGGUCGGUGGCGCCUGUUGGGAGGACAACUCCGAGACGGCGUCUGCAGACUGCAGGUUCGGUGAAGAUGGCAAUUGCAAUGGCAAUGGCGGUGCGUCGCGGGAGGUCGAUGCUUCGGAACAACCGGUGCGUUCCAGGGAUGUCGUUGAGCUCUGCUUCCCUAGCUGAAUCCAUGAAUGUGGUCAGUGAUUAUUUGGGGUUUUUGCUUCGGUAGUUCUUGCAUGGGAGUUGUUUUACAUUUUUGGUGAAAAUACACUCUCAUGGAACGAAAGGGCAAUCAGUGAGUACAACUGAUAUGAUGUUCUUAUGUCUUGAUACUAUGCUUACUCAUAUAAUAGCAAUAGAAGGAGGUUAAUAGUUAUGCUCAGGAGGAUGUUUUCUGGUACAAAAUUGUAAUGCCAAUAUGCGCUUGAUCUCUGGUUUGGAUUCGUGAGUAUUCAGGCAAUCGGAUGGGACCAUGAUACAGAUAAAAAAAUGCACCGUCUUCGGCUCUUUCUCGCUGUUCAAUAUCAAUUUCUUAGUUAACUUGAGCAUCGAUUCAGAAAAAUUCUUCCACACAUAACCUGAUGAUAUAAGCCUCAACCAAAACUGAAGUAGCAGCAAUUGGUACCGAUAGCUAGCUAGCUUGACUGGAUUAUGUGCUUAAUUCACUGAGUUUGGUUGGUGAAGAUGAAUUAGCAGCUCCCCCAUGUAGCUAGAAUUGGUAUGAUUUCUAUGGAGAAUGACCAAUUCAGCUUCUUACCCCUAAAAAAAAUCAGCUUCUUUAAAACUGACAGCAGGUUCCUCCCAUGUUUCACUUUUUUCUAGUUAGUUUCUUCCAGCUAUAGGUUAGUUUACAGCUAGAAUUAUGUAUUUCAACCAUUUAUAUGUUUAGUUUCCAGCUAUAGGUUAGUUUACAUCUAUUUGCUGCUAAUACAACAUAAUAUUUGAUAUGAGCAGGGUGAACAACCUUCAGGUCCCGGGAAUCUACUCAAGGCUGCAGACACUUCUUGUCUCACUUCUUUUAUCAUCGGUAUAAUAUUCAUAUUAAGGAGUUUCUAUAAGUUCAUUGUUCUUACCUGCAAAUUUCAAAUGAAAGCACAAUCAAUCCAUAUUAAGUGCUCAUCCUAGUGGUAGGCAAAAUAAUUAGGGGAGUGUGUCAUUCUUGCUAUGGUCAUGUAAGAGAAAUGCUCUGCCUUGCUAAUUUUACCAUGAGAUUUGGGGUAAUCAGCUAGUUCUGGUCAAAGCAAGUGGUUUUCCUGAGCUAUGCCUUGGUUAGAAAAUGAUGCAUGAUGGGCAUCAUGCAUGUUAUCAUGCACGUUUCAUGAUCUGUUGUAAGGGUACUAAUUGGUCUCUUCUGCUGCUUAUCAUAGAUGGCGGGCAGCAGCCACCCCCUCUGCGACACCGCAGUACAAGUUGGAUGCUUCCGAGUUCUUCACUAUCAUACUUGAGACUUCAGUAUCAUCCAUGACGCAGGUAUAUAAAACGAGAGAUCUCCCCUUCACCCAUCUCAUUAUGAUAUCUGCUAUUUGCUACAUCAUGAAGGAAAUAUGCCCUAGAGGCAAUAAUAAAGUUAUUAUUUAUUUCCUCAUAUGAUGAUAAAUGUUUAUUAUUCAUGCUAGAAUUGUAUUAACCGGAAACAUGAUACAUGUGUGAAUACAUAGACAAACAUAUAGUCACUAGUAUGCCUCUACUUGACUAGCUCAUUAAUCAAAGAUGGUUAUGUUUCCUAACCAUAGACAUGUGUUGUCAUUUGAUUAAUGGGAUCACAUCAUUAGGAGAAUGAUGUGAUUGACAUGACCCAUUUCGUUAGCCUAGCACUUGAUCGUUUAGUAUAUUGCUAUUGCUUUCUUCAUGACUUAUACAUGUUCCUGUAACUAUGAGAAUUAUGCAACUCCCAUUUACCGGAGGAACACUUUGGGUACUACCAAACGUCACAACGUAACUGGGUGAUUAUAAAGGAGUACUACAGGUGUCUCCGAAGGUACAUGUUGAGUUGGCGUAUUUCGAGAUUAGGUUUUGUCACUCCGAUUGUCGGAGAGGUAUCUCUGGGCCCUCUCGGUAAUGCACAUCAUUAUAAGCCUUGCAAGCAAUGUGACAAAAUGAGUUGGUUAUGGGAUGAUUCAUUACGGAACGAGUAAAGAGACUUACCGGUAACGAGAUUGAACUAGGUAUUGGAUACCGACGAUCAAAUCUCGGGCAAGUAACAUACCGAUGACAAAGGGAACAACAUAUGUUGUUAUGCGGUUUGACCGAUAAAGAUCUUCGUAGAAUAUGUAGGAACCAAUAUGGGCAUCCAGGUUCCGCUAUUGGUUAUUGACCGAGAAUAGUUCUAGGUCAUGUCUACAUAGUUCUCGAACCCGUAGGGUCCGCACGCUUAACGUUACGAUGACAAUUUUAUUAUGAGUUUAUAAGUUUUGAUGUAUCAAAGUUUGUUCGGAGUCCCGGAUGUGAUCACGGACGUAACGAGGAGUCUCGAAAUGGUCGAGACAUAAAGAUCGAUAUAUUGGAAGCCUAUAUUCGGACAUCGGAAUCGUUCGGGGUGAAAUCGGCAUUUUACCGGAGUACCGGGAGGUUACCGGAACCCCCCGGGGGGUUAUUGGGCCUACAUGGGCCUCGAGGGAGAAGAGGGAAGGAGGCAGGAGGGGGCCACACGCCCCUCCCCUUCCUAGUCCGAAUAGGACAAGGAAAGGGGGGCGCCCCCCCCCCCCUUUCCUUCCCCUCUUCCUCCUCUUUCCCCCCUUCUCCUAUUCCGACUAGGAAAGAAGGGAGUCCUACUCCCGGUGGGAGUAGGACUCCCCCCUUGGCGCGCCCUCCUUGGCCGACCGCCUCCUCCCCUUGGCUCCUUUAUAUACGGGGGCGGGGGGCACCCCAUAGACACACAAGUUGAUCUACGGAUCGUUCCUUAGCCAUGUGCGGUGCCCCCCUCCACCAUAUUCCACCUCGGUCAUAUCGUCGUGGAGUUUAGGCGAAGCCCUGCGCCGGUAGAGGAUCAUCAUCGUCACCACGCCGUCGUGCUGACGGAACUCAUCCCCGAAGCUUUGCUAGAUCGGAGCCCGGGGAUCGUCAUUGAGCUGAACGUGUGCUGAACUCGGAGGUGCCGUACGUUCGGUACUUGGAUCGGUCGAAUCGUGAAGACGUACGACUACAUCAACCGCGUUGUCAUAACGCUUCCGCUUACGGUCUACGAGGGUACAUGGACAACACUCUCUCCUCUCGUUGUUAUGCCAUCACCAUGAUCUUGCGUGUACGUAGGAAAUUUUUUGAAAUUACUACGUUCCCCAACAGUGGUAUCAGAGCCUAGGUUUUAUGUGUUGAUGUUAUAUGCAUGAGUAGAACACGAGUGAGUUGUGGGCGAUACAAGUCAUACUGCUUACCAGCAUGUCAUACUUUGGUUCGGCGGUAUUGUGAGAUGAAGCGGCCCGGACCGACAUUAUGCGUACGCUUACGCGAGACUGGUUUCACCGUUACGAGCACAUGUGCUUAAAGGUGGUUGGCGGGUGUCUGUCUCUCUCACUUUAGCUGAAUCGAGUGUGGCUACGCCCGGUCCUUGCGAAGGUUAAAACAACACCAACUUGACGAACUAUCGUUGUGGUUUUUAUGCGUAGGUAAGAACGGUUCUUGCUAAGCCCGUAGCAGCCACGUAAAAUUUGCAACAACAAAGUAGAGGACGUCUCACUAGUUUUUGCAGGGCAUGUUGUGAUGUGAUAUGGUCAAGACGUGAUGCUAUAUUUUAUUAUAUGAGAUGAUCAUGUUUUGUAACCAAAGUUAUCGGCAACUCGCAGGAGCCAUAUGGUUGUCGCUUUAUUGUAUGAAAUGCAAACGCUCUGUAAUUGCUUUACAUUAUCACUAAGCGGUAGCGAUAGUCGUAGAAGCAAUAGAUGGCGUAACGACAACGAUGCUACGAUGGAGAUCAAGGUGUCGCGUCGGUGACGAUGGUGAUCACGACGGUGCUUUGAAGAUGGAGAUCACAAGCACAAGAUGAUGAUGGCCAUAUCAUAUCACUUAUAUUGAUUGCAUGUGAAGUUUAUCCUUUAUGCAUCUUAUCUUGCUUUGAUUGACGGUAGAAUUUUAAGAUGAUCUCUCACUAAUAAUCAAGAAGUGUUCUCCCUGAGUAUGCACCAUUGCGAAAGUUCUUCGUGCUGAGACACCACAUGAUGAUCGGGUGUGAUAGGCUCUACGUUCAAAUACAACAGGUGCAAAACAGUUGCACACGCGGAAUACUCAGGUCAUACUUGACGAGCCUAGCAUAUACAGAUAUGGCCUCGGAACACGGAGACCGAAAGGUUGAACGUGAAUCAUAUAGUAGAUAUGAUCAACAUAGUGAUGUUCACCAUUGAAACUACUCCGUCUCACGUGAUGAUCGGACAUGGUUUAGUUGAUUUGGAUCACGUGAUCACUUAGAUGACUAGAGAGAUGUCCGUCUAAGUGGGAGUUCUUAAGUAAUAUGAUUAAUUGAACUUAAAUUUAUCAUGAACUUAGUACCAGAUAGUAUUUUGCUUGUCUAUGUUUGUUUGUAGAUAGAUGGCUCGUGUUGUUGUUCCGUUGAAUUUUAAUGCGUUCCUUGAGAAAGCAAAGUUGAAAGAUGAUGGUAGCAAUUACACGGACUGGGUCCGUAACCUAAGGAUUAUCCUCAUUGCUGCACAAAAAAGUUACGUCCUGGAAGCACCGCUGGGUGCCAGGCCUGCUGCUGAUGCAACUGACGACGUUAAGAACGUCUGGCAGAGCAAAGCUGAUGACUACUCGAUAGUUCAUGAAGGAAAUAUGCCCUAGAGGCAAUAAUAUAGUUAUUAUUUAUUUCCUUAUUUCAUGAUAAAUGUUUAUUAUUCAUGCUAGAAUUGUAUUAACCGGAAACAUGAUACAUGUGUGAAUACAUAGACAAACAUAUAGUCACUAAUAUGCCUCUACUUGACUAGCUCAUUAAUCAAAGAUGGUUAUGUUUCCUAACCAUAGACAUGUGUUGUCAUUUGAUUAAUGGGAUCACAUCAUUAGGAGAAUGAUGUGAUUGACAUGACCCAUUCCGUUAGCCUAGCACUUGAUCGUUUAGUAUGUUGCUAUUGCUUUCUUUAUGACUUAUACAUGUUCCUGUAACUAUGAGAUUAUGCAACUCCCGUUUACCAGAAGAACACUUUGGGUGCUACCAAACGUCACAACGUAACUGGGUGAUUAUAAAGGAGUACUACAGGUGUCUCCAAAGGUACAUGUUGGGUUGGCGUAUUUCGAGAUUAGGUUUUGCACUCCGAUUGUCGGAGAGGUAUCUCUGGGCCCUCUCGGUAAUGCACAUCACUAUAAGCCUUGCAAGCAAUAUAGCUAAUGAGUUAGUUACGGAAUGAUGCAUUACGUAACGAGUAAAGAGACUUGCCGGUACCGAGAUUGAACUAGGUAUUGGAUACCGACGAUCGAAUCUCGGGCAAGUAACAUAUCGAUGAAAAAGGGAGCAAAGUAUGUUGUUAUGCGGUUUGACCGAUAAAGAUCUUCUUAGAAUAUGUAGGAGCCAAUAUGGGCAUCCUGGUUCCGCUAUUGGUUAUUGACCCAGAAUAGUUCUAGGUCAUGUCUACAUAGUUCUCGAACCCGUAGGGUCCGCACGCUUAAGGUUUCGAUGACAGUUAUAUUAUGAGUUUAUGAGUUUUGAUGUACCAAAGGAGUUCGAAGUCCUGGAUGAGAUCGGGGACAUGACGAGGAGUCUCGAAAUGGUCGAAACGUAAAGAUCGAUAUAUUGGACGACUAUAUUCGGAGUUCGGAAAGGUUCCGUGUGAUUCGGUUAUUUUUCGGAGUACCGGAGAGUUACGGGAAUUCGCCGGGGAGUAUAUGGGCCUUAUUGGGCCAUACGGGAAUAGAGGAGAGAGGCCGAAAGGAAGGAGGCGCGCAGCCCCCCUCUGGUCCGAAUUGGACAAGGGGUGCGGCCCCCUUUUCCUUCCUCCUCUCCCCCUCUUUCCCCCUUCUCCUACUCCAACAAGGAAGGAGGGAGUCCUAUUCCCGGUGGGAGUAGGACUCCCCUUGGCGCGCCCCUUCUAGGCCGGCCGCCCCCUCCCCCCCUUGAUCCUUUAUACACGGGGGCAGGGGGGCACCUCUAGGCACAACAACACAAGUUGAUCUACGGAUCGUUCCUUAGCCGUGUGCGGUGCCCCCCUCCACCAUAUUCCACCUCGGUCAUAUCGUCGCGGUGUUUAGGCGAAGCCCUGCGCCGAUAGAGCAUCAUCAUCGUCACCACGCCGUCGUGCUGACGGAACUCAUCCCCGACACUUUGCUGGAUCGGAGUCCGGGGAUCGUCAUCGAGCUAAACGUGUGCUGAACUCGGAGGUGUCGUACGUUCGGCACUUGGAUCGGUCGGAUCGUGAAGACGUACGACUACAUCAACCGUGUUGUCAUAACGCUUCCGCUUACGGUCUACGAGGGUACGUGGACAACACUCUCUCCUCUUGUUGCUAUGCCAUCACCAUGAUCUUGCGUGUACGUAGGAUUUUUUUUGAAAUUACUACGUUCCCCAACAGUGGCAUCCGAGCCAGGUUUUAUGCGUAGAUGUCAUAUGCACGAGUAGAACACAAGUGAGUGGUGGGUGAUACAAGUCAUACUGCUUACCAGCAUGUCAUACUUUGGUUCGGCGGUAUUGUGAGAUGAAGCGGCCCGGACCGACAUUACGUGUACGCUUACGCGAGACUGGUUUCAUCGUUACGAGCACUCGUGCUUAAAGGUGGCUGGCGGGUGUCUGUCUCUCUCACUUUAGCUGAAUCGAGUGUGGCUACGCCCGGUCUUUGCGAAGGUUAAAACAACACUAACUUGACGAACUAUCGUUGUGGUUUUGAUGCGUAGGUAAGAACGGUUCUUGCUAAGCCCGUAGCAGCCACGUAAAAUCUGCAACAACAAAGUAGAGGACGUCUAACUUGUUUUUGCAGGGCAUGUUGUGAUGUGAUAUGGUCAAGACGUGAUGAGAUAUAAGUUGUUGUAUGAGAUUAUCAUGUUUUGUUGAAGUUAUCGGCAACUGGCAGAAGCCCUAUGGUUGUCUCUUUGUUGCAUAAGAUGCAAGUGCCAAAUAAUUGCUUUACUUUAUCGCUAUGCGAUAGCAAUAGUUGCAAGAGCAAUAGUUGGCGAGACGACCAUGUAACGACACAUUGAUAUAGAUCAAGAUGAUGAAGAUCAUGGUGUCGUGCCGGUAACGAUAGAGAUCAUGACAGUACUUUGGAGAUGGAGAUCAAAGGCGCAAGAUGAUCAUGGCCAUAUCAUGUCACAUAUUUUGAUUGCAUAUGAUGUUUAUCUGUUAUACAUCUUAUUCUGUUUUGUUUGACAGUAGCAUUUUAAGAUGAUCUCUCACUAAUUAUCAAGAAGUGUUCUCCCUGAGUAUGCACCAUUGCGAAAGUUCUUCGUGCUGAGACACCACGUGAUGAUCGGGUGUGAUAGGCUUUACUUUCAAAUACAACGGGUGCAAAACAGUUGCACACGCGGAAUACUGAGGUUAAACUUGACGAGCCUAGCAUAUACAGAUAUGGCCUCGGAACACGGAGACCGAAAGGUCGAGCGUGAAUCAUAUAGUAGAUAUGAUCAACAUAUUGAUAUUCACCGUUGAAACUACUCCAUCUCACGUGACGAUCGGACAUGGUGUAGUUGAUAUGGAUCAUGUAAUCACUUAGAGGAUUAGAGGGAUGUCUAUCUAAGUGGGAGUUCUUAAGUAAUAUGAUUAAUUGAACUUAAAUUUAUCAUGAACUUAGUCCUGGUAGUAUUUUGCAAAUUAUGUUGUAGAUCAAUAGCUUGCGUUGUUGCUUUCAUAUGUUUAUUUUGAUAUGUUCCUAGAGAAAAUUGUGUUGAAAGAUGUUAGUAGCAAUGAUGCGGAUUGGAUCCGUGAUCUGAGGUUUAUCCUCAUUGCUGCACAGAAGAAUUAUGUCCUUAAUGCACCGCUAGGUGACGGACCUAUUGCAGGAGCAGACGCAAACGUUAUGAACGUUUGGCUAGCUCAAUAUGAUUACUACUUGAUAGUUUAGUGCACCAUGAUUAAUGGCUUAGAAUCGGGACUUCAAAGAUGUUUUGAACGUCAUGGACCAUAUGAGAUGUUCCAGGAAUUGAAGUUAAUAUUUCAAGCAAAUACCCGAGUUGAGAGAUAUGAAGUCUCCAACAAGUUCUAUAGCUAAAAGAUGGAGGAGAAUCGCUCAACUAGUAAGCAUGUGCUCAGAUUGUCUGGGUACUUCAAUCACUUGAAUCAAGUGGGAGUUAAUCUUCCAGAUAAGAUAGUGAUUGACAGAAUUCUCUAGUCACCAUCACUAAGUUACUAGAACUUUGUGAUGAACUAUAGUAUGCAAGGGAUGACGAAAACAAUUCCCGAGCUCUUCGUGAUGUUGAAAUCGAUGAACGUAGAAAUCAAGAAAGAGCAUCAAGUGUUGAUGAUUGACAAGACCACUAGUUUCAAGAAAAGGGCAAAGGGAAAGAAAGGGAACUUCAAGUAGAAUGACAAGCAAGUUGUCACUCCCACGAAGAAGCCCAAAGCUGAACCAAAGCCUGAAACUGAGUGCUUACACUGCAAAGGAAAUGGUCACUGGAAGCCGAAAUGCCCUAAAUAUUUGGUGGAUAAGAAGGAUGGCAAAGUGAACAAGGGUAUAUUUGAUAUACAGGUUAUUGAUAUGUGCUUUACUAGUGUUUAUAGUAACCCCUGAGUAUUUGAUACUUGUUCAGUUGCUAAGAUUAGUAACUCGAAACAGGAGUUACAGAAUAAACAGAAACUAGUUGAGGGUGAAGUGAUGAUGUGUGUUGGAAGUGGUUCCAAGAUUGAUAUGAUCAUCAUCGCACACUCCCUAUACUUUCGGGAUUAGUGUUAAACCUAAAUAAAUGUUAUUUGGCGUUUGCAUUGAGCAUGAAUAUGAUUUGAUCAUGUUCAUUGCAAUACGGUUAUUCAUUUAAAGUCAAAGAAUAAUUGUUGUUCUGUUUACAUGAAUAAAACCUUCAAAUGGUCAUACACCCAAUGAAAUUGGUUGUUGGAUCUCGAUCGUAGUGAUACACAUAUUCAUAAUAUUGAUGCCAAAAGAUGCAAAGUUAAUAAUGAUAGUGCAACUUAUUUGUGGCACUGCCGUUUGGGUCAUAUUGGUGUAAAGCGCAUGAAGAAACUCCAUAAAGAUGGAUUUUCGUAAUCACUUGGUUAUGAAUCAUUUGAUGCUUGCGAACCAUGCCUUUUGGGCAAGAUGACUAAAAACUCCGUUCUCCGGAACAAUGGAACGAGCUAGUGACUUAUUGGAAAUAAUACAUACCGAUGUAUGCGGUCCAAUGAGUGUUGAUGCUCGUGGCGUGUAUCGUUAUUUUCUGAUCUUCACAAAAUGAAUUGAGUAGAUAUGAGUAUAUCUACUUAAUGAAGCACAAGUCUGAAACAUUUGAAAAGUUCAAAGAAUUUCAGAGUGAAGUGGAGAAUCAUCGUAACAAGAAAAUUAAGUUUCUGCAAUUUGAUCACGGAGACAAAUAUUUGAGUUAUGAGUUUGGUCUUCAAUUAAAAUAAUGUGGAAUAGUUUCACAAACUCAUGCCACCUGGAACACCACAGCUUAAUGGUGUGUCCGAACGUCAUAACAAGUACUUUAUUGGAUAUAGUGCAAUCUAUGAUGUCUCUUACCUAUUUACCACUAUCGUUUUGGGGUUAUGCAUUAGAGACAGCUGCAUUCACGUUUAAUAGGGCUCCAUCUGAAUCCGUUGAGACGACACGGUAUGAACUAUGGUUUAGCGGUAAACCUAAGUUAUCGUUUCUUAAAGUUUGGAGUUGCGAUGCUCAUGUGAAAAAGUUUCAACCUGAUAAGAUUGAACCCAAAUCGAAGAAGUGCGUCUUCAUAGAAUACCCAAAGGAAACUGUUGGGUACACCUUCUAUCACAGAUCCGAAGGAAAAUUAUUCGUUGCUAAGAUGGAUCCUUUCUAGAGAAGAAGUUUCUCUCGACAGAAGUGAGUGGGAGGAAAGUAGAACUUGAUGAGGUAACUGUACCUACUCCCUCAUUCGAAAGUAGUUCAUCACAGAAAUCUGUUCCUGUGACUACUACACCAAUUAGUGAGGAAGUUAAUGAUGAUGAUCAUGAAACUUCAGAUUAAGUUACUACAGAAUCUCGUAGGUCUUACAGAGUAAGAUCCGCACCAGAGUGGUACGGUAAUCCUGUUCUGGAAGUUAUGUUACUAGACCAUGACGAACCUACGAACUAUGAAGAAGCGAUGGUGAGCCCAGAUUCCGCAAAAUGGCUUGAGCCAUGAAAUCUGAGAUAAGAUCCAUGUAUGAAAACAAAGUAUGGACUUUGAUUGACUUGCCCAAUGAUCGGCGAGACAUUGAGAUUAAAUGGAUCUUCAAGAGGAAGAUGGACGCUGAUAGUGUUACUAUCUACAAAGCUAGAAUUGUCGCAAAAGGUUUUCGACAAGUUCAAGGUGUUGACUACGAUGAGAGUUUUUCACUCGUAUCUAUGCUUAAGUCUGUCUGAAUCAUGUUAGCAAUUGCCACAUUUCAUGAAAUCUGGCAAAUGGAUAAACAAAACUGCAUUCCUUAAUGGUUUUCUUAAAGAAGUGUUGUAUAUAAUGCAACCAGAAGGUUUUGUCAAUCCUAAAGGUGCUAACAAAUUGUGCAAGCUCCAGGGUUCCAUCUAUGGACUGGUGCAAGCAUCUCGGAGUUGGAAUAUAUGCUUUGAUGAGUUGAUCAAAGCAUAUGGUUUUAUACAGAAUUUUGAAGAAGCCUGUAUUUACAAGAAAGUGAGUGGGAGCUCUGUAGCAUUUCUAAUAUUAUAUGUGGAUGACAUAUUGUUAAUUGGAAAUGAUAUGGAAAUUCUGGAUAGCAUGAAAGGAUACUUGAAUAAGAGUUUUUCAAAGCAAGAUCUCGAUGAAGCUGCUUACACAUUGAGCAUCAAGAUCUAUAUAGAUAGAUCAAGACGCUUGAUAAGAUUUUUCAAUGAGUACAUACCUUGAUAAAUUUUUGAAAUAGUUCAAAAUGGAACAGUCAAAGAAGGAGUUCUUGCAUGUGUUACAAGGUGUGAAGUUGAGUAAGACUCAUGACCCGGCCAUUGCAGAAAAUAGAAAGAGAAUGAAAAGUCAUUCCCUAUGCCUCAGUCAUAGGUUCUAUAAAGUAUGCUAUGCUGUGAACCAGACCUAUUGUAUACCUUGCUCUGUGUUUGGCAAAGGAAUACAAUUUUGAUCUAAUAAGUAGAUCACUGGACAUGGGUCAAGAAUAUCCUUAGUGAGGACUAAGGAGAUGUUUCUCGAUUAUCGAGGUGAUAAAAGAGCCUGUCGUUAAUGUUACAACGAUGCAAGCUUUUACACCAAUCCAGAUGACUGUAAGUCUCAAUCUGGAUACAUAUUGAAAGUGGGAGCAAUUAGCUAGAGUAGCUCCGUGCAGAGCAUUGUGGACAUAGAAUAUUUGCGAAAUACAUACGGCUCUAAAUAUGACAGACCCGUUGACUAAGCUUCUCUCACGAGCAAAACAUGAUCAUACCUUAGUACUCUUUUGGGUGUUAAUCACAUAGCGAUGUGAACUAGAUUAUUGACUCUAGUAAACCCUUUGGGUGUUGAUCACAUGAUGAUGUGAACUAUGGGUAUUAAUCACAUGCAGAUGUGAAUAUUGAUGUUAAAUCACAUAGUGAUGUGAACUAGAUUAUUGACUCUAGUGCAAGUGUGAGACUGAAGAAAAUAUGCCCUAGAGGCAAUAAUAAAGUUAUUAUUUAUUUCCUUAUUUCAUGAUAAAUGUUUAUUAUUCAUGCUAGAAUUGUAUUAACCGGAAACAUGAUACAUGUGUGAAUACAUAGACAAACAUAUAGUCACUAGUAUGCCUCUACUUGACUAGCUCAUUAAUCAAAGAUGGUUAUGUUUCCUAACCAUAGACAUGUGUUGUCAUUUGAUUAAUGGGAUCACAUCAUUAGGAGAAUGAUGUGAUUGACAUGACCCAUUCCGUUAGCCUACCACUUGAUCGUUUAGUAUGUUGCUAUUGCUUUCUUCAUGACUUAUACAUGUUCCUGUAACUAUGAGAUUAUGCAACUCCCGUUUACCGAAGGAACAUUUUGGGUGCUACCAAACAUCACAACGUAACUGGGUGAUUAUAAAGGAGUACUACAGGUGUCUCCAAAGGUACAUGUUGGGUUGGCGUAUUUCGAGAUUAGGUUUUGUCACUCUGAUUGUCGGAGAGGUAUCUCUGGGCCCUCUCGGUAAUGCACAUCACUAUAAGCCUUGCAAGCAAUGUAGCUAAUGAGUUUUUUACGGAAUGAUGCAUUACGUAACGAGUAAAGAGACUUGCCGGUAACGAGAUUGAACUAGGUAUUGGAUACCGACGAUCGAGUCUCGGGCAAGUAACAUACCGAUGACAAAGGGAGCAAAAUAUGUUGUUAUGCGGUUUGACCGAUAAAGAUCUUCGUAGAAUAUGUAGGAACCAAUAUGGGCAUCCAGGUUCCGCUAUUGGUUAUUGACCAAGAAUAGUUCUAGGUCAUGUCUACAUAGUUCUCGAACCCGUAGGGUCCACACGCUUAAGGUUUCGAUGACAGUUAUAUUAUGAGUUUAUGAGUUUUGAUGUACCAAAGGAGUUUGGAGUCCCGGAUGAGAUCGGAACAUGACGAGGAGUCUCGAAAUGGUCGAGACGUAAAGAUCGAUAUAUUGGACGACUAUAUUCGGAGUUCGGAAAGGUUCCGAGUGAUUCGGGUAUUUUUCGGAGUACCGGAGAGUUACGGGAAUUCGCCGGGGAGUAUAUGGGCCUUAUUGGGCCAUACGGGAAUAGAGGAGAGAGGCCGAAAGGAAGGAGGCGUGCAGCCCCCCUCUGGUCCGAAUUGGACAAGGGGUGCGGCCCCCUUUUCCUUCCUCCUCUCCCCCUCUUUCCCCCUUCUCCUACUCCAACAAGGAAGGAGGGAGUCCUACUCCCGGUGGGAGUAGGACUCCCCUUGGCGCGCCCCUCCUAGGCCGGCCGCCCCCUCCCCCCGUUGCUCCUUUAUAUACGGGGGCAGGAGGGCACCUCUAGGCACAACAACACAAGUUGAUCUACGGAUCAUUCCUUAGCCGUGUGCGGUGCCCCCCUCCACCAUAUUCCACCUCGGUCAUAUCGUCGCGGUGUUUAGGCGAAGCCCUGCGCCGGUAGAGCAUCAUCAUCGUCACCACGCCGUCGUGCUGACGGAACUCAUCCCCGACACUUUGCUGGAUCGGAGUCCAGGGAUCGUCAUCGAGCUGAACGUGUGCUGAACUCGGAGGUGCCGUACGUUCGGUACUUGGAUCGGUCGGAUCGUGAAGACGUACGACUACAUCAACCGCGUUGUCAUAACGCUUCUGCUUACGGUCUACGAGGGUACGUGGACAACACCCUCUCCUCUCGUUGCUAUGCCAUCACCAUGAUCUUGCGUGUACGUAGGAUUUUUUUUGAAAUUACUACGUUCCCCAACAGUUCAGUGUGCCAUGCUUUACGGCUUAGAGCCGGGUCUUCAACGAUGUUUUGAACGUCAUGGAGCAUAUGAGAUGUUCCAGGAGUUGAAGUUAAUAUUUCAAGCAAAUGCCCGGAUUGAGAGAUAUGAAGUCUCCAAUAAGUUCUAUAGCUGCAAGAUGGAGGAGAAUAGUUCUGUCAGUGAACAUAUACUCAAAAUGUCUGGGUAUAAUAAUCACUUGAUUCAACUGGGAGUUAAUCUUCCUGAUGAUAGUGUCAUUGACAGAAUUCUUCAAUCACUGCCACCAAGCUACAAGUGCUUCGUGAUGAACUAUAAUAUGCAAGGGAUGAACAAGACUAUUCCCGAGCUCUUCGCGAUGCUAAAAGCCGUGGAGGUAGAAAUCAAGAAGGAGCAUCAAGUGUUGAUGGUUAACAAGACCACCAGUUUCAAGAAAAAGGGCAAAGGGAAGAAGAAGGGGAACUUCAAAAAGAACAGCAAGCAAGUUGCAGCUCAAGAGAAGAAACGCAAGUCUGGACCUAAGCCUGAAACUGAGUGCUUCUACUGCAAGCAAACUGGACACUGGAAGCGGGACUGCCCCAAGUAUUUGGCGGAUAAGAAGGAUGGCAAAGUGAACAAAGGUAUAUGUGAUAUACAUGUUAUUGAUGUGUACCUUACUAAUGCUCGCAGUAGCACCUGGGUAUUUGAUACUGGUUCUGUUGCUAAUAUUUGCAACUCGAAACAGGGACUACAGAUUAAGCGAAGAUUGGCUAAGGACGAGGUGACGAUGCGCGUGGGAAAUGGUUCCAAAGUCGAUGUGAUCGCGGUCGGCACGCUACCUCUACAUCUACCAUCGGGAUUAGUUUUAGACCUAAAUAAUUGUUAUUUGGUGCCAGCGUUGAGCAUGAACAUUAUAUCUGGAUCUUGUUUGAUGUGAGACGGUUAUUCAUUUAAAUCAGAGAAUAAUGGUUGUUCUAUUUAUAUGAGUAAUAUCUUUUAUGUUCAUGCACCCUUGAAAAGAGGUCUAUUUUUAUUGAAUCUCGAUAGUAGUAAUACACAUAUUCAUAGUGUUGAAACCAAAAGAUGUAGAGUUGAUAACGAUAGUGCAACUUAUUUGUGGCACUGAUGUUUAGGUCAUAUCGGUGUAAAGCGCAUGAAGAAACUCCAUACUGAUGGGCUUUUGGAAUCACUUGAUUAUGAAUCACUUGGUACUUGCGAACCGUGCCUCAUGGACAAGAUGACUAAAACGCCGUUCUCCGGAACUAUGAGCGAGCAACUGAUUUGUUGGAAAUCAUACAUACUGAUGUUUGUGGUCCAAUGAAUGUUGAGGCUCGCGGCGGGUAUCGUUAUUUUCUCACCUUCACAGAUGAUUUGAGCAGAUAUGGGUAUAUCUACUUGAUGAAACACAAGUCUGAAACAUUUGAAAAGUUCAAAGAAUUUCAGAGUGAAGUGGAAAAUCAUCGUAACAAGAAAAUAAAAUUUCUAUGAUCUGAUCGUGGAGGAGAAUAUUUGAGUUAUGAGUUUGGUUUACACUUGAAACAAUGCAUAAUAGUUUCGCAACUCACGCCACCCGGAACACCACAACGAAAUGGUGUGUCCGAACGUCGUAAUCGUACUUUACUAGAUAUGGUGCGAUCUAUGAUGUCUCUUACUGAUUUACCGCUAUCGUUUUGGGGUUAUGCUUUAGAGACGGUCGCAUUCACGUUAAAUAGGGCACCAUCAAAAUCCGUUGAGAUGACGCCUUAUGAACUGUGGUUUGGCAAGAAACCAAAGUUGUUGUUUCUUAAAGUUUGGGGUUGCGAUGCUUAUGUGAAGAAACUUCAACCAGAUAAGCUCGAACCCAAAUCGGAGAAAUGUGUCUUCAUAGGAUACCCAAAAGAGACUAUUGGGUACACCUUCUAUCACAGAUCUGAGGGCAAGAUUUUCGUUGCUAAAAUCGGAUCCUUUCUAGAGAAGGAGUUUCUCUCGAAAGAAGUGAGUGGGAGGAAAGUAGAACUUGAUGAGAUAACGGUGUCUACUCCCUUAUUGGAAAGUAGUUCAUCACAAGAACCGGUUCCUGUGACAACUACACCAAUUAGUGAGGAAGCUAAUGAUAUUGAUCAUGAAACUUCAGAUCAAGUUUCUACUGAACCUCGUAGGUCUACCAGAGUAAGAUUCGCACCAGAGUGGUACGGUAAUCCAAUUCUGGAAGUCAUGUUGCUUGACCAUGAUGAACCUACGAACUAUGAGGAAGCGAUGAUGAGCCCAGAUUCCGCAAAAUGGCUAGAGGCCAUGAAAUCUGAGAUGGGAUCCAUGUAUGAAAACAAAGUAUGGACUUUGGUUGACUUGCCCGAUGAUCGGCAAGCAAUUGAGAAUAAAUGGAUCUUUAAGAAGAAGACUGACGCUGAUGGUAAUGUAACUGUCUAUAAAGCUCGACUUGUUGCGAAAGGUUUUCGACAAGUUCAAGGAGUUGACUACGAUGAGACUUUCUCACUCGUAGCGAUGCUUAAGUCUGUCCGAAUCAUGUUAGCUAUUGCUGCAUUUCAUGAUUGUGAAAUUUGGCAAAUGGAUGUCAAAACUGCAUUCUUGAAUGGAUUUCUGGAAGAAUAGUUGUAUAUGAUGGAGCCAGAAGGUUUUGUUGAUCCAAAAGGUGCUAACAAAGUGUGCAAGCUUCAGCGUUCCAUUUAUGGACUGGUGCAAGCAUCUCGGAGUUGGAAUAAACGCUUUGAUAGUGUGAUCAAAUCAUAUGGUUUUAUACAGACGUUUGGAGAAGCCUGUAUUUACAAGAAAGUGAGUGGGAGCUCUGUAGCAUUUCUGAUAUUAUAUGUAGAUGACAUAUUAUUAAUUAGAAAUGAUAUAGAAUUUCUGGAUAGCAUAAAGGGAUACUUGAAUAAAAGUUUUUCAAUGAAAGACCUCGGUGAAGCUGCUUACAUAUUGGGCAUCAAGAUCUAUAGAGAUAGAUCAAGACGCUUAAUAGGACUUUCACAAAGCACAUACCUUGAUAAAAUUUUGAAAAGGUUCAAAAUGGAUCAGGAAAAGAAAGGGUUCUUGCCCGUACUACAAGGUGUGAAGUUGAGUCAAACUCAAUGCCCGACCACAGCAGAAGAUAGAGAGAAAAUGAAAGAUGUUCCCUAUGCUUCAGCCAUAGGCUCUAUCAUGUAUGCAAUGUUGUGUACCAGACAUGAUGUAUGCUUAGCAAUAAGCUUGGCAGGAAGGUACCAAAGUAAUCCAGGAGUGGAUCACUGGACAGCGGUCAAGAACAUCCUGAAAUACCUGAAAAGGACUAAGGAUAUGUUUCUCGUAUAUGGAGGUGACAAAGAGCUAGUUGUAAAUGGUUACGUCGAUGCAAGCUUUGACACUGAUCCGGACGAUUCUAAAUCGCAAACCGGAUACGUGUUUUUAUUAAACAGUGGAGCUGUAAGUUGGUGCAGUUCUAAAAAAAGCGUCGUGGCGGGAUCUACAUGUGAAGCGGAGUACAUAGCUGCUUCGGAAGCAGCAAAUGAAGGAGUCUGGAUGAAAGAGUUCAUUUCUGAUCUAGGUGUCAUACCUAGUGCAUCGGGACCAAUGAAAAUCUUCUGUGACAAUACUGGUGCAAUUGCCUUGGCAAAUGAAUCCAGAUUUCACAAGAGGACCAAGCACAUCAAGAGACGCUUCAAUUCCAUUCGGGACCAAGUCUAAGUGGGAGACAUAGAGAUUUGCAAGAUACAUACGGAUCUGAAUGUUGCAGACCCGUUGACUAAGCCACUCUCACGAGCAAAACAUGAUCAGCACCAAGACUCCAUGGGUGUUAGAAUCAUUACUUUGUAAUCUAGAUUAUUGACUCUAGUGCAAGUAGGAGACUGAAGGAAAUAUGCCCUAGAGGCAAUAAUAAAGUUAUUAUUUAUUUCCUCAUAUCAUGAUAAAUGUUUAUUAUUCAUGCUAGAAUUGUAUUAACCGGAAACAUGAUACAUGUGUGAAUACAUAGACAAACAUAUAGUCACUAGUAUGCCUCUACUUGACUAGCUCAUUAAUCAAAGAUGGUUAUGUUUCCUAACCAUAGACAUGUGUUGUCAUUUGAUUAAUGGGAUCACAUCAUUAGGAGAAUGAUGUGAUUGACAUGACCCAUUCCGUUAGCCUAGGACUUGAUCGUUUAGUAUAUUGCUAUUGCUUUCUUCAUGACUUAUACAUGUUCCUGUAACUAUGAGAAUUAUGCAACUCCCGUUUACCGGAGGAACACUUUGGGUACUACCAAACGUCACAACGUAACUGGGUGAUUAUAAAGGAGUACUGCAGGUGUCUCCGAAGGUACAUGUUGAGUUGGCAUAUUUCGAGAUUAGGUUUUGUCACUCCGAUUGUCGGAGAGGUAUCUCUGGGCCCUCUCGGUAAUGCACAUCAUUAUAAGCCUUGCAAGCAAUGUGACCAAAUGAGUUGGUUACGGGAUGAUGCAUUACGGAACGAGUAAAGAGACUUGCCGGUAACGAGAUUGAACUAGGUAUUGGAUACCGACGAUCAAAUCUCAGGCAAGUAACAUAUCGAUGACAAAGGGAACAACGUGUGUUGUUAUGCGGUUUGACUAAUAUAGAUCUUCGUAGAAUAUGUAGGAACCAAUAUGGGCAUCCAGGUUGCGCUAUUGGUUAUUGACCGAGAAUAGUUCUAUGUCAUGUAUACAUAGUUCUCGAACCCGUAGGGUCCGCACGCUUAACGUUACGAUGACAGUUUUAUUAUGAGUUUAUAAGUUUUGAUGUACCGAAGCUUGUUCGGAGUCCCGGAUGUGAUCACGGACGUAAUGAGGAGUCUCGAAAUGGUCGAGACAUAAAGAUCGAUAUAUUGGAAGCCUAUAUUUGGACAUCAGAAUCGUUCCUGGUGAAAUUGGCAUUUUACCGGAGUACCGGGAGGUUACCGGAACCCCCCGGGGGGUUAUUGGGCCUACAUCGGCCUCAAGGGAGAAGAGGGAAGGAGGCAGGAGGGGGCCGCGUGCCCCUCCCCUUCCUAGUCCGAAUAGGACAAGGGAAGGGGGGCGCCCCCCCCCUUCCUUCCCCUCUUCUGUUGGAAAUAUGCCCUAGAGGCAAUAAUAAAAGCAUUAUUAUUAUAUUUCCUUGUUCAUGAUUAUUGUCUUUUAUUCAUGCUAUAAUUGUAUUAUCCGGAAAUCGUAAUACACGUGUGAAUACAUAGACCAUAAAAUGUCCCUAGUGAGCCUCUAGUUGACUAGCUCGUUGGUCAAUAGAUAGUCAUGGUUUCCAGACUAUGGACAUUAGAUGUCAUUGACAACGGGAUCACAUCAUUAGGAGAAUGAUGUGAUGGACAAGACCCAAUCCUAAGCAUAGCACAAGAUCGUGUAGUUCGUUUUUCUAGAGCUUUUUCAAUGUAAAGUAUCUCUUCCUUAGACCAUGAGAUCGUGUAACUCCCGGAUACCGUAGGAGUGCUUUGGGUGUACCAAACGUCACAACGUAACUGGGUGACUAUAAAGGUGCACUACAGGUAUCUCCGAAAGUGUCUGUUGGGUUGACACGGAUCGAGACUAGGAUUUGUCACUCCGUAUGACGGAGAGGUGUCUCUGGGCCCACUCGGUAAUGCAUCAUCAUAAUGAGCUCAAAGUGAUCAAGUGUUUGGUCACGGGAUCAUGUGUUACGGUACGAGUAAAGUGACUUGCAGGUAACGAGACUGAACGAGGUAUUGGGAUACCGACGAUCGAGUCUCGGGCUUGUAACGUACCGAUUGACAAAGGGAAUACUAUACGGGGUUGCUUGAAUCCUCGACAUCGUGGUUCAUCUGAUGACAUCAUCGAGGAGCAUGUGGGAGCCAACAUGGGUAUCCAGAUCCCGCUGUUGGUUAUUGAUCUGAGAGCCGUCUCGGUCAUGUCUGCGUGUCUCCCGAACCCGUAGGGUCUACACACUUAAGGUUCGGUGACGCUAGGGUUAUUAGGAAGACUUGUAUGUGAUUACCGAAUGUUGUUCGGAGUCCCGGAUGAGAUCCCGGACGUCACGACGAGUUCCGGAAUGGUCCGGAGGUAAAGAUUUAUAUAUGGGAAACUGUCAUACGGACAUCGGAAGGUUUCGGGGGCAUAUUGGUAUUGUACCGGGGCCACUAGAAGGGUUCCGGGGGUCCAGCGGGAGGGACCACCCCUCCCGGGGGGCCACAUGGGCUGCGUGGGGCAGGAGCCAGCCCCUGGAGGGCUGGGCGCCCCCCCCUUGGGCCCAUGCGCCUAGGGUUGGGGGGAACCCUAGAGGGGGCGCCCCCCUUGCUUGGGGGGCAAGCUCCCCCUCCCUGGCCGCCGCCCCCCCUCUAGAUCCCAUCUAGAGGGGCCGGCCCCCCUUGCCCCUUCCCCUAUAAAUAGAGGGGUGAGGGGAGGGCUGCAUACACAAGCCAAGGCGCAGCCCCUCCCCUCCCCAACACCUCUCCUCCUCCGUACGUGCUUGGCGAAGCCCUGUCGGAGCACUGCUACACCAACAACACCACGCCGUCGUGCUGCCGUUGGAGCUGUCUUCCUCAACCUCUCCUUCCCCCUUGCUGGAUCAAGAAGGAGGAGACGUCAUCCGCUCCGUACGUGUGUUGAACGCGGAGGUGCCGUCCGUUCGGUGCUAGGAUCUCCGGUGAUAGGAUCACAACGAGAACGACUACUUCAACCCCGUUCUUUUGAACGCUUCCGCUCGCGAUCUACAAAGUGGUAUGUAGAUGCAUCUCCCAUGACUCGUUGCUUAGAUGAACUCAUAGAUGGAUCUUGGUGAAACCGUAGGAAAAUUUUAAUUUUCUGCAACGUUCCCCAACAGUGGCAUCAUGAGCUAGGUCUAUGCGUAGUUCUCUAUUGCACGAGUAGAACACAAUUUAGUUGUGGGCGUAUAUUUUGUCAACUUGCUUGCCACUACUAGUCUUAUCUUGCUUCAGCGGUAUUGUGGGAUGAAGCGGCCCGGACCAACCUUACACGUACACUUACGUGAGACCGGUUCCACCGACUAACAUGCACUACUUGCAUAAGGUGGCUGGCGGGUGUCUGUCUCUCCCACUUUAGUUGAAGCGGAUUCGAUGAAAAGGGUCCUUAUGAAGGGUAAAUAGAAAUUGACAAGAUCACGUUGUGGUUAUUCGUAGGUAAGAAAACGUUCUUGCUAGAACCCAAUUGCAACCACAUAAAAGAUGCAACAACAAUUAGAGGACGUCUAACUUGUUUUUGCAGCAAUUGUCAUGUGAUGUGAUAUGGCUAGAAGUUGUGAUGAAUGAUGAAUGAUAUAUUGUGAUGUAUGAGAUCAUGUUCUUGUAAUAGGAAUCACGACUUGCAUGUUGAUGAGUAUGACAACCGGCAGGAGCCAUAGGAGUUGUCUUUAUUUUUGUAUGACCUGCGUGUCAUUGAAGAACGCCAUGUAAAUUACUUUACUUUGUUGCUAAACGCGUUAGCCAUAGAAGUAGAAGUAUUCGUUGGCGUGACAACUUCAUGAAGACACGAUGAUGGAGAUCAUGAUGAUGGAGAUCAUGGUGUCAUGCCGGUGACGAAGAUGACCAUGGAGCCCCGAAGAUGGAGAUCGAAGGAGCUAUAUGAUAUUGGCCAUAUCAUAUCACUAUUAUAUAAUUGCAUGUGAUGUUUAUUAUGUUUAUGCAUCUUGUUUACUUAGAACGACGGUAGUAAAUAAGAUGAUCCCUUACAAAAUUUCAAGAAGUGUUCUCCCCUAACUGUGCACCAUUGCUAAAGUUCGUCGUUUCGAAGCACCACGUGAUGAUCGGGUGUGAUAGAUCCUUACGUUCACAUACAACGGGUGUAAGACAGUUUUACACAUGCAAAACACUUAGGGUUAACUUGACGAGCCUAGCAUGUACAGAUAUGGCCUCGGAACACGAAGACCGAAAGGUCGAACACGAGUCGUAUGGAAGAUACGAUCAACAUGAGAAUGUUUCACCGACGAUGACUAGUCCGUCUCACGUGAUGAUCGGACACGGCCUAGUCGACUCGGAUCGUGUAACACUUAGAUGACUAGAGGGAUGUCUAAUCUGAGUGGGAGUUCAUUAUAUUAAUUUGAUUAGAUGAACUUAAUUAUCAUGAACUUAGUCUUAAACCUUUGCAAAAUAUGUCUUGUAGAUCAAAUGGCCAACGCUCAUGUCAACAUGAACUUCAACGCGUUCCUAGAGAAAACCAAGCUGAAAGAUGAUGGCAGCAACUAUACGGACUGGGUCCGGAACCUGAGGAUCAUCCUCAUAGCUGCCAGGAAACAAUAUGUCCUAGAAGGACCGCUAGGUGACGCUCCCGUCCCAGAGAACCAAGACAUUAUGAAUGCUUGGCAGUCUCGUGCUGAUGAUUACUCCCUCGUUCAGUGCGGCAUGCUUUACAGCUUAGAACCAGGGCUCCAAAAGCGUUUUGAGCAACACGGAGCAUAUGAGAUGUUCGAGGAGCUGAAACUAGUUUUCCAAGCUCAUGCCCGGGUCGAGAGAUAUGAAGUCUCCGACAAGUUCUAUAGUUGUAAGAUGGAGGAAAAUAGUUCUGUCAGUGAGCAUAUACUCAAAAUGUCUGGGUUGCACAACCGCCUGUCCCAGCUGGACAUUAACCUCCUGGAUGAGGCGGUCAUUGACAGAAUCCUUCAGUCGCUCCCACCAAGCUACAAGAGCUUCGUAAUGAACUACAAUAUGCAGGGGAUGGUGAAGACCAUUCCUGAAGUAUUUUCAAUGCUGAAGUCGGCAGAGGUUGAAAUCAAGAAAGAACAUCAAGUGUUGAUGGUCAAUAAGACCACUAAGUUCAAGAAGGGCAAGGGUAAGUAGAACUUCAAGAAGGACGGCAAAGAUGGUGCCGCGCCCGGUAAGCCAGUUGCCGGGAAGAAGUCAAAGCAUGGACCCAAGCCUAAAACUGAGUGCUUUUAUUGCAAGGGGAAGGGCCACUGGAAGCGGAACUGCCCCAAAUACUUAGCAGACAAGAAGGCCGGCAACACUAAAGGUAUAUUUGAUAUACAUGUAAUUGAUGUGUACCUUACCAGUACUCGUAGUAACUCCUGGGUAUUUGAUACCGGUGCCGUUGCUCACAUUUGUAACUCACAGCAGGAGCUGCAGAAUAAAAGGAGACUGGCAAAGGACGAGGUGACGAUGCGCGUCGGGAAUGGUUCCAAGAUUGAUGUGAUCGCCGUCGGCACGCUACCUCUACAUUUACCUACGGGGUUAGUUUUAAACCUCAAUAAUUGUUAUUUAGUGCCAAGUUUGAGCAUGAACAUUGUAUCUGGAUCUCGUUUGAUGCGAGAUGGCUACUCAUUUAAAUCCGAGAAUAAUGGUUGUUCUAUUUAUAUGAGAGAUAUGUUUUAUGGUCAUGCCCCGAUGGUCAAUGGUUUAUUCUUAAUGAAUCUCGAACGUAAUACUACACAUAUUCAUAGUGUGAAUACCAAAAGAUGUAAAGUUGAUAACGAUAGUCCCACAUAUUUGUGGCACUGCCGCCUUGGUCACAUUGGUGUCAAGCGCAUGAAGAAGCUCCAUGCUGAUGGACUUUUAGAGUCUCUCGAUUAUGAAUCAUUUGACACAUGCGAACCAUGCCUCAUGGGCAAGAUGACCAAGACUCCGUUCUCCGGAACAAUGGAGCGAGCAACCAACUUGUUGGGAAUCCUACAUACCGAUGUGUGUGGUCUAAUGAGUGUUGAGGCUCGCGGAGGAUAUCAUUAUGUUCUCACUCUCACAGAUGACUUGAGUAGAUAUGGGUAUGUCUACUUGAUGAAACACAAGUCUGAGACCUUUGAAAAGUUCAAGGAAUUUCAGAAUGAAGUAGAGAAUCAACGUGACCGAAAGAUAAAAUUCUUACGAUUGGAUCGUGGAGGAGAAUAUUUAAGUCACGAAUUUGGUACACACUUAAGAAAAUAUGGAAUCGUUUCACAACUCACGCCGCCUGGAACACCUCAGUGUAACGGUGUGUCCGAACAUCGUAAUCACACUCUAUUGGAUAUGGUGCGAUCUAUGAUGUCUCUUACCGAUUUACCGCUAUCAUUUUGGGGAUACGCUCUAGAGACAGCUACAUUCACUUUAAAUAGGGCACCGUCUAAAUCCGUUGAGACGACACCGUAUGAAUUAUGGUUUGGGAAGAAACCUAAGCUGUCGUUUCUAAAAGUUUGGGGAUGCGAUGCUUAUGUCAAGAAACUUCAACCUGAAAAGCUCAAACCCAAGUCGGAAAAUGUGUCUUCAUAGGAUACCCUAAAGAAACCAUUGGGUAUACCUUCUACUUAAGAUCCAAGGGCAAGAUCUUUGUUGCCAAGAACGGAUCCUUUCUAGAAAAAGAGUUUCUCUCGAAAGAAGUAAGUGGGAGGAAAGUAGAACUCGAUGAAGUACUACCUCUUGAACAAGAUAGUAGUGCAGCUCAGGAAAAUGUUCCUGUGAUGCCUACUCCAACUGGAGAGGAAAUUAAUGAUGAUGAUCAAGGUACUUCUGAUCAAGUUGCUACUGAACUUCGUAGGUCCACAAGGACACGUUCCGCACCAGAGUGGUACAGCAACCCUGUCCUGGAAAUCAUGUUGUUAGACAACGGUGAACCUUCGAACUAUGAAGAAGCGAUGGCGGGCCCAGAUUCCAACAAAUGGCUUGAAGCCAUGAAAUCCGAGAUAGAAUCCAUGUAUGAAAACAAAGUAUGGACUUUGACUGACUUGCCCGAUGAUCGGCGAGCGAUAGAAAACAAAUGGAUCUUUAAGAAGAAGACGGACGCGGAUGGUAAUGUCACCAUCUAUAAAGCUCGACUUGUCGCUAAGGGUUAUCGGCAAGUUCAAGGGAUUGACUACGAUGAGACUUUCUCUCCCGUAGCAAAGCUUAAGUCCGUCCGAAUCAUGUUAGCAAUUGCCGCAUACUAUGAUUAUGAGAUAUGGCAGAUGGACGUCAAAACGGCAUUCCUUAAUGGGCAUCUUAAGGAAGAACUGUAUAUGAUGCAGCCGGAGGGUUUUGUCGAUCCUAAGAAUGCUAACAAAGUAUGCAAGCUCCAGCGAUCCAUUUAUGGGCUGGUGCAAGCAUCUCGGAGUUGGAACAUUCGCUUUGAUGAGAUGAUCAAAGCGUUUGGGUUUAUGCAGACUUACGGAGAAGCCUGCGUUUACAAGAAAGUGAGUGGGAGCUCUGUAGCAUUUCUCAUAUUAUAUGUAGAUGACAUACUCUUGAUGGGAAAUGAUAUAGAAUUCCUGUACAGCAUUAAGGCCUACUUGAAUAAGUGUUUUUCAAUGAAGGACCUUGGAGAAGCUGCUUAUAUAUUAGGCAUCAAGAUCUAUAGAGAUAGAUCGAGACGCCUCAUAGGUCUUUCACAAAGCACAUACCUUGAUAAGAUUUUGAAGAAGUUCAAAAUGGACGAGUCUAAGAAGGGGUUCUUUCCUGUAUUGCAAGGUGUGAGAUUGAGCUCGGCUCAAUGCCCGACCACGGCAAAAGAUAGAGAAGAGAUGAGCGUCAUCCCCUAUGCCUCAGCCAUAGGAUCUAUUAUGUAUGCCAUGCUGUGUACUAGACCUGAUGUAAACCUUGCCGUAAGUUUGGUAGGAAGGUACCAAAGUAAUCCCGGCAAGGAACACUGGACAACGGUCAAGAAUAUCCUGAAGUACCUGAAAAGGACAAAGGGCAUGUUUCUCAUUUAUGGAGGUGACGAAGAUCUCGCCGUAAAGGGUUACGUCGACGCAAGCUUCGACACAGAUCUGGAUGACUCUAAGUCACAAACCGGAUACGUGUAUAUGUUGAAUGGUGGAGCAGUAAGCUAGUGCAGCUGCAAGCAGAGCGUCGUGGCGGGAUCUACAUGUGAAGCGGAGUACAUGGCAGCCUCGGAGGCAGCGCAUGAAGCUAUUUGGGUGAAGGAGUUCAUCACCGACCUAGGAGUCAUACCCAAUGCGUCGGGGCCGAUCAAACUCUUCUGUGACAACACUGGAGCUAUUGCCCUUGCUAAGGAGCCCAGGUUUCCCAAGAAGACCAGGCACAUCAAGCGUCGUUUCAACUCCAUCCAUGAAAAUGUUCAAGAUGGAGACAAAGAUAUUUGCAAAGUACAUACGGAUCUGAAUGUCUCAGAUCCGUUGACUAAACCUCUCUCGCGAGCAAAACAUGAUCAACACCAGAAUUCUAUGGGUGUUCGAUUCAUCACAAUGUAACUAGAUUAUUGACUCUAGUGCAAGUGGGAGACUGUUGGAAAUAUGCCCUAGAGGCAAUAAUAAAAGCAUUAUUAUUAUAUUUCCUUGUUCAUGAUAAUUGUCUUUUAUUCAUGCUAUAACUGUAUUAUCCGGAAAUCGUAAUACACGUGUGAAUACAUAGACCAUAACAUGUCCCUAGUGAGCCUCUAGUUGACUAGCUCGUUGGUCAACAGAUAGUCAAGGUUUCCUGACUAUGGACAUUAGAUGUCAUUGACAACGGGAUCACAUCAUUAGGAGAAUGAUGUGAUGGACAAGACCCAAUCCUAAGCAUAGCACAAGAUCGUGUAGUUCGUUUUGCUAGAGCUUUUUCAAUGUCAAGUAUCUCUUCCUUAGACCAUGAGAUCGUGUAACUCCCGGAUACCGUAGGAGUGCUUUGGGUGUACCAAACGUCACAACGUAACUGGGUGACUAUAAAGGUGCACUACAGGUAUCUCCGAAAGUGUCUGUUGGGUUGACACGGAUCGAGACUUUAUUUGUCACUCCGUAUGACGGAGAGGUAUCUCUGGGCCCACUCGGUAAUGCAUCAUCAUAAUGAGCUCAAAGUGAUCAAGUGUUUGGUCACGGGAUCAUGCGUUACGGUACGAGUAAAGUGACUUGCCGGUAACGAGACUGAACGAGGUAUUGGGAUACCGACAAUCGAGUCUCGGGCUUGUAACGUACCGAUUGACAAAGGGAAUACUAUACGGGGUUGCUUGAAUCCUCGACAUUGUGGUUCAUCCGAUGACAUCAUCAAGGAGCAUGUGGGAGCCAACAUGGGUAUCCAGAUCCCGCUGUUGGUUAUUGAUCUGAGAGCCGUCUCGGUCAUGUCUGCGUGUCUCCCGAACCCGUAGGGUCUACACACUUAAGGUUCGGUGACGCUAGGGUUAUUACGAAGACUUGUAUGUGAUUACCGAAUGUUGCUCAGAGUCCCGGAUGAGAUCCCGGACGUCACGGGGAGUUCCGGAAUGGUCCGGAGGUAAAGAUUUAUAUAUGGGAAGCUGUCAUACGGACACCGGAAGGUUUCGGGGGCAUAUCGAUAUUGUACCGGGGCCACCGGAAGGGUUCCGGGGGUCCACCGGGAGGGGCCACCCCUCCCGGGGGGCCACAUGGGCUGCGUGGGGCAGGAGCCAGACCCUGGAUGGCUGGGCGCCCCCCCCCCCCCUUGGGACCAUGCGCCUAGGGUUGGGGGGGAACCCUAGAGGGGGCGCUUCCCUUGCUUGGGGGGCAAGUUCCCCCUCCCUGGCCGCCGCCCCCCCUCUAGAUCCCAUCUAGAGGGGCCGGCCCCCCUUGCCCCUUCCCCUAUAAAUAGAGGGGUGAGGGGAGGGCUGCAUACACAAGCCAAGGCGCAGCCCCUCCCCUCCCCAACACCUCUCCUCCUCCGUACGUGCUUGGCGAAGCCCUGUCGGAGUACUGCUACACCAACAACACCACGCCGUCGUGCUGCCGUUGGAGCUGUCUUCCUCAACCUCUCCUUCCCCCUUGCUGGAUCAAGAAGGAGGAGACGUCAUCCGCUCCGUACGUGUGUUGAACGUGGAGGUGCCGUCCGUUCGGCGCUAGGAUCUCCGGUGAUAGGAUCACGACGAGAACGACUACUUCAACCCCAUUCUUUUGAACGCUUCCGCUCGCGAUCUACAAAGUGGUAUGUAGAUGCAUCUCCCAUGACUCGUUGCUUAGAUGAACUCAUAGAUGGAUCUUGGUGAAACCGUAGGAAAAAUUUAAUUUUCUGCAACGUUCCCCAACAUCUUCCUCCUCUUUCCACCCUUCUCCUAUUCCAACUAGGAAAGAAGGGAGUCCUACUCCCGGUGGGAGUAGGACUCCCCCCUUGGCGCACCCUCCUUGGCCGGCCGCCUCCUCCCCCCUGGCUCCUUUAUAUACGGGGGCGGGGGGCACCCCAUAGACACACAAGUUGAUCUACGGAUCGUUCCUUAGCCGUGUGCGUGCCCCCUCCACCAUAUUCCACCUCGGUCAUAUCGUCACGGAGUUUAGGCGAAGCCCUGCGCCGGUAGAGCAUCAUCAUCGUCACCACGCCGUCGUGCUGACGGAGCUCAUCCCCGAAGCUUUGCUGGAUCGGAGCCCGGGGAUCGUCAUCGAGCUGAACGUGUGCUGAACUCGGAGGUGCCAUACGUUCGGUACUUGGAUCGGUCGGAUCGUGAAGACGUACGACUACAUCAACUGCGUUGUCAUAACGCUUCCGCUUACGGUCUACGAGGGUACGUGGACAACACUCUCUCCUCUCCUUGCUAUGCCAUCACCAUGAUCUUGCGUGUACGUAGGAAUUUUUUUGAAAUUACUACGUUCCGCAACACAUCACUCAUUGUCCCAAACUGCAGAGGCUGCCUGACAGUUUUAUGAACAUGCUGAUGGGUGAAGGUCCGCCAAAUAAUGUGAAGAUGCGACAGGCUGGCAGCGGGUUUCACAGGCAGUGGGAUGUGGAGUUGGUGAUCAAGGAGGGCCACAUGUACUUGUCUCGUGGGUGGGAGAAGUUCUACCGUGCCUACGACCUGCGGCUGGGGUACUUCCUUCUCUUUAGGUAUGACGACGACGCCACCAUGCUCAUCGUGAAGGUGUUCAACACGACUAUGUGUCACAUGCGCUACGCUGACGAUGAUGAUGCCGGUACGUUCUGCCUCUUCUUAUUCCUCUACAUUUGGCUUUGUCUCACAUCGAUUGUUAACGGUCAUUGUUGCAUUUUGGACAGGUAAUGGGAGCAGCAGCAGCGACACUGGCUACAGCCAAAGCAGCAGCGACUAUGGCUGUAGCGAAAGCAGCAACGAUUCUGGCUGUAGAGAAAGCAGCAGUGAUUUUGGCAGCAGCAUAGACAACAAGAAGGAUGAUCCGGACUGGAGUGCGGGAGAAGAGGAGCAGAGUGGGGAUGAGGAGCUGCAGGAUGACGAUGGGCAUCAGGCUGAGGAUGACCUAGCGCUGAUGGUGGCUGACCAAGGGCAAGAGAUGGUGGUGGCUGACCAUGGGCAAGAGAUGGAGGUGGCUGAGGAUGACCUAGCGAUGGUCGUGCCUGAAGGUGGCCUCGCGAUGGUGGUGGUGCCUGACAAUGACCACGCACCGGUGGUGGCGCUGGCGAUCCCAGGCGACAUGACCACACCAAUUGUGGUAGAAGACUACAUCCCACUGCCUCCACCGCCUCGCCGCUCUUGGCGCAUCAGGCUGAGGAAGGAGAAGCAGAAGAACAAUGCAUGAGAACUGAACUUUGUCAGGUAUGUCAGAUCUCCAAAAUGAUAUAUAUAUACUUAGUUACCUAUGUUAUCUUUAAUAUGCUUAGUUUCCUAUAGGUUAGCUUCAUUUUACCUAAGUUGGCUCUAAUAUGCAAACUUAGAGCUUAUAUGCUUAGUUUCCUAUAGGUUAGCUCCAAAAUAACUUAUGUUAGCACAAAAUGAUCAAGUUUACAUAAUAAGCUUAUAGUCUUUUUCUUAUUCUUCUUCUUACCCAAAAUGACAUAGGUUAGCUUCAUUUUACCUAAGUUGGCUCUAAUAUACAAACUUAGAGCUUAUAUGCUUAGUUUACUAUAGGUUAGCUCCAAAAUAACUUAUGUUAGCACAAAAUGAUCAAGUUUACAUAAUAAGCUUAUAGUCUUUUUCUUAUUCUUCUUCUUUUUUAAAAUGUCAUAGGUUAGCUUCAUUUUACCUAAGUUGGCUCUAAUAUACAAACUUAGAGCUUAUAUGCUUAGUUUCCUAUAGGUUAGCUCCAAAAUAACUUAUGUUAGCACAAAAUGAUCAAGUUUACAUAAUAAGUUUAUAGUCUUCUUCUUAUUCUUCUUUUUUUCCAAAAUUCUUCUUAUUCUUCUUCUAGUGUUCUUCUUCUUAUAGUAUUCUUCUAGUCUUCUUCUUUUUCUUCUUCUAACUUCUUGUUUAUAAUUUUGCAGAUUUGAUUUAAUUCACGGAAUCUUGCAUGGAUGGAGUGCUUCUUUUCCAUUUGUGUUUUUAUUUUGUAUCAAUGUGAAACUUUUGUGAAUUGAUGGAUAACGGUGUUGGAUGAACAAUGUGAAACUUUUGUAAUAUGUAACGAUGGAACUAUGUGUUGGCUAUGGAUGUAUAUAUGAUGCAACUUGUGUGUUGGCUAUGUAUGUAUAUAUGAUGGAACUUAUGUGUUGGCUAUGAUUGUUAUAUGGAUGCUUGUUGUAUAUAUAUGUGUUGGAUAUCUCAUAGGUGAAAUAGUGAUCUGAGAUUAAGAAAAAUAAAAUAAAAAAAUUGUUACUAAUGGCGCACUAUCAUGUGGUGCGCUAUUAGUAUAGAAUACACUAGUGGCGCACUGUGGGCAAAAUUAAUGGUGCACUGCAUGGUGCGCCAUUAGUAUACCAGAUACUAAUGGCGCACCAGUGGUGCGCCAUUAGUAAAAAAUACUAGUGGCGUGAUACUAAUGGCGCACUGGUAAUGCCCAUUAGUAGGCAAAACCAGUGCGCCAUUAAUAGGCCUUUUCCUAGUAGUGAGGAUAGCAGCGUACCAAUAGAGAGCUUCAGAAUUGAUGUUCGAGACAACUUCAGCGCAGUCUGAAGCGAUGAAAAUGGAAUGAACGUGGAGGUCAGUUGCGAGAGCCACCAUUUCGUUACACGCUUAGGCUUUGAGGGUGGACGAGGCCACUGAAAACCACCGUCGACGCACCAAGAAACUUUGCAUUUUUGCAAAGAAAAAUCAACUAUUAUAUGUUUAUUCUAGCAUAUUAUAACAAAGCACAAUUCAUGUGUAUAUUAUGUGCAAAUUUGGUCAUUAUUUUGUUUUACUUUUUAUUUUAUUUCGUGGGUAAUACCAAUGCCACUAAUUCAGUCUUACUUAAAUAACUCAAUUAUUAUUUUAAAGUUGUAUUUUUUUAAAUUUUGUUUCUUGUGAAAGGGCAGUUCCAAUGCCACCAAUUUAUUCUUUCUUAGAAAACUUCAUUAUUUUUAUUUUAUUUUAUUUUUAUUUAUUUCUUCUGAAAAGGUAAAGUGAAUUCCACUAAUUCAUUUUUAAUUAGAAAAGUUCAUUAUUUUGAUUUUAUUUUAGUUUUUUUUUCUUUAAGGAUAAUAUUAAUGCCACGCAUGGCACCCGAAAGGAAUGGAAUAAGUUGCCUUUGCAAGGGAAUGAGCUUCCCUAUUAUAUUCCCGCUUCUCAUGCAUGAACUUGAGAGCUUGAAACGAUCCACACACGACAAUGGUUAAUUUCCCGAAGGAUAGCAGCGUACUGGUAGAGAGCUUCAGAAUUGAUGUUUGAGACAACUUCAGCGCAGGCUGAAGGAAUGAAAAUGGAAUGAACGUGGAGGUCAGUUGCGAGAGCCACCAUUUCGUUACACGCUUAGGCUUUUAGGGUCGACGAGGCUACCAAAAACCGCCGCCGAUGCACAAAGAAGCUUUGCUUUUUUGAAAAAAAAAUCAAUUAUUUUAUGUUUAUUCUAGCAUAUUAUAACAAAGCGCAAUUCAUGUGUUUUAUGCACUGAAAAAAAAUAGCGCGCUAUAGCGUAUUGAGAAUUGUCUCGCUAAAUAUAUUAGUGUAUACUGUCUCGCUAAUAGCACGCUAUAACACUAUAUAGCAUGCUAAUAGCAUAUUUUAAAGUCAGCGCUAUUUUGCUGUAGCACGCUAUUUUUUUCAUUGGUUUUAUGUGCAAAAUUUGUCAUUAUUUUGUUUUACUUUUUAUUUCAUUUUGUGGGUAAUACCAAUGCCACUAAUUUAGUCUUACUUAAAUAACUUGAUUAUUUUUAAAAAAUAUUUUAAAUUUUGUUUCUUAUGAAAGGGUAGUUCCAAUGCGAGCGAUUUAUUCUUUCUUAGAAAACUUAAUUAUUUUAAUUUUAUUUUAGUUUUUUUAUUUAUUCCUUCUGAAACGGUCAUGUGAAUUCCUCUAAUUCAUUCUUUCUUAGAAAAGUCAUUAUUUCGAUUUGUUUUAGUUUUUUAUCUUUCUUCUUUAAGGAUAAUACCAAUGCUACUAAUUCAUUCUUGCUUAGAAUACUUAUUUUUGCAAAAAGUUCACUAUUAUAUGCUUAUUCUUACAUAUUAUAAACAUAUUGAUUGGCCAAAAUUGUUUUUUCAGUUUGCAUCGGUUUUGGUUAAUUGCUCCAGCUCUUUUUUGGGAUGUUAAUUGCUCGAACUAGGAUGGGAAAGCAGCAAGUUUCUGGUGGGGCGGUUGUUACAGGUUUCCUUCUUCCUUUCACCCUUCCGGAAAUGGGCCUCGAUAGUGUUGCACAUGGCCAUCAGUAGUGUUCUCACAAAAUUUCUCAUUUUCAGCCUAUGUACGUUUUCUUUUCUUUUUUAGACUGGUUAUAGUAAAUCAACCCCUGACACUAGAGAGAGAUAUCAAAGGAAAAACAUACAGGAGGGCUCCCCAACGGUCCUCUCGUUCCCAAGCUCCCCCGGCCUCCAACAUCCCAAUCGGCGGCCGACGCGCCGGCCCCCACCAGCCUCACCCGUGGGUUGACCGCUCCGGUCUCCGACGGCCAGAUAACGCCCCCAUUCGGUCUGCUUCUUUUCGUGAUGUCGUCGUUUCCGGCUCGUCUUCACACGCGCCCCUGCCGGGCCGGUCCCGCGCUACUUCUGUUGAUCUGGAACCGGACAGCGACGACUAGAUUCAAGUGAGGAAUCGUCGUCACCCGCUCCGUUAUGUGGCUGCGUCCCCGGCCGUGAGCCGGCCAGCUGGCCCCAAGCCUCAGAUUCCUCGGUGGUUGUUUGGAAGGUGUUUUAAGUGCUUGGAGACGGGCCACCAUAAAUCUGAAUGCUCCGGUGUGAUUAGAUGCCACCGCUGUUGGCUAACGGGUCACAUAGCUAGAAGCUGCCGCUCCUCUCCAGAUUCGUCACACCCUCCCCCUCCGCCUCCCAGAUCUGAGCCUGGCCUCUCUGCUCGCACCUCCGCUGGCCGGUCUUCGCAAGAGGGCUCCCUCCGUCGCCCGCCGCCGCCUUGUGACUUGGCCAACUACCCUCUCCUAGCUCAGUCCCGCUUCCCUGGCGGAAUAUACAUCCAUGGGGAUCCAGUUCUGCGGCCUGAGCGGAGUGGAGGUAUCAUCUCCCGCACCUCCAGGAUGGAUGAGCUCGAGGCGGAUUUCAGUAAUCGCGCCUUGCUAGCCACUGUGCAGGGCACAAGACCGGCCAUGUCUGCGGAAGCCAUGGUCCAAUCCCUGGCUUGGCUCUAUGGGGUCGAGAGGCGACAAGUCCGGGUGGAGGUGACACACCCGGCAGAUUUCUUCAUCACAUUCGCCUCCAUUGCGGAUUGUGAGAGGGUGCUCGCCAGCUCCGGGAAGUUUCGCUGUGCUGGAGCUUCCGUCGCUUUUCGGCGCUGGCAUAGAAGUUCCCAGGCGAGCAGCGGGAAACUUUGCUUCUUCUGCAAGAUUGGAUUUGAGGGCAUGCCAGCGAACGCCUGGGAGUGGGGUGCUGUCAGUCAGCUCAUCAACAAUUUGGGUGGCCAGCUGGUGGAAAUCCUCCCCCCUAACGAUCGUUGGGAUAUGGACGUCACCGCCUGGAUGCGCAAUCCAUCAGGCAUCCCCAAGAUGUACGAUUUCGAGGUUCCAGAGCCGGCGGGGCUGCCGAACUCCUUCGACAAGGACUUUCCGCUUUCCUCGCCACCACCAGCGUCGCCGAUAGAGAGGCUCACUCUUGUCCACCCGCUCACUAUCCAUGUCCUGGACGUGGUGGAUCGCUCAAUGUCGUUCAUGGAGUUCCGCCCAAACUAUGAACCAGAAGAGGAUGAAGAUCACACCAGGCGACACGACUUCUCGCGCUUCUGCUUCAGGGGGCGAGUUGAUGGCACUGGGAUGGGCUCGACUCCCUGUUCGGGCGGGCAUCCUUUCGGUGGCCCUGGUGGUCUUGGGAUUGCUGGAGAUUGGGGCGGACGCAGGGUCAAGGGGCUGCUGGCGCCCGCUGGUGGUUUUUCUGCCCCGUUUGUGCAGUCCAGACCAACGGAUGCCCAUGCCAUGCAUGGCGCGCCAGCUCGGCGGGUCGCUCUGGGCACGACGGCCUCAUGCUCUGCUUUGCUUGGUGGCUCCCCCUCUCCUGGCUCGCUGGCAACUACGGUCGUGGGUUCUGCGAACGGUGUGCUCACGCCGGCUUUGCAGGGGCCUCUCGGCGACGCAUCUUUGGCUAUGGUCUUGGCGGCUCACGCGCCCACGGUGGAUGUGACGCAUCAACACGGUGGUGGUUCUUCUUCAGUGGGCGGUGCACAUGGACACUCUAGUUGUGCCUCUACGGCAGUGGGCUCGGCGGCCUGUGUUGCCACGCCAGGCUUGCCAUGGUCGGUGGCCUCUACGGCUGUGGGCUCGGCAGCUUGUGUCGUGACGCCUCCAUCAGGACGAGUCACGCUCCGCCAAAUGACGUCGCCGCGCCGGCUUUCCUUCGCAUCGGAGGCGUGUACACAGUGCGUGGGGGUAGACGGCAAUCUAGUGUGCGCGCCCUCUCAUGGCACGCCUCCACGCCUGCACCUGGCAUGCCCAGCACUGUGCGGAACACCGAAAGUAGUGCCUUCCUCAGCUGCUGGUGCUAUGGAGACGCUGAAAGCUGUGCCGGAUGAUGAGAACCUACAUCUCAAGGCUCUGAAGUUGCCGAGCCAGUGUGGGCAGUCAAGGUCCUCUAGCUCGAGCCCGGUGCGCACGCCUUUUGCAACCCCAUUGAGCCCGAGCAAGCUGCUUCCACCCCUGGCACCCAAGGCAAAUCUGGACACGGUGCUUGGUCCAAAGACGGCUGCUGACACGCUGCUUGAGGGGAUCGGUGCCACCCCCAUGCCAUCUAUCAUGGGGCCGAGGCCAGCUGCAUCGGCUCCGGUGAGACGCAAGAAGACUCUACCAUCGGAUUUUACCCCUCGCCGGAGUGCACGUCUAAAUAAAAAUUGUGAUGGCGCGAACAAGGGGCCAUACCACCGCGCUCAAACUGUGCUGCUUCGUCGCAUGGGUCUAAUGGAGGCUGAAGAACAGGUGACGCAGAAAGCAAUGGACGAAUACUUGAAGCUCUUCGACAAGCCGCUGGCUCCGCACCACAUCAAGGCGAUUACUGCUCUCUUCGCCCCAGAUGAAGUGGACUUUGAUGAACCUUCUCAUGAGGGCUUCAGUGCUUUCUUCCUCCCUGCGGCUGUGGAGCCUUGUGGUGUGUAGUGUCCUGUACUGCUCUUGUUGUUCUUCAGAGGUAGUAUCAUGGCGAUGUCAGAGUGUUUGUUAGUUUGGAAUGUUAGGGGGCUCAAUAACCCAGCUAGGCGCAGUUCCAUCCGUUUGUUCCUACAAUCCUAUAACAUUUCACUUGCUUGUGUUCUAGAAUCUAAGUUGGCUGUGGUGGAUGCGGUGCUUGUGGGGCAAACUUUUGGCCCGGCUUUCGAUUGCUUUGACUUUCUACCAGCAACGGGUACCAGAGGGGGCAUUCUGAUCGCUUGGAGGUCGGAUAGAUUGAGUGUGUCUACGGUGUGUAAGAAGGAAUUCUCUAUCACCAUCAAAGUCACUUCUUUGGUGGAUGGAAGGGAGUGGAUGGCUACUUCUGUUUAUGGGCCACAGGAAAAUGAGGACAAAGUCAGAUUCCUGGUGGAGAUUGUGGAAAUUGGGGGGCAUGUUCAACUGCCAUGGAUCCUGAAUGGUGACUUCAAUCUGGUGUGUAAUGAAGAUGAGCGAAGUACGAGAAGAAUCAACAGAAGACAUACGAUCAACACCUUGGGCCUGCAUGACAUGCCGCUGGUGGGGAGGAAAUUCACCUGGUGUAAUGAUCAGGAGCACUCAGUAAUGGCAAGAUUGGAUAGGGUGUUGUUCAAUAGUGACCGGGAAGACACUUACCCCAUCAGUGACUUGAUACCGCUCAGUUCCAACAUAUCGGAUCAUUGCCCCCUUCUCCUGACCUGCUCUGGGGAUAUGCCAAGAUAGCGUCGCUUUCGUUUCGAGAAUUUUUGGGUUAAGUUGCCGGGUUUUAUGGAAACGGUGAAGGCGGCCUGGGAGGAACAAGUCUCUAGUAAUGACCCCAUGAAGAUUUUCAGUGUGAAACUGCAGCGCACCGCGAAGGCUCUCAGAAGUUGGGGUCAAAGGAAACAGAGCCAUAUGACCACCCUUUUUCAGAUUGCAAAUGAGCUGAUUUUGCGUUUAGAUGGCGCACGGGAAAAUAGAUCUUUGUCAGAAGAGGAACGCAAGCUAAAGGCUUUUUUGAAGGGAAAGUGCCUGGCACUCGCUUCCCUGGAGAGGGUGCGUCUCCGACAGCAUGCCAGAGUGAGAGACCUUCAGGAGGGGGAUGCUAAUUCCAAGUACUUCCACUUGAAAGCUAAUGGACGGCGUCGAAAGCGUCAAAUUCCUUUCUUCAAGGAUGGCGAUCGCAUGGUCUCAGCCAUGGAGGAUAAAAUGAAUCUAGCAUGGAGUUUUUACUGUGGUCUUAUGGGCACGCCGGCGCCUACUACAUCUUCCUUGAGGCUAGAUGAUUUGAAUCUGCAUAGUUUAUCCCCGGAGCUGGCUUCUGGUCUAGAAGUGGAGUUCACUGACACCGAGGUCAUGCAGGUGAUUAUGGAGAUGCCUUCUGACCGGGCUCCUGGGCCUGACGGUUUCUCCGGCCUAUUCUAUAAGGCUUGCUGGGAGGUUAUUAGGGAAGAUUUGAUGGCUAUCAUGCAUGAUCUGCACAGGGGCAAAUUCUUCUCCUUUGGCCGGUUAAACUCAUCAAUUAUUUCAUUGCUGCCUAAGAUAGACAGAUCCUUGGAAGUGGCAGAUUUCCGACCGAUAAACCUAAUUCAUGGUGCUGCUAAAUUUUUUGCCAAGGUCCUGGCUGUUCGCCUUGCUCCGUUGCUACCUGGGCUGAUCUCGCAAGUUCAGAGUGCUUUUGUCAGCAGGAGAAGUAUCCACGAGAACUUCAAAUUUAUGCACAAUACCGCACGGCUGCUGCAUCAUAGGAAAGUCCCGGCUGUGCUUAUGAAGAUUGACAUCUCCAAAGCCUUUGAUACUUUGUCCUGGGAAUUCAUUCUCAAAUUGUUGAUUCGGAGAGGUUUUGGACGAAGAUGGUGCUCUUGGAUCUGUGGCCUCAUGUGCACUGCCUCAUCCUCGGUGAUGGUCAAUGGUGAGACUAGUGAUCCCUUUGCGUUGGCUAGUGGUGUAAGACAAGGCGAUCCACUGUCACCGGUGCUCUUCAUCCUGGCUAUGGACACGCUUCAGGCUAUGAUUCAUUGGGCUACCAGGCACAAUCUACUCCCGGACAUGGGGCUUGGGAGCAAUGUGCCAAGGGCUUCUUUCUUCGCGGAUGACGCGAUCCUUUUCUUCAGACCUACGCCAAGCGAUAUGCAGGUCAUUUCUGCUGCUCUGAAGCUGUUUGGUGAAGCCACUGGACUUCGUAUCAAACUACAAAAGAGCACCAUUACUUGCAUCAGGAAAAGUGACACCAUAUCAGCGGGGGUGGCACAUCAUUUUUCCUGCCAGCUGAAGCAAUUUCCCAUUCAAUAUUUGGGGCUCCCUCUAUCAAUUUUCAGAUUACAACGCCAACAUAUACUGCCCCUCAUCGACAAAUACUCCAGCAGGAUGAAAGGAUGGAAGCCAAGGAUGCUUGCGCCUGCGGGACGGUUGGCACUUACGCAAUCUGUGUUGAUGGCAUUGCCCUUGCAUUUUCUUUCAGUGCUGCCACUGCCGGCAUGGGCUUUGGAAAUCAUCAACAUGAGGUGUAGGGGCUUCAUUUGGAAAGGGGAAAAUGAGAUCAAUGGAGGUCAUUGUCUUCUGCCUUGGGCGAGAGUGUGUAUGCCGAAGGAGUGUGGUGGCCUGGGCAUCUUGAACUUGAAGUGGUUCGGCUCGGCUUUGCAUUACCGAUGACCCUGGCUGCUCUGGGACCCUGAGGAGAGACCAUGGCAGAUGUUGCAGGACGAUCAGGAGGGUGAUGUCACGGCUAUCUUCAGUGCGGCCACGUCCGUCUGCUUGGGGGAUGGAGAGCGGGCCAUGUUCUGGACGGACAAUCGGUUACCGGAGGGCGGCUCCAUUGUGACCAUGGCCCCGACCCUCUUUUCUUUUGUCAAGAAGCCGGGCCGCACUGUACGGGAUGCCCUUCAGAAUCGUAGCUGGGUCCGAGACAUCUCAGGAGGAGUUUCAGUCGUAGCCAUUGCACAAUAUCUCACUAUUUGGGAUAUUACUCAGAAUAUCUCGUUGACGCCUGGUGUGCCGGAUCGUCUACAAUGGAAGCUGACUGAGGAUCAUCUCUUCUCUGUUAAGAGUGCUUACAACAUGUUCUUUGUUGCCUCGGUGCGCUUCGCAUGCUACAAACUAAUUUGGAAAUCCAAAGCUCCUCCAAGAUGCAAGUUUUUCAUGUGGCUAGUGGUUCAUCGCCGGUGCCUGACUGUGGACAACUUGGAGCGGAGGGGCUGGCCCUCAAACGGCAACUGCCCUCUGUGCCUUGUGACGCUGGAGGACUGCACUCACCUGUUCGUGCACUGCAGGUUCACACAACAGGUUUGGCUACUGUUCAGAGAUUGGACACGGGCGAAUUUUCAGGUGCCGGAUGAUCAUUUCAUCAAUACGGAAGACUGGUGGCUGCAAGCACGUAAGUUAGUUCCCAAGCCUAUGCGUCGGAACUUUGACACAAUCUCCAUCUUGAUUCACUGGAGGAUUUGGAAGGAAAGAAAUUCUAGAAUUUUUGAGCAGGAAGCGACUAGUCCCUUCAGUGUUUUGGAUCGGAUCAUAGAAGAUAUUGGGAUAUGGAGGGCGGCCGGUUGUGUCACUGACACCGGCAACCUUUCUUGAGUUGCUGGUUUGCCCCCUUUUAGUUGUUUUGACGGCUGUUGCCGUCCUUUUGUAUUUUCGGAACGUUUCAGUUCUGUGGGUUCCUAGUUCUAGUUCGCCUAGACUGCUAACCUUUGUUGUACUGCUUCUCCUUCUUCCUAAUAAUAUUCGGCCUAUGGCCCUUCGACAAAGGAAAAACCUCUCUAUUCAUUGCAAUAUAUCAAAUCUCCCAUCGUCUUGGCACUUUGUUCUUUUGAAAUAUGAGCGAUCAUUUGAUUCCGUUGGUUAGGAUUAACUUGAAAAUUCGCUAUGUAUGCGGUCAAAAUGGUUCAUUCCCUUCUCUAAAUAAGGUUUACUUGCGGAAGAGUUAGGAAAAGCUUUGGUGUUGCAAAAUUUAAAUGAUCAUAGUCAUUACUUUAGGGAUCUAAACGGUUUUAUAUUUCUUUACAGAGGGAGUAGUAUAUAUAACACCAAUGACUAUAUGUUUCCUGUAAAUGUCCAUAUAAUUAAAAGUUAUAGUUUAACUAUCCUACUUUCUUCUUUACAUGCACUUUCUUUAGGGGAAUUCUUUACAUGCACUUGUGCAUCUUUGGUGUACCGCCUUAAGCACCAAACAACAACCACAAGAAGCCAUGAGCACCGUGGAGCGAUGGUAGGCCAGAACAAUCAACGCUAGUCCAGAGAACAGAAAUACGUGUGCGUGCGCUGUUAGCGUAAUCUUGAUUAUAGCUUAAUUAAUUAGUUAGUGCUAGUUAGGUGCAAGUUUGCUGGCUGCCAUGUAGACGCGUAGUAGUAGUGCUGCUUGGCUUGCAUGUUGUGGCUACGUGAAUCUUGUACUAGCUAGUAGAGUCCGGCUAGGAUUAGUACGUGAAUCAUGUAGCAGUAGUUUAAGUCAGAUUCAAAGUCCAAGUAGGUAUCCGAGUAGGAUUAGGAAAAGUUGGACGUGAGGGCUUGGCUGAACGUGUAUAUGUAUACACGGGCAGACCAUGAUUAUAGUAACACCGUGGCGAGAAAACAGGAAAUAAAGAGAAUCAAAGGGCACGAUAACAGUCCUUGGCUAUCAGUUUUCGUGUGCGUGUGUUCGUCCUGAUUUGAUGUGAUCGAUCCGUGGACGGAGUCCCAACAAUUGGUAUCAGAGCAAGGUUCAGGAGUCGAGCGCUUGCCCCGGGGUUGCGACCCGACUAGUGCCUCGGGGCGGGCGAUAUGGUCGCUGGAUGGUGCAGCGACGAGGAGCUGGCCAUGAAGUUGCUGGGUGGUGCAGCGAUGAGGAGGAUCUGGCGAUCGUCGUCCGGCGGAGCGACAUGGAGGGAGACGGCGGGCUGUCGUCGGGAAGGCGGUGGAUGAAGAUCGUUGAUGGGUCAGGUGUUUGCCUUUCGGCCAUAUUAUAAUUGACAUUAUUCAACAUGCCUCAUUUGUGUACCCGCAACAGAGCCAAAUUGCCUUUCGGCCAUUGGCGUAGGUGUUUGUCAUUCUUCACUAUGCGAAGGCAAUCGAGUAGAACACGCAGGGUGAAGGCAUUCCAGUUAAUCUUUGAAAUACGUUUCACAUCAUGGACCAAAGCGUAGUACUGCUUUGGCACAAUCUUGCUCGACAUGGGAGCAAUAAUUGUUUCUAACAGGACAAGGACUAAUUUCCGAAGAAAAUCGUCGUCGGUGGCUUUACUUUUAAUUAUGUCCUCAAUGAGAUUAUCUAUCACUAUGUUUUCUGAUGUCUUACUGAGAAAUUGUGGCGGCACCCGCUCCAUCAUGUCCUCUCUUUCUUCAAUCAGAAUGUCUGAAGCGGAGAGUCCUUAGUUCUCGUGGUUAAAGAUGCACUCGACGUCGACCGCACCGAGAGUCACCUCCCCAACCUGCUCUUGUAUAAUGAAUCUGGACUUGCUGGCAUCAAAAUUCUCAAUCAUAUACCUAAUCAGAAGGGUACGCAUCUUAAUAGAUGGUAUCUGCAGCAUGCUGCGCAAUAUUGUAUCAGCCACUCUAGUGCGUUGACCGCUCGAUAGAGCGGCAACAAGCUUGCACCAUUUUUCAACAGCGCACACUAUUUCUCCAUUCAGCUUGUCCAUCCUAUAGAAAAAAAAUAUAAAACUUCGUUACAUUUGCCAACAGAAAUGCAAAAAUAACAAUAGACAUGCAAAAAUAUAAAACUUUCUGGCAGCAGCAAACAAAAAUGCAAAAAUAACACUAAUGCAAAUAUAAAACUAGCACCAUGUAUACAGCAACAUGCACUCAAGUGUGUUGUGAUAUGAGGCAAUAAAAAAUAACAUUCUGUUUGCAUAAUUGUUUUUUUCGACAAGAUCUUUAAAACAAGACUAAUAUUGAAUAUAUUUUUGAAAAUUAGUUUUUAGACAACUAAAUAACCAUGCUUCAAUCUUGUUUUGUAUAAUUGUUUUAGUUCCAUGCAUUUUUUUUAAUAAUGUUGCCUUCUAUUUCGUAAAGAAAAAAAAUCUAACUAACACUAUGGCUCGCCGUGUUACAUUGUGUAUCAUAAUGUUACAUUGUCUGCCGAUUCUUCUUAAUUUUACAUUGUUUCAUCAUGUUUCAGAACAUGAAUCUUCAAACUUGUUAAAAUAUAUUCAAAAGUGGUCUCGUAUUAAAGUUCUCAUUGUCAUAAACACAAAUAUGCAUCGGAUCUUCAAGAAAAAUCAACGGCUCUUCCAUGCACGGUACCUCCCGUGCAUGGGAGAAUUGCUUUUCUCUAUUCUACCCUGAUAUGAAAGAUUUAUUUCAUGUACGCCUUCUGGUCAGAACGCAUCUAGUCGAGUUGAUACUAGCUACUUGAAACUAUGUGGUAAACCUAAGUCCAUGAAAGCAACAAGAUGAUAGAACUAGCUUGCUAUGAAGGCGUGAGGUAAGGAGGACAACUUACUUGAUCGGUCGACGAAGAUGAAAGAAGUCGGCGAUGCGUUGUCGACGUACUUCAUCGACGGCGGCCAGCAUGUGCGGACGACCUUGAUCUCUCGGGGUUUUUGUGGCGUGUGUGAUGCGGCGGACGGAGCUGUCGACGACUCGCCGGCAGGAGGCGAUCUAGACGACGACAUGUGCGAGGAGGUUGAGAUUAUAUACGAGGUCGUCUCCUAGGUCGUUGUAACUUCCCUGUGGCCAAUCUCGCGAUCUAUAUUUUUCUCCGGUCGUUGUAACUUCCCUGUGGCCAAUCUCGCGAUCUAUAUUUUUCUCCGUUGAAUCGAGGCUGAACGUGCUCCUCAAUCGUAGGGAUUAGGAACAUAAGGAUUAGCAGGAUCCCAGAAUUGUGUAACCGAACGGCAACUACUCCCAUGAUCGACGUGCAUGGAAAGCGCAGCGUGGUGGGCCCCCACAAUAUGGAUCGGACAGUUAUUUGCGGUCUGGGCCGGCCCACCUACCUCUACAUUGUUUUUUCCUCAAAAUUAAUAUCAUUGUUUCUUCCCUCAAUAAAAAAUAUUUGUGACACCUAUUAGUUAUUGUAUACUUGUAUAUGUUCAACAAUAUUUAUAGUAUCUCUAUCAUUUCUGCAAUAUUAUAUAUUCAAAUGUACUAUUCCUCUUUCCCUUUUAAUUAGGUUUUCCUGUUAUUUUAUGUUUUCUCCUUCUUAUUCCUAAUUGUUUUUUCAUGUUUCAUAAUUCCAUAUCACUUCUUCUCAUAUUUUUCAAAUUCAUAUCAAAUAUGUAUGAUUAAAUGUUGUCCUAUUUAUGAGUUGUUAAUUGGUCGGUCCGGGAAGGUAAACCACUUUCAGACCUGCCCUCCGGCAGACCCGAAUGACCCUGCUUGUACAUAGUGCAUGUGGAGGCAUGCAUGAGAUGACCCCAACUUUUGGGACCAUAUGGGCAUGGCCAAUGUGGUCCCCCCGGCAAGGUGUGCACAAAUUCGGACACAAAACGCACGUUGCGUCACGUGGGGGUAGUGUUCUAGGGUUUUGUCGCCGGAUAAACCCUAGAAAAUGGUUCGAGUGUCGGAAAUGAACGAUACUUGUCAUGCAUGCAUGCCAUGAUCAUCCUUGGGUAUGCAUAAAGUUUGGGAUCAUUCGGUGGGACCGGAAAGGUAAACCACUUUCAGACCUGCCCUCCNNNNNNNNNNNNNNNNNNNNNNNNNNNNNNNNNNNNNNNNNNNNNNNNNNNNNNNNNNNNNNNNNNNNNNNNNNNNNNNNNNNNNNNNNNNNNNNNNNNNNNNNNNNNNNNNNNNNNNNNNNNNNNNNNNNNNNNNNNNNNNNNNNNNNNNNNNNNNNNNNNNNNNNNNNNNNNNNNNNNNNNNNNNNNNNNNNNNNNNNNNNNNNNNNNNNNNNNNNNNNNNNNNNNNNNNNNNNNNNNNNNNNNNNNNNNNNNNNNNNNNNNNNNNNNNNNNNNNNNNNNNNNNNNNNNNNNNNNNNNNNNNNNNNNNNNNNNNNNNNNNNNNNNNNNNNNNNNNNNNNNNNNNNNNNNNNNNNNNNNNNNNNNNNNNNNNNNNNNNNNNNNNNNNNNNNNNNNNNNNNNNNNNNNNNNNNNNNNNNNNNNNNNNNNNNNNNNNNNNNNNNNNNNNNNNNNNNNNNNNNNNNNNNNNNNNNNNNNNNNNNNNNNNNNNNNNNNNNNNNNNNNNNNNNNNNNNNNNNNNNNNNNNNNNNNNNNNNNNNNNNNNNNNNNNNNNNNNNNNNNNNNNNNNNNNNNNNNNNNNNNNNNNGGUGGGACCGGGAAGGUAAACCAUUUUCAGACCCGCCCUCCGGCAGACCCGAAUGGUUCGCUUGUACAUGGUGCAUGUGGAGGCAUGCAUGAGAUGACCCCGACUUUUGGGACCAUGUGGGCAUGGCCAAUGUGGUCCCCCAGGCAAGGUGUGCACAAAUUCGGACACAAAACGCACGGUGCGUCACGUGGGGGCAGUGUUGUUAGGUUUUGUCGCCGGGAAAUGAACGAUACUUGUCAUGCAUGCAUGUCAUGAUCAUGCUUGGGUAUGCAUAAAGUUUGGGAUCAUUCGGUGGGACCGGGAAGGUAAACCUCCUUCUAGUACAUGGCGCAUGUGGAGGCAUGCAUGCGAUUGUCCCAACUACAUUUAAUUUAAUAAUACUUCAAGUAUGAAACAGAAAAGAAAAUUUAUAAUUGAAAAAGACAACCAUGAAAAGUGAAAUAAAAGACAACAUUAUAUCAUACAUAAAUUUAAUUUAUAACCGUCAGAACAAAGAAAAGAGGAGAAUAUAGAAAAGAGAAGAAAAAUUUAAAUGAAUAAGUGCGAUAAAAGACAACAUAUUGNNNNNNNNNNNNNNNNNNNNNNNNNNNNNNNNNNNNNNNNNNNNNNNNNNNNNNNNNNNNNNNNNNNNNNNNNNNNNNNNNNNNNNNNNNNNNNNNNNNNNNNNNNNNNNNNNNNNNNNNNNNNNNNNNNNNNNNNACAACAUAUUGUCUUACAUUUAAAAAAUAGUUCAAAUAUAAAAAAGAUAAGAUCUAUUAGAAUGUAGAAGUGAAAUAAAAGACAACAUAUUAUCUUACAUUUAAAAAAUAAUUCAAAUAUAAAAAAGAUAAGAUCUAUUAGAAUAUAGAAGUGAAAUAAAAGACAACAUAUUAUCUUAUAUUUACAAAAUAUUUCAAAUAAAAAGAAGAGAACAAAAAUUAGAAUGAAGAAGUGAAAUAAAACAGAACAUGUUAUCUUACAAACUAAAAAUAUUUUAAAUAUAAUAAAGAUAAGAAAUAUUAGAAUUGGGCCCAAGGCUGCCCUGGGCCAGAUCAGUGUGCCGCGGGUAAGGCUGCCCUGGGCCAGCCCGCCCGAUUGGGCCCAAGGCAAAGCCGCGCAGGGCGCAGCGCAGCGCACAGCCGCGGGGUGGUGGGAGUUUAGUCCCACCUCGCCAAGCGAGAGAGCGCCGCACCGGUUUAUAUACCCGGCUGCGACUCCCCUCCCAAGCUCCUAUCAUAUGCAGGCAGUACAUUGUCUAACUCUCGUCACCUCUGCCCCAUGGGGCCUACUAGCAGCAGAGUUAUUCUGCACCACGGGCAUGCAUCCUGGCCCAUGAACCGCUGGGUUCCUAGUUGUAUGCAGUCCGUGGUGUAUGAAUGAUCCUGCUCUGGUAGGUGGGCACUUUUUUCGCAUAUUGCCAGGUGUUUUUAUCUUCAAAUCACAAACUAAAUUAUACACAUGCUCACUUGCAUUGAAUACACAAACUAAAUCACAAACUAAGUUAAUGUUUUCACCUUCAAAUCACAUAAUAAAUUUUACACAUGCACAGUUACAUGUAAUACACAUGGCUAUUAAUGAGAUUUCAACAAAAUGAGACCGUCGUGUACGAAUUCUCCUCCCAGAUGCAUGCCAUGAUCAUGGUAGGGUGUGCAUAUAGUUUGUGAACAUUUGGUGGGACCGGCAAGGAAAACCUCUUUCAAACUUGCCCUCCGGCAAACCCGAAUGGUAUGGUUUGUACAUGGUUCAUGUGGAGGCAUGCAUUAUAUGACCUCAACCUUUUGGGAGCACGUGGGCAUGGCCAAUGUGGUUUUAUCGAUGCAAAACACCUACAAGAUACAUCGAGUGUCUGAAAUGAACGAUAGUUGCCAUGCAUGCUUGCUAUGCUCAUCGUAGGGUGUGCAUAAAGUUUGGUAUCCAUUGGUGAGACCGAGAAGAAAAACCUGCUUCAAGUAUGAAACAGAAAAGAAAAUUUAUAAUUAGGAAAGACAACCAUGAAAAGUGAAAUAACAGACAACAUUAUACCAUACAUUAUUUAAAUUUAUAACCGUCAGAACAAAGAAAAUAGGAGAAUAUGGAAAACAGAAGAAAAAUUUGAAUGAAUAAGUGCAAUAAAAGACAAUAUAUUAUCUUACAUUUAAAAAAUAAUUCAAAUAUAAAAAAGAUAAGAUCUAUUAGAAUGGAGAAGUGAAAUAAAAGACAACAUAUUAUCUUACAUUUUGAAGAUAUUUCAAAUAUAAAGAAGAUAAAAAAUAUUAGAAUGAAGAAGUGAAAUAAAACAGAACAUUUUAUCUUAUAAACUAAAAAUAUUACAAAUAUAAUAAAGAUAAGAAAUAUUAGAAUGAAGAAUUGAAAUAAAACACACCAUUUUUGUUUAUUCGUNNNNNNNNNNNNNNNNNNNNNNNNNNNNNNNNNNNNNNNNNNNNNNNNNNNNNNNNNNNNNNNNNNNNNNNNNNNNNNNNNNNNNNNNNNNNNNNNNNNNNNNNNNNNNNNNNNNNNNNNNNNNNNNNNNNNNNNNNNNNNNNNNNNNNNNNNNNNNNNNNNNNNNNNNNNNNNNNNNNNNNNNNNNNNNNNNNNNNNNNNNNNNNNNNNNNNNNNNNNNNNNNNNNNNNNNNNNNNNNNNNNNNNNNNNNNNNNNNNNNNNNNNNNNNNNNNNNNNNNNNNNNNNNNNNNNNNNNNNNNNNNNNNNNNNNNNNNNNNNNNNNNNNNNNNNNNNNNNNNNNNNNNNNNNNNNNNNNNNNNNNNNNNNNNNNNNNNNNNNNNNNNNNNNNNNNNNNNNNNNNNNNNNNNNNNNNNNNNNNNNNNNNNNNNNUAAAAAGAGAAUGAACAAAUGAAAUAAAACGCAACAAAAUUUGGCAUACUUUUUUAUUUUAGUAAACACUGUUAGAAAUAAUAAAGAAAAAAAGAGAUUUGAUUUUAAAUAUUAGAGAUAUAAACAAGAAAAUAAAUUUUGGAGUUAAGAAGUGAAAAACAAAGUAAUUUAUAAAACACAGAUCAGCGCGCCGCGGGUAAGGUGCCCUGGGCGAGCCCGCCCAAAUUGGGCCCAAGGCAGAGCCGCGUAGGGCACAGAGCAGCGCACAGCUGUGGGGUGGUGGGAGUUUAGUCCCACCUCGCCAAGCGAGAGAGCGCCACACCGGUUUAUAUACCCGGCUGCGACUCCCCUCACAAGUUCCUAUCAUAUGCAGGCAGUACAUUGUAACUCUCGUCACCUCUGCCCCAUGGGGCCUACUAGCAGCAGAGUUAUUCUGCACCACGGGCCUGCAUCCUGGCCCAUGAAUCGCUGGGUUCCUAGCCGUAUGCAGGCCGUGGUGUAUGAAUGAUCCUGCUCUGGUAGGUGGGAACUUUUUUUUCGCAUAUUGCCAGGUGUUUUUGGCAUAUUCUCCUGUUCUUCAAAUCACACACUAAAUUAUACACAUGCUCACUUGCAUUCAAUGCACAUUUUUUGCAUAUAUGCCAAGUUAAUGUUUCUACCUUCAAAACACCUAGUAUUUUUGGCAUAUUGUCAUGUGUGUUUGGCAUAUUCUCCUGUUCAUCAAAUCACACACUAAAUUAUACACAUGCUCACUUGCAUUCAAUGCACAUUUUUUUGCAUAUAUGCCAAGUUAAUGUUUCUACCUUCAAAACACCUAGUAUUUUUGGCAUAUUGCCAUGUGUUUUGGCAUAUUCUCCUGUUCACCAAAUCACACGCUAAAUUAUACACAUGCUCGCUUGCAUUCAAUGCACAUUUUUUUGCAUAUAUGCCAAGUUAAUGUUUCUACCUUCAAAACACCUAGUAAAUUUUAGACAUGCUCAUUUGCACACAUGGCUAUUAAUGCGAUUUCUAUAAAAACGAGGCCGUGGUGUACGAAUUCUCGGCAGACCUGAAUGGUCCGGCUUGUACAUGGUGCAUGUGGGGGCAUGCAUAAGAUGACCCCAAAUUUUGCACACAUGACCUCUCGCACAAACAAUGCCAUGUUUUUCCAAAUUUUGCAAACUAAGCGAUGUGGGGGCAUUGUAAAAAUAUUCUUUUUCCAAAAUUUAUUUGAUAGCCAUGUUUGGCACUUGUGGGCCACCAUUUACAAGAAAAUUUGGGUGAUUUGGAGGUGGUGGAAAAAAUCACUUAUGUUCAAAAACUGGCUUAAGUUAGACCAAAUGGCCCCUCCGGAAUGCGGUGAUUUUUUUGACCACCUCGAAAUCACCUCUAUUUUGGCACACAUGACCUAUUGCACACAAAAUGCUAGGUUUUCAAGGUUUUAUAUUUUUUUGAUUUUUUAUUCAAUUCGUACUGCCCUCUAGACUGGUUGCUCAAAACAUCAGUCUAUACCUCAAGGGGGCCUUGUAAAAUAUUCUUUUUCCAAAUUUUAUUUGAUAGCCAUGUUUAGCACCACUAGUAGAGAAAGGACCUAAUGUGAGACACAUUAGUGCCGGUUCAAUUUUGGCCGGUACUAAUGGUACCAUUAGUGCCGGUUCGAGCGGCUAUGCAUUAAUGUCGGUUCGUUUUGAACCUUUAGUACCGGUUCGUGCCACGAACCGGUACUAAAGGGGUUGUGGCAGGCUCGCGUCAGGUCGGGGCCCUGCGAUCACCUUUAGUACCGGUUCGUGGCACAAACCGGUACUAGAGGGCUAACCUUUAGUACCGGUUCGUGGCAGGGGUUUGACCUAUAGUACCGGUACUGAAGAGCAAUAUUCAAUCUUCUACCNNNNNNNNNNNNNNNNNNNNNNNNNNNNNNNNNNNNNNNNNNNNNNNNNNNNNNNNNNNNNNNNNNNNNNNNNNNNNNNNNNNNNNNNNNNNNNNNNNNNNNNNNNNNNNNNNNNNNNNNNNNNNNNNNNNNNNNNNNNNNNNNNNNNNNNNNNNNNNNNNNNNNNNCCAUUUCAGUUUUGAAAAAUACAAAAGAAAAUGCUAAAAAAUUCAAAAAAUAAAAUUCUUUGAGAUGUAAUUAUAUUACUACAUUUACUAGUUAGGAAAAUUAAAAAACUUAAAUUUGGACAUGAUUUGCAAAAAAAUGUAGGGAAAAUGUGAAACGGCUAUAACUUUUGCAUACGAUGUCGGAAAAAAAUGUACAAUAUAUCGAAAAAUUCAACACGAAAAACCGCAUCCGAUUUUGACCGCCUACGGCCUGUUUGCAAUUUUUUAGAAUCCUCAAAUUCCAAAAGGAGAAAAAGAUAUGCUCAAAUUUAAGUUUUUUUUAAUUUUGGUUAAAUUUGGUCAAACUACUUAUUCAAGAAGUAUUAAUGUUACUACAUACUUAUUUAAGAAUAUUAGUGUUACCAUAUAAUUAUUUCAAUUUUUUGAAUUUUGGUCAAAUCUGGUCAAACUAUGGCCAAAAAUCACCUAUGUUCAAAAGAUCACCUAUGUUCAAAAACUGGCUUAAGUUAGACCAAAUGGCCCCUCCGAAAUGCGGUGAUUUUUUCGACCACCUCCAAAUCACCUCUAUUUUAGCACACGUGACCUCUAGCACAAACUAGGCUAGGUUUUCAAGGUUUUAUAUUUUUUUGUUUUUUUUUUGAAUUUAUACUGCCCUCUAGACUGGCUGCUCAAAACAUCGGUCUAUACCUCAAGGGUGCAUUGUAAAAUAUUCCUUUUCCAAUUUUUCUUUGAUAGCCAUGUUUGGCACAUGUGGGUCACCAUGUACAAGAUAAUUUGUGUGAUUUGGAGGUGGUGGAAAAAUCACCUUUGUUCAAAAACUGGCUUAAGUUAGACCAAAUGGCCCCUCCGGAAUGCGGUGAUUUUUUCGACCACCUCCAAAUCACCUCAACUCUUGCAAACAUGACAUCUUCCAUAAACAAAGCUAGGUUUCCAAGAUUUUUUAUUUUUUAUUUUUUUUGAAUUUAUACUGCCCUAUAGACUGACUGGUGCAAGAAUCGGUCUACACCUCAAGGGGGCAUUGGAAAAUUUAUUUUUUCCAAUUUUUCUUUCAUAGCAAUGUUUGGCAAAUGUGGGUCACCAUUUAAAAGAAAACUUGUGUGAUUAGGAGGUGGUGCAAAAAAUCACCAUGUUAGCUAGACCAAAUGGUCCCUCCAGAAGGCGGUGAUUUUAUCGACCACCUCCAAAAUUUCCACUUUUUAAAAUAUAUCAGAAAUGGAAGAUUCAAUCUUGCUAACUUAUGAAUUGACAAAAAAUGAUUUUCAAAAUUUUCUAAUUCUUAUAAUAUAUUUCAAAUGGAAUAUUCAAUCAUGCUCACUUAUGAACAUUGACAAAAACAAAUUUCAACAUUUUCUAAUUUUAAAAAUAUAUUUGAAAUGGAAUAUUCAAUCAUGCUGACUUAUGGACAUUCACAAAAAAAGAUUUUCAACAUUUUCUAAUUCUAAAAAUAUAUUUGAAAUGGAAUAUUCAAUCAUGCUAACUUAUGAACAUUGACAAUAAAGGAUUGUCAACAUUUUCCAAUUUUUUAUUUUAUAUUUGAAAAGGAAUAUUCAAUCAUGCUAACUUAAGAACAUUGACAAAAAAUGAUUUUUAACAUUUUCUAAAUUUAAUAAUAUAUUUGUAAUGGAAGAUUCGAUCACGCUAACUUAUUAAAACCUCAAUUCAAUUUUUUUAGUAUCUAUCCUAUGUAGAUAAGGCUGGUUCUUUGCACACACCAUUACCAAGCACAUGCUCACUGUAUGCAGCAUGUUUCAUCAGUGAAGCAACAUUGAAGCACCUACUAUGAUCAUUGUAGCAUCAGAAUAUAAACCCUGCAACAAAGCAUAGCUGACCUGCUUCUAGACAGUUGAUAUACUUCAGAGACAUACUAGAUUAAUUAAGUCUCUGCCAUACUUAAGAGUCUGCCAUACUACUUAAUAGUCUGCCAUACUACUUAACAGCUCACAAACACUUCCACCUUCCAGAUUCACAGUUCACAACCAUACUAGCGCAAAAGUUAAACAUCAUCAACUAUACUGACGAUGAUUAGUUCCACUACCAGCUUCACAGAGGGUGACUAGAUGGGACCCGUAGCCUUCAAGAGGGCUGCAUGCUCUGCCCUGAUCUUCACAUCGCUCCCACUCGUGGUUAAACGGCAUGCAUGUGACAUAAGGUGCUCAUACAACCCAUCCUUGGGAAUUGGCUUAAUGGUGCAGUAUGGGCACCUGAACUUGCCCCACUUGAAGUACGCCGCCUUCCCCUUCUCCCUGAUCUUGUUGGCUUCAUGCUCAAUGAAGGACCUGUGGUUCCAAUCUUCCACCUCAUCUCCAGAGUUGUACGGCACAUACAAAUGAUUUGCAUAAAUACAUACUUCCCAUUUAGAGUAAUGUAAUUAACAAACAUCAGAUAAUUGCCAUUUACUGGAAUGUAAUGAACAAACAAACAUAAUAGCCCAUUUACAGCUACUUAAUGCACAAACAACAAAAUAGUUCCAUUUAGAAGAAUUUAAUGGACAAAUAAUAGAAUAGUUCAUUUAUAUGCAUUCAUAUAUGGUUUCAUGAAAAAACAUCACACAUAUCCCAUUUACAGCUAAAUAAUGCACAAACAUCACAACUUUCAGAGCAAUUAAUUGAAAGUAUAACAAAACUUUCCAUUUUAGAAUAAUUCAAUGGACAAACAACACAAUAUUUCCAUUUAUGAGCAUUCAGAUUUGAUUUCAUGAUCAAAGACUACAAAUAUGCCAUUUAGAGCUAAUUAAUGACCAAACAACACAGCUUUAUGAUAUCAGUGAAUAAACUACAUAACAUUCCAAUUUAGAGGCAUUCAUAUAGGGCAUCAUCAACAAACAACAUCUCACACCGAUUAAUAAACAGACAUAAAACAGCUUGGGGUUACCUCCUCGUCGUCGUCAGAAUCAGACGGGUCGUCGAACCCAGCGAUGUCCAGCUUCCUCUUGUUGCCAGCAGCUUCCUCAUUCUGCAAUAUAUAUAAGUAAUUAAUUCAAUUAUACUACUAACUACAUAACACAGUAUGCAAAGGUCAAGCAAUCUGCAAUGUGCUUCUAAUAAGCUAAAAUGAUACUUUGACCUAAAAUUAAACUGUAUCCAAAGGUCAAGCAUUCUACAAUGAUAGCUUGGUCAAUCUAAAAUUUUAGAUCAUGUUGACUGUGGUCCUUCAAACUAUAAUGCCAGCCUGGGCACCAACAAUAAUCUUGUGAGUGCUCAGGUCUGCCAAUGGAGGUAGUACAUUUUUUGAUGUACCCUACAACUAUAUCAGUGACCCAUUGUGGUUGACAACAAGUAAUUGCAUUUACUUCAUCUGGCUCAUGUAAUGUACAUAGUGGUGCAUCAGCUGCCCUAUUCUCUGAACCGUAUAUUGGAUGGUAUAUUAUAAUGCCAUGAGCUUCAGGAAAGUAAAUCUUUGUCCGAUUUUUGGUGCUAGGUGUGAAACUAUUUCAUAUGACAUACAUGCAUGGAGUUAGGCAACAUAAAUUUAAUAUGACUUGGUCAUCUGGCAUAGUUGCAUGUCUACCAAACCUACUUAUGGUUUACUUUAUAACUACAACAAUCCUACAGAUCAAACCUACAAUUUUAGUUUAUGGAUAAUGAAGUGAAGCUCCUAACUAUUUUAAAAUUGCACACUAGUUCAUACUGUGUUCAUUUCAAUAAUUAAUUGAUACACUUCUGUCACAGAAAGUAGGAUUUAAACCUCAUUUCUACAAUAUCAACUUUAAUAGAUACAGUGGGUAGCUGCUCAGCCCCUGUCGUGGCCCACUGAGGGAAUAUGCACAACAAAUCUAACAAAAUAUACAGCACAGAACAGAAUCUGAGCACAUGCGGCAAUCCAGAUUCUAAUAUAAAUAAUCUAACUCUCAUUAUGAUGUCUCUAGCAUUCAAGCACGAAUCAACUUGAAAAAACCCUAACUCUGAAAUGGGGUUCACCAUUCAAUCAAAAAACCCUAACAAGCAGAAGGGGGUGCCGCUAUCAAUCACAAAUCUACUAUAAAAAACACCAUCUACUAAAUCUUCUGCUUAUCUACUACAAGUAUGAAAGGAGGGGAACGAGAAGCGUUACCACAUCCACCACCUGCUUGUCGCUCGCCUCCGCACCUACAUCCAGUGUGCCGCCAGACGCCGUCACCACCAGGUCUGCCACGACGGAGUCCGAGCCCACCACCCCCUGCGCCACCAGAUCCGCCGCCACAGGGACCGGUCCAGCGACUGCCGGUGCAGCAUCUCCCGCACCGCCGAUGGCGCCACUUCUUGGACGGCAUCUGCGGCGGUCUCCGCGCCCUCGACCACAUCUCCGUGCGCAGCGACGGCAGCGCCACGACCUUGCUCCAUCGAAUCCUGAGAGAACCCGCCGGAGAGAGGGAGGCGGUGGGGUUGAACAAGUAGGUGCGGUGGCGGGGCGAUGGAGACGAGGAGGAGACGAUGCGGCAAGGAGAGAGGGAGUGAGCCGAUUUGGCGGUAAAUGGUGGGGGCGAUGCGGCCGGUGGUGGUUCCCCUCCCUCUUUAUAGGAUGUGACAUUUUUGGAAUUUUUCGUGCGCCGCGUGGCCGCGUGGCUAGACCACGACCGCCGCCGCCCAAGCCCACGACCGCCGCACGUGACAAGGGAAAACGAUACGCCCACGUACAAUACAUGUAUACCCUCAGUGUACAAAAGUAAUCGGGCCGGUGCGGGCUUGUACAGGGCUGUACGCGCGCCGGUGCGGGCUUGUACAGGGUUGUACGCGCGCUCUCCUCGGGCAUAAAAAUACGAUCGUGCCCUUCUUAACGAAUCGUUUUUGACAGAUCUCAGCCAUCCUUGUAUUUCUCCCCCUCGCGUUCAACCAGGGGGGAGCACCGGAGCAGAAACGUACAACUAGUGCAGGAGUCCUUCUGUUUCCUAGUUAUAAUACCUACUAGAUAGGAAGUGCGGCCUGCCGCACCCACCUGGUUUCAUUUUAGCUAACCCGACAGAAAGAUAAAAAACAGUAUGACGAAGCAAAGGAAAACAUAUACUUCCCAAAAUCUGAACUUGAUUGAAUCAUAUUCAGCCAAGUAAAUCAGAAUAUAUAUUACACAUGAUACAAAGGUACAAAGCGGAUACAACAAUUUAUAUAUGCAUAUGAAGCUAUGACAUGUACGCACAGCGACUCGACAUCAUCGAUACAACAGUUCAUACACCCAAAUACAUGCUGGAUAUGUUCUCCGUACACCAGUAAAAGGAUAGCACAUAUAGCUUGGUCCGCUAAUUUUGAUCUGUUCUCAUUCACUAUGCCAGGCAAAAGAGAGUACUCAGCGUACACAAAGUUCCUAUCGAUUUUGACCUAAUCAGAUACCUGCAAAGAAACACACCUCAGGGCGCAGCUGGUAGCAGGUGGCAUCCAUUUCCCAUAAUCGUACACACUUUCACCAAUUUUCCACCCAGGAUCCUGUCUUCCUCCUCGGGAUACUUCUUCCAGUCUUUGAAAAAUCUGCACCACAAUCAAAGAUCUUGUGUUUUAUGGCAGCUCACGUUAUGACAACUAUUAAAGAUUCAAUACAACUUAGUCUUAUAUGCUAACCACAAUGUUUGCUUGCCCUUGGACAGUACAACAGAAUAAAAUAGGAGGUGCAAAUCCAGAACAAUGUAUGUUGGGUGACAGGGCAUAAUAAUAACAAAUCUAUUGAGAACAAAGGACCAACUCAAGCUAGCAUGUGUUGAUAUGCCCCUACAGCCGAGCCAUCAUUUCUGUGCACGGUCAUGACCAAAAUGAUAAGGUCAUGCAUAGCCAAUCCUCAAAUGCACGUAAGAGGAAUGUAUAGCAUAUGGGUUAACUAACUAACGAAUAUGAGGAUCACACAAAACACAUCAAAAGUAUGAUUACUUUAAGAGAUACCCAGUCUAGAGCCUAGGCUUCCUGUUCGGAGGGCAAAGCUUCUUUUCCUGUUCGGAGAAAAACAGUGAAAUAAGCAGACACGACAAAGAUAGAUAUUGUUAUAAACUUAUGGGGAAAGCAAAAGUACAUACCUUGAAAUACCAUCGAUCUCAUCUGCUAAGGUAGAAGAAUAUCCACCCAGCAUUGUACUCUUCUAGAAGAACAAAGCAAAAAGGCAUAUUAAAUCAGCAUUCAAAUAAUGGUCUUUGCUCAAAUGAGAUAUGCAAAAGACCUCAACAUUAUUAACCCAUGGCGGACCCCACAUGGCCCCGUUUUAACUAACUCCGGCAAUAGAUAAUAUAUAUGUAUUACUCAAUAUAUCUCAUAAUGGAAAUGUCGAGAGGCAGCAGGGAGAUGAAAUAAUAUAACACUUUUUCAUAUCUUGCAUAAUUCCAAGAGCACGUAUAGCCUUCUCAAAGAAGAAAACAAAAUGGGUAAGAAAACAUCUAGCCAAUAAGUAGAUACAGAUGUAUAGUAAAGGAAAAAACAUUCAGCAUCUCAAUAGAGGAAAAAAUAGCACAGGUGCAUCAGAAAAGCCACAGUUCAAAGAAAUAUAUAUGUGUAUAAAAGCAAAAUCAUGCAAGACAACUCAAGAACUUUUAGCAAACCUACAACUGCAAGAAAAUUCAGAAGGGUAUGUUAAUAAUAAAGGAAGGGCACAGUUUAGGAUCUAAAUAGCGACAUUAGUGUUGUACCCGACGAUAGCUAGUUGUGUGAAAAUGAAACAAUAUCGACAGACGCGGCAUUUAACAAAAAAAAUGUAGGUAGAGCAAUACAAAAUAGGGUUUAAUUAUCCUUUUGCCCUCAGUGGUGUCCAUGUGCUCAGUUUUGCCCUCAGAUGCGAAUUGUCCUCAGUUUUGCCCCUAGUCCGUGCGCACCGACUCGUUCCGUGAACUCUGCCGUCUCCGUCAGGUCAACCUUUUGACUCGGCCCUUACAGGUGGGACCAGGCGGCAGAAACGGCCAAUUUUAUUCAGACCGUUGCACGCGUGGCUUGUGGGACCCAGCAAAGAGCCGUUGAGCAGAGAGCCGUUGGCGGGUGUGCUAUAUAAGUGGGCGACAUCGGCGGUGACCACGGCGACAGAGAGCACGGCGGUGACCACGGCGAGAGAGAGAGCACGGCGGCAGGAAGCUAGCUGUGGAGGGCGCGGCGGUGGGAAGCUAGCAGUGGAGGGCGCGGCGGCGUUGAGAUCCCCUUCGGCUCCGAGCUCCAUGUCUUCCUCAAGCUCCCGCGCCACCUCGCGGAUGCAGAGCCGGGCGCGUGUGGACAUGCCUGUCUUCGUCUGUCCGCGGUGCCGGGCGGGCGUUGAUCGAAGGGUUUCUCAGACACCGAGGAACCAGAAUCAUCCGUUCUACGUGUGCAGCGAGAAUGGGGUAAGAAUCGGGGCAAUUGCACCAUUUUCGUCGUCGGGAUGUUUGAGCAAUGGGUUGAUCUGUUUAGUGUUCAUGCAGGUGACAUGGUUCUUUCUUUGGGUCGAUGCUUUGGCCAAGACUCUGAUGAAUGAACUGCAAGAAGAGCAUGAAGAAUGGUUGCGCAUGCUGCCACGAACGGCAGUGGCCACACCACGAGCCCCGGAAGAAGAGAUGGAUGGCGAAGCACGCACUGACAGAGAGCUAGCUAUUGAGCUUAGGAUGUUGAAGAAGAAGGUUAGGAAGCUUGAAGAUCAAGCACUACCAAUACCCAUUUGCAAAUACUUUUGGGCAUUUGUAGGUAUGGUAAUCGCACUGGUUGUAAUGUUGAAAAUGUAUGGAAAGGCAUGAAUUAUGAAGGAAUUUGUAAUCUUGAAAUUGUUUGAGAAAUUCACCUAGUUUAAAUGUUGGUUAAAGUUGUUUAAAUGUUGAAACAAAAAGAGAAGAAGUGACCAACAUUUAAAUAUGUUGGAAAAAAAGAAAGGAAAUUAGGAAUUCAGAAACUUUUGAUCAAUGAAAUGCAGCUCUCUGCUCUGCCUUUCUGUCCGAAAAAAAGGUUGCUCUUGGGCCAAAUUCAGAGCGUAGAGCCAAGUGCAGGCUAGACUAAUGGGCCAACUGCAUCCAAUUAGGCCCAUUCAGGGGUUUUCUUGCGUAUUUUUUUGUUUUCUAUUCUGAGUUAAUUUAGGCAGUAAAUCAUAAUGCUGAAACUUUUUGUGGAAGCUAAUUGAAUUAUUCCGGAGCCAAACAAUUAAGGUUAGAAAUUUUUCGGAGCUGUUAAUUAAUCCAAUUCAAAUACACCGUGAUUUAAAUCAAAGACCAAAAUGUCAUGGAAAAUGUGCCUCAGCUCUGGUAGAGGUUUACGCCAGGUGCCAAAAUAAAUGAACAUUUUUUAAGGGCAUUACAUUGAGGAAAACAUAAUAUGUAUAAAAAAUGAAGGGUGGAAAAUGCACAAAAAAUUGGUGCGGCUGGGGACUCGAACCCAGGACCGCGUGGGUUUGUGGUGUUUAGGGCUGCGCUGGUAACCGCUAGGACAGAUGGCAAGACUUUAACAUAGGUAGGGAAGGAAGGUAUACAUAGUGAGACUGUGAAUUUUUAAAAAAAAAUAGUGAGACCGUGAAUGUUUGCACACGCGUGAGAGUGGUUUUCCUUUGUUUUGCACUUAAAUUUUGGAGGGUUGGAAGGUUAAAAAUGUAUGUUGCACUACCACAUGAUUUUGGUCAGAGUGGCACUUAGUUUAGGGUUAGAGUGGCACUUGGUUUAGGAUUUAAAGGGAAUAAAUUUACAUGUUAGUUCAUGACUUUUUGUUUGAAUGAAACAGAGGGCUUCUCACCCCCUACGAUUUUCAUUAAUGAAAACCACAAGUUUUUGAACUUCAUGACUUGUUUAGGGAAGAAAUGAUAAGUUUGGGCAUGGACAUUUUUUAACACACAUAAUGAGAUAGAACACACCGUACCAUUACAAUAACUUAGAUAAGUUCAUGGACAGUUCAUGGACACAUGACGAAACAUGACACGACACGACAUGACAUAGAAAAGCAACAAAAUAAAAAACCAAACAUGACGAGCUUGACUCCGGGCUUGAACAUCUUCAUCUUGACCUCCUUCUUCCACCUUGGCCGCGCGCGCCCCUUCAACACCAUCUUCAUCUUCACACCUCCUCCUCGUCGUCGUAGGGAAGGGAGUGCAUCUGGCCUGGAGCGGGGAAGAUGCGCUCGUAGUUGGUGUAGAUGUUGUAGAUGGUGAAGAAGAUGGCCUCGCAGCCGCACCAAAAGACUUGGCCGAGGAGCUCGCGCGCGUCAAAUGGGUUGGUGAAGGUGACCGUGAGCAGAAGGAGGAUGCCGUCGUGGUCACGAACCUCGUUGAGGGUGAACAUCCUCGGCGAGCCCCGUGGGAGGUGGGCAUAGCCGGCUCUGAGGAAGGCGCGGGUGAGUUCGACGGAACCCCUCCACCUUGAAAUAGCCCACACACGGAGCUCCCUCUCCACGAGCACGCCCGGUGGGUAGCGCAGCUCCGGCACCACAGGCAGACGGCGGAAGGUCGGCCCGUUGAAUUGCAUCUUCUUCACUUGGUCUCGCUUGGGGAGGGCUUCGUCGCUUGGGUGUUUGAAGUUGGAGAGAAUCGGAUCUGGCUUGUGGGUGGGAGAGGAAGAGAGGCACCCCAUUUAUAGGCCUGUGGGUGGGAGAGGAAGGGAGAAAGGAUGAGAACGGUGCGUGCGUGAAUCCGGACGCGUGUGUGUAUCCGUUACGUUUUGCACACUUAAAUUUUUGCAUGAAAACGAUGCAUCUUUGACCGGGCAGUGCAUGUGAACCGCUGCCCUGAACCACUGCCCUGAACCACCUAGCUCGCCUUGCUAGCCUAGCUCGCCUAGCUGGCCUAGCGCGCCUCGCUCGCCUCACUCGCAUGCAUGCACGUCGCCGCCUCCCGCGCAUGCGCAAACCCACGUAGCCGCCUCCAUGCAUGCAAGGCCUGGAAAGGCUGAGACGGGCUAUUUACUGCGAUCUCAGGCCCAGACAACGAGACGGCCCAACGGUCCAUCCAGCGCGUCCGAUAUUUGUUAAAAAAACAAUCUCCCAGCCAAUCAGAUUGCAUCUCGCGGAUCGCCCCCCUCCUCCCCGCAGAUUUCUUCUAGAAGGGUUAGAUCGACGGCCCUUGAUCACCGCUAGGGUUAGAUGAACGGUCCUUAUUCAGCGCUAGGGUUAGCGGGGUUUGGGAGGGGUUUGGAGCAGUCAAAGCUAUGUUUGACCAGAUUUCAAAUGAGCAUAAUAAAUUAAAUAAAAAUCAGAAAAAUGAAAAACCUGCGCACAUAGUCUUCUUAUGUCAUAUACUAACGNNNNNNNNNNNNNNNNNNNNNNNNNNNNNNNNNNNNNNNNNNNNNNNNNNNNNNNNNNNNNNNNNNNNNNNNNNNNNNAUUUCAAAUGAGCAUAAUAAAUUAAAUAAAAAUCAGAAAAAUGAAAAAUCUGCGCACUAGUCUUCUUAUGUCAUAUACUAACGAUUUAAAUUGAUAAACAAGCUUUACAUACAUUUAAAUGAUAAGUUCAUGUGUAUUGUAUGAUAUCUCGAGUAUCUCAAACUCUCUGGUAUGAAGUGAAGAGAAGUGUUUUGGGGAAAUGAACAUGAAAAUUUCAAAAAACUCACCACAGCUUCAUUUUGGAGUGACUAAGAAGGAUCCAUGCUUAGUUUUUCAUUUUGAUGUUUUAAACUUGUUUAAAUCUUGGUCAAAGUUAAGUUUGACCAGAAUUCAAAUGAGCAAAACAAAUUUAAAAAAAAUUCAAAAAAUGGAAAAACCAGCGCACAUAGUCUGUACAUAUAGAAUAUAUGUGUAGGAAAGUUAUUUGGCUGAUCUAGAUAAGGUCAACAAAAACCUUGCUUAGAAAUGAGGCCGUUUACCCUACCUUUGGACCCCUCUUUUUAGCACAUUUUUCAUGAAAAUUUCAAAAACCUCACCACAACUUCAUUUUGGAUUGACUAAGAAGUAUCCAGGCUUAGUUUUUCAUUUUGAUGUUUUAGACUUGCUUAAAUCUUGGUCAAAGUUAAGUUUGACCAGAAUUUAAAUGAGCAAAACAAAAUUCAAAAAAAUCAAAAAAAGGAAAAACCAUGUGCUCAUUCAAACAUCAUCCAACAGAUAUUUAAACAUCAUGUCAAACAUACUUCUAACAUAGGUCCAACAUCAUCCAACAGAAAUACAACAUGUCAAGUGAUAAAUGUUUCAUAAUACAACAUCAUUCCUUAUUCAUAAUGUUUCAUAAUUGUUCAUGGAUAGCGUUGGGGCUUCUGUCUGUUUCUUGAGCUUCUUGCCAUCACUUUGCUCCUCGUGCACCUUGUGAUCAUUGUUUCUUCUCUUCUUCUCUUGGUUGUCGGUACCUUGCGCGUCUUCUUCAAACCUACCAUAGAGCUGUGCAAAACAUAAAGGGUCCAAACAUAAACGGUAAUGAGAUCGUGUCAAGUGAUAGAUAUACAGUAGUAUUUGACCCUUGCAAGAUUUACAUACCUAGCAGAACUCCAUUUGGAGCCUCACUUGGAUCACCAUGAUCACCAUUUAGAGCCUCACUUGGAUCACCAUUUGGAGCCUCACUUGGAUCAUCAUUUGGAGCCUCACUUGGAUCAUCAUUUGCAGCCUCCAUGGACAACCCUCAGUCGGACAGUGCACUCUGUAACGUACUUGAUCGCUCUUGUCAACUUUGAAAGUACGUUCUACCUUGAUGCAGUAUGUCACAAGUGCAUUUCUACACUCAUUCAUGGAUGCAAAAACUGUACCUUCUUCCAUUUGAGGGUUCAAAGGGCCCCAUUCAACAGCUGCAAGGUCUUCGUCCUCACCCAUCGCGUCAUCAUCCACACGGACUGCAUUGUGAGCCUCAUCUUGGUUUUCAGCCCGAGGUGCCCGUCGUAAAUUCUGAAUAACAUCAGAAUAUAACUUCUCUUCAUCAACCCCAGAAUUGUAGCCAUCAGGCUCCACUUCAAGGGGGACCCUACUGCUGUUGCCCACACUUGUCGAGCCACCACGUCGUCGUGCACCAACUGAACUGUUCUGGCUAGAGAUGCCAUUACGACGACUUGAUUCUCCCCGAGAUGUUGCACCCGCCAUCCUAGGUCCAAAUGCCUGCUCAAGCACAUCAACUUGCAGCCUCACAUGAAAAUUAUCUUUCUCUUUAUGCCUAACAAACAUGGUAGCUAGCUCUUCAUCAUUACUAACUGUCACCCAAUUCUUUUCACCAUCAUAGUAUUUGUAUACCACUUCAUCAAGCAAACCCCAAGGAUAUUGGCUACAAAUUACCUCCCCAAAUUGUCUGAAACUCCAAUUACUAGCCAUUGGCAACCGAUAAUCAAAACCUCCUUGGUAUUUCUUCUUAUCCUUUGCAUCGAACAUGUACCGGUCCCUUCUAAUGUGCACCAUGAAAGCAAACCGCAACUCCAUCCUAACCGGCGAAAAACAGAGACGCAAUCAGCACACUAAUUGGGCAAACCUACUCGAAUCGAGUGUUCAAAUGCACAACUAAGCUCAAUCUAAACAAGAGGCGAGACUUACCCCUCGGGAACCCAGUCGUGGACGCGGCGGAUCUCCGGCCCGAUGCCUGCCUCGCCAAAUACUCCGGGGUCGCCGCUGCUCACCAUUUCGCCCUAGGGUUCUUCCUCCUAGUUCAAAUAGCUCCAGCAGCCCCCCACCUUUGAGCGCUCCGGCCGGGCGCACGGAAGGAGGCCGCGCCGCGAAUCGAGCAGGUGGCGGGCGCCCCACCCGUGGCGUCGCAGGAAGGUGGUGGGCAUCACAAUGAGCCGUGAAGCGUAGGCGCAGGGAGGUAGCGGCGGAGCAGGCCGUGCAACUGGUGGCGGGGCAGGUGCUGGCCGAGGCGCAGGUGGCGGCGGCGGCGGCGCAGGACAGCCGGCCGGGCGGAUGGGUGUGAGCUAGAAUGAUUUGGGGAUUUAGUUGCAGGGGCCUACAUGUCAGCUCCGGACCCACGUCCACGCGGUCCCACGUGUAAGCUCCGGACCCACAACUACUAACGCCGGCGGACGGAAUGGACUCAAAUAUGGCCGUUUGGCCUCGUCGUAGUUGCUGUGCUCGGACUAGGGGCAAAACUGAGGACAAUUUGCAUCUGAGGGCAAAACUGAGCACAUGGACACCACUGAGGGCAAAAGGAUAAUUAACCCUACAAAAUAAACAUUAAUACAAAUUGACAGGCACAAGCAUAAUCAGAAAAUAUCUACCAAGAGCAUACCGAAUGCAUGACUGUUAUUGUUUCAUUCAUAGGUCCAGCCAUGACUAUUUCAAGUUCUCUAUGGGCAACACAAACUCACCAGGAAAUGAUCAUCAUCAGGCAUCUAUGGGCAAACAUCACCUUGUUUGCUUUGUGCUCAACUACUUUCUGAAAUAGAAAUAUAGAAGUUUCAGCAGCAAGCAGCCAAGUAAAGUGACACAUUAGUAAGGCUGCUAUUUAUAUCCCAUCAUAGCAAAUCAAUCUAAGAUAUAGUUCCAACUUCCAAAUGCAAUAGUGAGCCAUGGGGAGCAGGAUUUCAAAACCAUGACACCGCAUAGGUUAUAUGAGUGCACAUCUUAAUCUUGAUUCUGAGCUCUGGUUAACCAAAAAGCAAAAGAAUUAAAAUCAAACACGAGAAGUUGAGAACAGGAAACCCAUGUGACUCAGAUCGUCCUGGACAUCUCUUCACAUGACACACGAAAUUAAAUUGUUAAGUUGUAUAGCAGAAAAAAAAUUCAGAACCAAAUGACACAGGCUAGGAAGGCAAAUUAAAGAGGCUGCACAUGAUUAAUAAGAGGAAGGGUUGAUUCUAUUUUUUCCAAGGUGGAUACAGAGAGAGAUCCUUUAUUCCAACUGUUCAUCCAAGUCUUGGACCGUUUGAGCAAACAGGUAUCACAUCCUAUCCUCUUAUGAGCAUGUCCCGAGACACCUUGUGGGCUGCUAAAAGGAUCACAUAUAUGAAGUACCAGAGAGCUCUGUUCUUUGAUAAUCUCUCAUUAUUAUCUCAUUAAAACUUUGUGGGCAUUAAUUAGGCAUAUAUAUUAGUAGUGACAAAAUAGCUAUGCACCUUUAUGUCCUCUGCUCCUCUACCUAUAGAGUUCACGGUCACCAUACAAAAAACAAUGAAACAAAGAAUAAUAAAGUACAUCAGCAGACAUUUGAUCAAUACGUUCAGCUAGCCUUCUACCUCAAUCAUCACAUCAAAUCUCUUUAUUUGGGUCAAGAGGAGAAAAAACUAUCAAACAGGGGAUAAUAAAAAUGGAUUCACCAUGAAAGAGUAAAGAAGAGAGUUGGUACCUACUCGUACGCAAGCGUGAAUUCUGGUGUUUCCAACUUUAAUGAUAGGCUAAUCGAAACGAGAGGCCAAGCAGUCCUGGAUAAUCAUUUUGAAAAGUCUAAUUAGACAAUGUUAAGUGCAAGAGAGGCAAGGUGACUAAUUUUGCUUGCUGCUUGUAGAAGACAACAUCCUUAACAUAACCACCAUCUAAGCACUCCGCAAAUGAAAGGCCAUCAGUGAUACAGGCUAUCAUUGUCAGCUUCACCAUUUUGAAAAGAUAACAAGACACAAGCAAAAGUGCCACCUGCAGAAAAAAGCAGAGGAGAGCUAGUAAAUACUUCUAACAUGUUCACUUCGGUAUAGAGGAUCCUACUUAUCCAAUGACCCAUAUAUCUCAAAUAGAACAGAUUAAUAUAUCUCAAGCAACAGUUAAUGUCCAGUAUGUUCUCCAAAGUUACAGAAUAUAACAGGUUCAGAGACUGUCAAGAUCAAACAAUAGUGAGGGGAUUUUGUAGCCACAUGGCAAAGCUAAUAAAAUUUCUUCUAAUUUAAAUCUCAGACAUCUCAAUUAAAUAAAUAAUUUGAUACAUAACUGAAACUGAACUCUAACCUUUUGUUGUUUAGUUGUCUUCUAAUGACUAUCAACACAGGUAUAACUAAAACUUCAAAAGCUUAAUGUUAACCAGAUUAGAAGUUUCAAAGUAUAAGACCAUAUUGAGCAAGACUAAGGUAAAAGCAAGAAAGAUUAAAAUUGAUUAACACAAUUACACAAAGAGACGUAUUUUUCCUUUUUCAGGCAACCAAAUCUAGCUCAAUGUAUGGUAUGUAUUUGUUAUUAAAUAUUUAAUCAGCAAAGUCUUGAGAGAGAUGGGGGGGGGGAUCUUACCAGUUGAAGGGGCCACAUGAGUGAGGGGUGAGGAGACGCUCAGAAGCAGCACCGCUAGCCAGCAGCAACUCAAAGGCCGAAGCCAAUCAACUGUACUCCUGAUGCUCACCCGCCCGCACUUGGUCCUUUUGCCUGUGACACUGUACAGCAGAAACACAUAAAAUUGAUCACACAGAGCUUAGAGCAAGUUUCUUCUUGCAAAAAUAAUAGAGCAUAUUCCUAACACACAUAACCGAUGCUAUUCAUUCACACCUCUUUACACUUCCUUGUAUAGUCGUAUGUGUAUAUGUGUUUCACUGUGUGGUUUGAUACAAUGAGACUUCACCUCCAAUUCAAGCAUAAGCAUAUGAAAAAUGGUAUAGUGAACCUGAGUUUGAUUCUCUGAAGCUCGGAGCCUUAAAUAUUUUAAUAAAGAGAACAUAAAAAAACUCUACUGAGCAAUCCUCUAUGGAGAUCAUAUUAUCUUUCUGGAGGAAGUGCAACGAAAUGGAUUGUGGAGGGAUAACUUCAAUAUGCAAAUAGUAUCACUUUGAGGAAAAAUUCUAGAAUCCCCUUGAAACAAUCACGUGAGUGUAUUGUAUGCGUAUAUCUUACCUUAGCAACAGGAGGAAGAGGCAAUCAUAACUCUCCUUCUUCCAACCUUCCUCUUCAGCUUGCCUCUUUAGUACUCUCCUUCUUAGCAACAGGAAAAAAUGGCAGUACAAGCAGAUCUUCAGUACUCCAAUUUAUUUCAGUUUUGACAGCUUAUUUUCAAUUUCAAAAUGGAAAAUACUCACAAGAGUACCUUGUACGAAUAAACCUACAGAUCAACAUGUGUCAGGAAAACAGAAAUUAAACGGAUAGAGGAUGCAACAAGGGAGGGCGUGGUGAAGGAAGGGGGAGGAGGAAGGAGUGGUGGGGCUACCUGCCUAUGGACCCGUCGGCGGCGCCGGGACUGGCAGCGGCAGGGAUGGAGGCGCUGCUGCCGGCCAGCCCCAUGGCCAGCGGGAAGUGGAGCCGCGUGUGGGGGCGAGGAAGGAGACAGAGAGGAGCCGCCAGAGUCCAUCGGAGCCGCACCGGCGACGAAGCAAGCAGCGGGAAAGAGGAACCCGCGUCUCCCUCCUCACCUGCUCUGCUCGGUUGCGCCAUGGCCGACCUUGCGGGCGGCUCCUCGGUGAUCUGGACGCGCCACCUGACCUGCCCGGCCACGGUGGCCCUCCCUGUCCUGGCUCGUGAUGAGGGAAGGAGGAGAGGAGAGGGCGGGGGCGCUCCUCUUGCCGUGUGCAGGCGAGGACGACCGCGACGACACCGGGGAAGUGGACGGAGGCGGUCCGGCAGGCUGGGCGAAGUAGACGGCGGCGACGGCGGGAGCUGCUAGGGUUUUGGGAGCAGAGAGGUGGGAGAGGGAGGUGGAGGCGAGGCGUGCCAGCCGGGAUCUCGAUCCAACUCCAGCCGGCCAGCCCUAUCGUCGCCGGAAAGACCACCCUACCCCAGGGCGCCUACCUCCUCCUAUCCUCCCUCCGCAUCUUCUCUUCUGCAGGGACGCAUCAACGGGAUCGAGAGAUCGGGGAAACGAGCAACCGGCCGCCGGAGGCGAGGCCCACCCCCACCAUCGAAACCCUAGCGGGGGAAAUCGAUGGGGGUGACCGCAUGAGGCGAGGAAAAGUAGAUCGACGCGGUGAAGCUAGUAGAGCUCAUCCAGGAGCAGCUGUGUGUGUGUUGGGUGGCGCCAAAGCUCGCCGGAGCGGCCGGAAUCGGCCGGCGACCGAGGCGGCGAUAGUGGGGAUCGAGAGAGUAGGCAGGAGGGGGGUGACGGGAGGAAGAGAGAUGGGCUGCGCGAGUGCGGGAGAGAGGUGGCUAGGGUUUCUCCAUGGGCGGCACGGCAAUUUAUACGCUUGUAUGCGAAAUGACGGAAAUGCCCUCGGCGGGGCAGGCUAUUUACACGCGGUGGCACAACCGGGGCGCGUCGGUCCAGAUCGGACGGUCUGCGAGCGCCGGGUUUCGAUCCGGCGGCUGAAAUCGAUCCGGAGUGAGAUCCAACGGCGGGAAUUGCAUGAAGGAAAUGAUCCGACGGCCAGAAAGCCCAAAUCGCUGAGGAGCCUUGUGCAUCCACUCGUCUCUUAUUUCUGGAUGUUGCUCUUGUGAAGAAAUACACUAGUAGAAAACGGAGCUUUAAACCCGGUUUGUAAGGGCCUUUAGUGCCGGUUAUGGAACCGGCACUAAAGUGUGGGCACUAAAGCCCCCCCCCCCUUUAGUACCGGUUCGGCACGAACCGGCGCUAAAGUGCCACCACGUGGCGUGAGCUCGCGCCCUAGUAUGGGGGACCUUUAGUACCGGUUGGUGUUACCAACCGGUACUAAAGUUUUUUUUUGAAAAUUUUCAAAAAAAAAUUUGAUUUUUUUUCAGUUUUUAAUUUUUCUGAAUUAUUUGAUGAUUUAGUCACUAAUCACCUCUCUUAACUGCUCAAGUGUGGAUCACUCAUUCCAAAUCAUCUAACUUGCCGACCGGUCACCCAUCCCUCUCACUACUCCAGCCCGAGCACGCUUAACUUUCGGAUUCUAUUCGUUUCCGAGUCUGCAAUUGUUGUUUUCCUGACAAUAGUAAGAUGUCAACCCUAUUAACCCUCAGGAGUUUAGCUUGAGCAUGAAGUCACACAUUUCACCAUUUGAGUUUGAAACUAUUAUUCUAAAAAAACAGUAAUUAUUUAGUAACGCUAAUAUUUCUUGAAUAAGUUUGACCAUAGUUUGACUAAAAUUCAAAAAAUUGAAAUAAUUAUUUAGUAACACUAAUAUUCUUGAAUAAUUAUGUAGUAACAUUAAUACUUCUUGAAUAAGUAGUUUGACCAAAUUUAACCAAAUUUUUUUAAAAAAACUCAAAUUUGACCAUAUCUUUUUUCCUUUUCGAAUUUGAGGAUUAUAAAAAAUUCCAAACAGGCCGUAGGCGGUCUCCAUCGGAUGUGGAUUUUCAUGCUGAAUUUUUUGAUAUAUUAUACAUUUUUUUCCGACAUCGUAUGCAAAAGUUAUAGCCGUUUUACAUUUUCCCUACACUUUUUGCAAAACAUGUCCAAAUUUAAGUUUUCAAAUUUUCCUAACUAGUAGAUAUAGUAAUAUAACUACAUCUCGAUGGAUUUUAUUUUUUGAAGUUUUUAUCAUUUUCAUNNNNNNNNNNNNNNNNNNNNNNNNNNNNNNNNNNNNNNNNNNNNNNNNNNNNNNNNNNNNNNNNNNNNNNNNNNNNNNNNNNNNNNNNNNNNNNNNNNNNNNNNNNNNNNNNNNNNNNNNNNNNNNNNNNNNNNNNNNNNNNNNNNNNNNNNNNNNNNNNNNNNNNNNNNNNNNNNNNNNNNNNNNNNNNNNNNNNNNNNNNNNNNNNNNNNNNNNNNNNNNNNNNNNNNNNNNNNNNNNNNNNNNNNNNNNNNNNNNNNNNNNNNNNNNNNNNNNNNNNNNNNNNNNNNNNNNNNNNNNNNNNNNNUAACACAAACCGGUACUAAAGGGGCUCGUGGGGACCCGGCCUGACGCCAGCCUGCCACUACCCCUUUAGUACCGGUUCGUGGCACGAACCGGUACUAAAGGCCCAACACGAAUCGGUACUAUUGAUCGCAGCCAUGAACCGGCACUAUUGAUCACAUUAGUGCCGGUUUUUUUACAAACCGGCACUAAUGUGCUUCACAUUUGACCCUUUUUCUACUAGUGAUAAGAGAUGGACAUGUCGUGUGAUGGUUAGUUAUCUACUCCCUCCGUUCCAAAUUACUCGUCGUGGUUUUAGUUCAAAUUUGAACUAAAACCAUGACGAGUAAUUUGGAACGGAGGGAGUAUCUAGUAGUAUACUCCUAGUAAGCUUGAUUCGAUGCUAGGUCAGAGCUGUCACUAUGGCUGUUUAGUUAGUAUGAAGUCUGAACCGGAACUCUAGCUAGCAUGGGUUAUUUACCUUACCUGUGGCUGUGGGCAUAUUAUAUGAUUUGACGUACGCUCUGAUGAAGGGUUUCCAUUCUAUGUAAUCAUAUAUCAUUUCACUGCUGAUUUGUAUCCGUUGCGUUAAUUGCUUUGCUGGGCGUGGAACUACAGGGGGAAGCAUCCAAGCAACUUCCUCCCGCGGAUGGAGUGGUCUUGUUGCUUUCACGCUUCCUGAAAUGGGCCUGGAGUGGCCAGCGGGAGAGCGUGAUGGUGUUGUUUCUCAGAUGUAGCACCAUUUUCUUGCCGCACACAAAAAUGAGGAAAAUUUCGAGCAUACAUUCCAUAUACGCUAUGGCUGACUGGAUGGCAGUGGGUUCAUGAUGGUCAUCGAUGCUUGUGAAGUACUCCCUCCGUCCGAAAAU
Molecule: long non-coding RNA, 94848 nt
Filed under: Triticum aestivum (bread wheat)
Lineage: Eukaryota; Viridiplantae; Streptophyta; Magnoliopsida; Poales; Poaceae
Description: long non-coding RNA (TAES_LNC011439)
Source: RNAcentral